Molecule: long non-coding RNA, 91488 nt
Filed under: Malus domestica (apple)
Lineage: Eukaryota; Viridiplantae; Streptophyta; Magnoliopsida; Rosales; Rosaceae
Description: long non-coding RNA (MDOM_LNC007848)
Source: RNAcentral
UCUCCCUUCCCAAUAUGCUCAUCAAGCAAUUCCGGCACAUCAUCAGGAGUGACGUAGCCAUACCUGCAAUUAAUAAUACAUAAUAUUCAAAUUUCAUCGAUCCCAAUACGACAAAAUUUUAGAUUGUUAUGAUCCGAAUAUUACCAAUGGCCUGUUAUGCUUCCAUCUGAACCUGGGCUGUAGAUAAUCAAGUUUCCAUUGUGGCCUCCAGUGUGAAAGCAAGCAGCAACAAAUAUCUGAUUCGUCAAUCCUCGUAGCUCAGCCUCCUCUUUGAACUUAUUAAUGAGAACACAUGCACUAUCACGAUUCCAUUCCUCUCGACUACCAUGUGCACAUACAAAUACAUAGGAGCCAGUCAACGACUCUUGCACUCCGGAAGCCCAUGGUUUGUGAUUCACAAGGACAUCAUCAACAAAGCUGCCCACAUCCGACUCUUUCAAGCCCCUUUGACAACAAACAAAAACAACCUCAUAAUCACAAAAAGGGAUUUACAGGCAAGGAAUUAGUCGUAAACUGAGCCAUUAAAUUCAAAGGAAAACUAAUGAAAAGAGCUUGAAAACUUUGAGUUUUAACGAUAAGGACAAAAUAAAGGGUAAAGUGAAUAGUACCAGGAUUGACUUUUUAGUGCAAAAAUGUGGUUUUUCGUUAAAGUGAAAAGUACCAAGAGCUUUUCGUUAAGGUUCCCUAAAUUCAAUUUCUACAACUAAUUUCAGAAGCUAACACACAUCUAAUCAUCUAUUUAGGUCAGUGGAUUCAUGUUGGUUAUGGAAUGGGCCCUCCAUUAUGAAUUAAUUACGGUUUGCCAUUGUGUGUGUUAGUGUGGGCCGUGCUUAACAGCUGGGUUGGGCUGCUGCAUUUGGGCCCAGGGUGCAGCUCUCACGGGUUUUGGGCUGGGUUUCACCGAAAUAUCAAAUGACUCUUUUGCCCCCUUCAGUCCUAAUCCGACGGCCACCAUUUGCGGCGUUUGUGGUCUGCAAUUCGGUGGGGGGGGGAGGUGGGGUUAGCUUGCUUUCAAUCUCGUCAAGGAGUUCGUGCAGAGAGGCAGGGGAUGACAUCAAGUUUAGGGUGUGCACAGUGAGAGAGAAGAGGGUAGGAGCUAGAGAGAGGGGGGUGGGUUCUGUCCGCGGACGUAGGUUGCAGAGAGACAGAGAUGGGGAAAAGUAUGGGGGUGGGGUUGAGGGGAACGUGUACACAGAGAGAGUGAGGAAGGGACAUAGGAGCUAGAGGUAUGGGAAAGGAGUCGAGGAGUUGAGGAGUCGAGGGGUUGAGGGGUUGAGGGGUUGAUUUGUCAGGGGCUGCUGCAUCCUUCCUAUUCAAAAGGUAACAAAUAAUUUUCAAUUCAUUCUUUACCCUUGAAUGUGGAUUUACUGUUCGGGGUUGAGGAGGACAUCAUAUAUCUUCCCUUUUUCUGAAUUUUAGUUCUGUCUUCUUCGACUCUUAUAUCUUCCCUUUUUCUGAAUUUUCUUUAUUUCUCAUCCUUUAAACUUUGUAUUUUUUUUAAAUAUUUAUUUUUUUGGUGAUGCAGAUAGAUGAACAUGUUCAAAGGGGAAUCAUGAACCACAGAUCACUGCAUCCGAAUAUAGUUUGAUUCAAAGAGGUCAGUGAUCAUAAACUAUUUUCAUUUUGUAUUUUAAGAAUGAAUUUGGCAAGUUUUGUUUGAAUUUUGUAUAAGUAUCUGCUGAGGGUGGGUGGAUGAAGACAGAACAAACUAAAUUUGGCCUCUGGUGUGCUUAAACUGGUACGGGGGAGGGUUAGAACUUUGAGCCCAUGAUGCAGUAGGACUAGAGAAAUGCGGCAAUCCACCACUUGCAGAAUUAUUGUCAAAAUAACUCUGCUAAAAAUAUGAGCUAUGCUUCCUGCACUUUGUUUUUACUGUGAAGUGGAAAUAGUCUUUAGCGUGGCUUAUUUGUGAUAAUUGAUAAAGAGGUUAGUGUUUAAGACUUGAGAGUAGUGCGGUGUCUUUCUCGCUGGUUCUGAUGAUGGAGUACACGGCUGGGUGAGAACUCUUCGAGGGAAUAUGAGGAUGAGAUAAAGUAGUUUCAAAUACAGGGAAAAUUUCAUUGGAAAUGAUUUUAGUUUAGUUUCAGCUAGGGAAAGUUAGGUCUGAAGCAUUUUUACAUAAACAGUCGGUCAUAAUAUAACUAAAACUUACAUACUUUUUCGAUUUAAUUGUUGUUUUGCAUCAGGCAAAGUUUUUCUUCCAGCAGUUGAUAUCAGGAGUUAGUUGCUGUCAUUUGAUGGUAUGUAAUGUGGCACUUUUCUGCUAAUGCGUUGUAUACUGUUAUUUAUUUCUCUUUUGAUAUUGGAAGUGUUGGUUGUAGUAAGGAAAUAAUUCGUUUCAAUAGUAUACGACUUCGGUUUAAUAGUAUAUGACUCAGUUUUUGAAUAGCACUCAGGUGGUAUUACGACUUAGUUUUCUAAAUGCCAAUAACAGCUCUAGAUUUUGUCUCAAGUCAAGUAUUCUUACUAAUGUAGCAUUUUGUUGGCACAUCAGUAUGUUUUGAUUGUUUCUCUGCUUGAAUAGAGAAUUGUUAACGUCCGGGUGGGAACGUGGGUCAGCUCAUGUUUUAGUCUCUCCGUCGUAAGCAAUUUUACAUGGUACUCUUCAAUGUAGCUAUAGGUAAGACAACACUCUCAGUAUUCCAUAAUCAAACCACCAUUUGAACUUUUUUUCAUCCACCAAGUUAAGCUUUUAUGUGCCAUCUUGAAUAGUUAUAAGUUAUUGCUUCAGAUUACUCCAGUGCGACAUUGUUGUUCUCUUCCUUACCUCUCAAGCUUGCUUAAUAUACCAAUUCUUAUUACUGUUGUAUUGUUAAGAAAUACUCAAUUGCGGAUUCAGUUCAUCGUUUUGAAUCGGAUAAAAAUUAACCACUCAGUGGUUAAUUAUCUAAAUGGGCGGUAGGUCUCGGGUUCGAGACUUGUGAGCAGUCUCUCCAUAAAUGGGGGUAAGGCUAGCCGACAUUCACCUCUCCCAGACCCUGCGUAAAGCGGGAGCCUUGUGCACUGGGUACGACCUUUUUAGUGGUUAAUUAUCUAAAUCCUAUAAAUUCGGAUAAAAAUUAAAGCAACUACAGAACAAAAACCUCAAGAAAUCAACGCAAAUUUACCUGUAUUUGAUCAUUUUUGGGCAAAUCAACACAUCGCCGUCGCAAAACUCAGUUCCUUCGCAUCCUUCAAUUACUGUCAACGUCGUCUAUCAAAUACCAAGAAAAAAUGUGAGUAAUGGAGUCAACUCAGCUCAACACCAGAACUCAGUAGCUCCAGGAAAUAAGAAUGGUAAGAAAAAGCAAUCAGAAACGUCGACGAAUUGAGCUGGAAAAUGGACCUUAAUGGUGAAGUCGUUCUCGCGAGCUUUGAGAGCGGAUGCGAAGAACUUAGGGAGUGGAUCGGACUCAGGGCCUUCGAUGCGCCACGGCCAGGCCUCCAGGGUCUUGUAGCAAAGGAAAACGUGGUGAUAGCUCAACAGUGUAUCGUCGUCAGUGUCUUCAUCAGACUCAUAUGACUUGGUCUUAUAGUUGUCCCAAAUAGUAAGAGCAUCAGACAAAUCCCAUUUUACAAUAUCCACUCCUGUUUUGUUCAGCUUAAUUAUAUUAUCUCCUCCAUAAAAUCUUGCUUUUACAAGAACUAUGUCGCCACCUUUCAAAUUGAGCUUCUUGUUUGAAAGAUUUCCCAACCAAAGAUAAUAUUCAUGGGAAGCAGUUAUGGCGGCCUUAAUUGUCCAGAUGCUAAAAUGAGUUCGUUGGGUACGAUUAACAACAUCAAUGCAUAGAUCCCCAGUAGAGUUGGAGUUGUCUGAAGAAUAAAUGAUGCCCAAAGCCAACCCUCCUAUAUAAUCAAUACUUGGCGGCACUUCAAAUUUGACAGUUUUAUCCUCUCCCGCGACAUAGGCUAACCAGUUAGGAAUAUCAUUUCCAGAGAGAAAAAUUCCACCAAAUGCAUUUUUCUACAACAUGGGGUGCAAAGUCAGUAUAAGCAACAAUACAAAAAGCAGAGAGAGAGAGAGAGAGUACCAUACCGUUCGGAGGUUCUCCUUAAAAGUAUCAGUGAGACUGGUACACCCUUCCAUUUUAAUGUAAAUUAUCGAACCCAUGUAGUCCAACGAGUUCUUAAAUUUUGGAAUAUCUUGAGUUUGCGGCAGUCUUUCAGUAACAAUAUCCUCAUUUUCGACAUCUCUGAAAUGUCGGACAUUAUUUCCAGUGCAGUGCAGUAAUUCGCUUGCAGUAAAAGCAAACUGUUCGGCAAAUCUGGGAUUUCCUGAAGGUUUGUGCAAUGAUCGAGAAUUAAUACCAGAAGCUGAGAAAGGCCACUGAGAAUGGGUAGCCUAUUAAAACCAUUCCCACCUAGACCUAAAAAUGUUAAAGAAGAUAGACUCCCAAUUAUUUCGAGAACGGCACCAUCUGUUAUAUUGCAGUCACUGAGAUCUAAUACGUCAAUCAUCUUCAGUUGUGCUAAAAAAUGGUAACCCCCACACAAACCCUUACAGCCACUGAGCUCCAAUUUAUUGAGAUGUGGGAGUUUUGAAAAGUCUGGUAAUUCAGUCAGGUGAUGACAGUCGUUAAGAAGGAGAUACUUCAACUUCUUAGGCAACUGUUACUCAAAAAGAGAAAACAAUAAUAAAAAUUCAAAUAAAUAAAAGAGAGAAUGCAUGAUGAUGACUGAUGUUGAUAUUUACAAGGACAUUGAUAAUUAUAUCGUACCAGGUCCGAAUCCUCCCAAACUCGUACGAUCUUGCUGUUGCUCAGGUUUAAAUAAACUAGGUUUCGUUGAUCAAAAUCUGCUGGUAUGGCUUCAAGAGGAAAUCCAAUCCAAUCCAACGCUCUUAACUCCUUGGAAAGAUGUUUGUAGCUUCCAGUCAGCUUUACAUUAGCCAGGUCGAGAAAUUUCAGACGCCACAUCUUCUUAAACGCUUUCGUACUGAAGCUUUGCUCGUCAUCAGAAUGUUCUGGCAAAAAUAAGUGUAGUCCUUCAACUGCUUCUGUUCCCUGUUAGAGAUCCAAAAUAAAAAAGGAUAAUAUUCACACGAAGCAUAGCUGUGAAUUGGAUGAAUGAACUACUAGAAAGGUAGGGCAUACAACAUAAUUAUGUAUUCUCUCUUUCAAUUUACAAUGGAUGAAAGCCUUUUUUCUUAAAAUACACUAUGUACAACAUACAUUAUAUAUAUGCGGAUAUGCGUAUAUACUUCUCUUUAUUUACAUGUACUUAACAUAACAUCUUUUCAUUGCAAAAGUACUUACAGAUUCGUUCCUUAGCACGCUUUUUGCAUCUUCACUAUGCCACAAAUGACUACGUUUUCCCAAUUUCACAGGAGAUUCUGCCCGCACAAUUUCUCUUCCCAUAUCUCGAAUCAAAUCAUGCAUCCUCAAUCUUUUCCUUUCAUCAAUAUAUAGGAGACAUCGAUCGCAGAGUGUGGUAAUUUCUGCUUCUACAGAAAAACGACUACAACCAUCCAAUACUGGAGUGGCCACACUUAUAUGCACUCCAAUAAAGAAAUUAGAUAUGUCUAGGAACACACCCUUCUCAUGAUCAUCACGUAGUCCAUCGUAGCUUAAUUUAAGCGUUUCAUGAAUUUUUCCGUCUGGAAUAUUUCUCAAUUUAUCCAAUGUACUUUCCCAUAUGGUUUUACUCUUUUUCUUAGCCAACAAACGACCAACAACUUUCAGAGCUAGGGGCAAUCCUCCACAAUAAUCAACAAUAUCUCUUGCCAAUUCAAUAUAUUCUUUAUCGGGAUAAUCAUUUCCAAAGGCAUGCCAACUAAGGAGCUCAAAAGCUUCUUUCUCUGUCAUUGCUUGUGCCUUAUAUUUUUUAUCCACCUUUUGUAUAUUCAGCACAUGUUCAUCUCUUGUUGUUAUAAUAAUUCUACUCCCUGGACCAAACGAUUCAUGUUCUAUUGCCAAUUCAUCUAAUUGGUCUGCAUCAUCUAUGUCAUCAACCACGACAAGUACCUUCAUGCUUCCAAGUCUUUUCUUGAUCUCUUUGGUCCCUUCGGCAACACUGCUUACCUUAAUGUCAGGCUGUUUUAAAAUAUCUCGAAGAAGUUGUUCUUGCAAACUAACCAUCGCUUUCUUUUUACUCCUCACAUCUUCAAGGUAACAUUGACGACUAAAACUAUGCUGAUAAUUGCUACAAACGGCUCUGGCAAGCAUUGUUUUACCUAUACCGCCCAUACCACAAAUUCCAAUUAUUCGAACAUCAGGUGAACCUCCAACGUCUAAGUAUUUAGUACAAAAUUCUUGCAAGCGAAAAGCCAUUCCAACUAAGUGCUUGGCUUCUUUAAAGUCUGUGGUUUUCAGUAGUCCUUUGACGUCCCCAACAAUUUUCUCGAUAAACACCCCUUCACACCUACGAGUAGAAAUUCCAAAUUACGAGAGCCAUACUAAAUGCCUUAUUCAUAAUGACUAGAUAUUUACAUAUUGAAACAUAUUUGAAUAAACUGGAUUAAUUGAGCUCAAUUCAACCACGUAUCCAAUCUUUGAUUAUAAUGUGAAUACAUUAGAUCAUUGGUGAUUUGACUAUUAUGCAAUUGUAGCUUUCAGUAAUAUAAUUAAGAAUCCAUUACAAUUGGUAUUUUAAAUUGAUAAAGUGUGGAGCAUUUGUCCUUCACACACCCAUAAAAAACAAAGCACGUACCCUGCGCUUCACUUCCUUAAUUUCCACGGAAAUUAUUAUGCAAAUGCUCUACCUUUUAUAAAAUUCAUAUACCAAUUGUAAUAAAUUUUUAUGUAGGGACCAAAAUUACAGUUCUAUUAUAGUUCAGAGAUCAACGAUCCAAUUUUUCUUAUGACAUAUAAAAUCAGAUUCAAUGCCUUAAUUAUAAUAUCUUAAUUUUGGUUGAUUAGUGAAAUAUGGUGAUAUGAAAUUUGAAGUAAACAAAAAAGUAUACCCGUCGGCCGUGGUUUUGAGGUUCCAGCCGGCCAAAUCUGCAGAAGCCUUAAGAUCCUCUCUCCACUGCUUGACCUCAUUUGGAUCUUCAUCCUUUUCAUGCUUCUGAAAUGCUUCCCCAAAACUAUCUUUCUGUUUCCUGACUUGAGAAGGGUCAACGUCGUAGAAUAUUGGACACACUAUCUUCCCCUCUUGAUCUUUUAGGCACCUCAUGAUCUUCGACAGCUCCCUCAGGCACCACCGGGACUCCGCGUACCUCUUCGAGAAGACGAUGACAGCGAUCCUCGACCCUUCGAUUUCUUGGUCAAGUUCACUCUGUAUGUCUUCCCCCCUUCUGAGCUGUUUGUCUAUAAACGUGUUAAUUCCGGCAUUGCGUAACGCAAUGAAGAGGUGGUCUGUGAAGGUGUUGCGGGUAUCUUCGCCUCUAAAGCUCAGGAACACCUCGUACUUCCAGCGGUUUGAGCUCUGCGAGGAAGACGAAGAGGCGGCAGAGCCAGCUCCUUGGGCGGAGCUGCUGGUAUCCAUUGCAGACCGUAGAAGUGCAGCUUGGCUUUCAAAUAACCAAAGUCAAGUCUUUACCCAGUGUCGGUGGCCGUUUUAGAUAUUUUGCAUGGGCCAAUAAUGUCACUGCUGUGUCGAUAACGCGCUCCCACAGUUUAAUUUGUAUAAAUGCUUUACGAUGCAAUUUCCUUUCUUUUGUAGUCUUUUGAGAAUCUGCCGCCCAACUUUGACCGGUUGACGAUCUUAUUGUAUUAUAAGAUGUGCAUUUUGAUUAUCAUCAUUUAAUGUGAUGUAUGUUCAUCAAAUUAUUUAUUAUUAUUAGAUGAGUUUAAAUUUUAAGAUUUGUACUUAUGCACUACCCACCCGAAUCUCGAAAUUCAAACACAUUUAACGAUGAUAAAUAGAAUGAUAAACAUAUAUCAUACUAAAUAAUGGUGAGCAAAAAUGCUCCCGUAUUUUAAGGGUGGUGCGCAGCACGUUCCAACUGUUGGAGUCAGUAGUAUCAACGGGAAGAGACCUCAUCUCCAACAACCCAUCUUAACAAAAAAUGCAGAAAAUUAAACUCCAACAGGCUAACUAAAUGACUCUUUAUUUUGUGAACGGUAACUAACUAAAUUUAACCAGGAGACAUUCGUAGCUUACGUCAAAAGGAUCAAUGUUGUAAUAUAAGUAAUUUACUUGCUCAAAAUAAGGAUCAAUUUAGCUACGAAAGCAGGGAGAUGAUCGAGCUCACGAUAGCAGAUUUUUUUAUCCUAUCGUCUUGCAAGGGAAACAAGCUACCAAUUGCUUGCAUCAUCUGAAGCCAUCCAACUAAUGGUUGAAUUUCUCAGUCAAGACUAUGCUCAAGGCAUCAGUGUGCAGGCCAGACUCGACAGCAUAGCCACACUACACAACCUCUCGCGCUGCCAUCAGAUUAUUCCGUCUCUGGUCUCUUCGGGCGUAGUGUUUUCAAUGCUAAAACUGCGGCAUGGAAGCUGUUUCUUUUUGAGACUGUUCCAAUUAUGGUUCGAGAAACAAGCAGUCAAGGAAUAAGUUGAUGGGGUGAGUACAACGGCAUUGAGACUGUUCCAAUUAUGCAGGAAGUUGAUGCAGAAGGAGAAAAAGUUGACGGGGUAAGUACAACGGCAUUGAGACUGGUAGAGGAGAAGCUUGCAAAGAUCAGCAGUGGACGAUAAUCUCGACCAAACUCUGAGCUUUGCCAAGCAGAUUAAGAUGUUGGAACAGCCGUUCAUCUUGUUUAUUGAACAAACGAGGAGGACAACAAUGCAGAAUCAACGCUUGAAUUCAAAGUCCCAACAGGCAAAUCGAAAAUAAUCACAAGAGCUUAGAAAAUACCACACCAACAUUUGGCAAGCAGUCUCACAACAAAUCCCACUAUCAAGAUAAAACCAUUCAACGGUGUGUUGGAACAACAGAUUUCAGUUGUGUAAGCAAUCAACAUAAAGGAACAGUGAAUACUUUUGUAACUAUAUAUGGAUUAGCUUCGGGAAUUCAUCAAACCCUCCGAAAAAGAACGUAUAGUGUAGCUACCAUAUUCUCCUUUCAUAUAAGAGCUUAUUUAAUUGACGUUAUAACACCUUUCUACAAAGAAAAAAAAGAAGAAAAUAGGGCCUCUACACCCAUGGCAAAACCCGACAUGGAUUAGAGUACGUUUCAGCCUGACCUUCUGUAAAAGCUAUAGGCCACAGCCACUGUUGCCACAGCUCCAACCACGGCAGCAGCUGCGAGAACAUCGCUUUGCUCCCAGUUCCCGAUCAAGCUUGACAGCUUCCCUAAGGCAUCCUUCCUGGCACACGACUCUCUGGUUUCUUUCACCUUCUUUUCCUCACUUCCAUUGUUCUGCUCUAAACUUACUUCUUUGCAGCAUGUAAAUCCAUUACUAUUAGCACCCUGGCAACAGCCUGAAAAGUUCUCAUUAUUCUGAAUCUGAUUGCCGUUUUCUUAGGGCUUCUCCUCCAUUUUCUUACUUUCUCCUCCAUUUGGAAGCUUCUGGUCAUUAAUUUUUUCAGCUUCAUCCGAAGAUGCUCCCAUUUGGCCCCUGUAAGGAAUGAAAUUGAAUUUCGAGUUCAGCCAUUUAAAGAUUCAACUCUAUGUUUCAUCAAUAGCAAUCGAGUAAGGACAUGUAUGAUCAAGCUUAAUAAACAAUUUGACAACAGUACCUACUUGACCCCGUCCCCCCUUCCCCAAAACCACCUUUGGUUUGGUUCUAUAAAAAAAAAAAAAUUGUUUGAUUUGGUUCACACGAGUUGUUUGAUUUGGUUCCUCAAUGUUAAUGUAACUCCAUAUCAAUAAUCUAUCUUCCAACACUAUAAGUAAUCAGCAAUAGGAAAAUAUGACAACAGAAGCUUCAGUUCCAGUGAACUUUUCAUCAGCAGACGGUUGGCAAAACCGAAAACACACAAUCCUCCAAAGUCGUUCUAUGAUCUCUCCCUUCCCAAUAUGCUGAUCAAGCAAUUCCGGCACAUCCUUAGGAGUGACGUAGCCAUACCUGCAAUUAUUAAUACCAUAAUAUUCAAAUUCCUUCAUCUAUCCCAAUACAAUAAAUUUUACAUUGUUAUGAUCCGGAUAUUACCAAUGGCCUGUUAUGCUUCCAUCUGAACCUGGGCUGUAGACAAUCAAGUUUCCAGCACACUUGUGGUCUCCAAUGUGAGAGCAAGCAGUAACAAAUACCUGAUUUGUCAAUCCUCGCAGCUCAGCCUCCUCUUUGAACUUAUCAAUGAGAAUAGGUCCACAAACUCCACAUUUUUAUCUCGACUUCCAUGUAGACCUGUAAACGGGUUAGGUUUAUUGGGUUUGGGUCGGGUUGAACCCGACCCGUUAAGUUAACGGGUCACCCGAACCCGACCCGUUAAGCUAACGGGUCACCCGAACCCGACCCGUUAAGCUAACGGGUCACCCGUUUCACCCGUUAACACCCGUUAACAAUUAUUAUUAUUUUUUUUUUGCAUAAAGUUUAUUUUUUGUUAUUAAAACUUUACUAAAAUUACUAAAAUAUCCUCAACUAACGGGUGCUAACGGGUGUUAACGGGUCUAACGGGUUGACCCAAAGUGACCCGUUAUUUAACGGGUGUUAACGGGUUCACCCGUUAGCGACCCGACCCGUUAAGCAUCCACCCAAAUACAAAUAUUAACGGGUUGGGUCGGGUUAACGGGUUGGGUCCAAAAUGCCAGGCCUACUUCCAUGUGCACAUACAAAUACAUGGGAGCCAGUCAACGCCUCUUGCACUACGGAAGCCCAUGGUUUGUCGUUCACAAGGACAUCAAUUGGUUAGAAACCAAGCCAUGUUACCGGCACACAGCCUCAGAGUAAACAAGGAAAAUUUCAAGGUAUCAACACUAAAACUAGUCCAAAACACACUAAAUUAGCUCAAUUCGAGACUUCGUAAAUUGAAAUGGGAAAAUCAUAAACUCUAUCUCUAGUUAGCAAUCAUCGAAAUCUCCUAGUCAAAUAAAGCAAAUCUGAAGAAUCAAAACACCACUCACUGGUUAAUUAUCUAAAUCCUAUAAAUUUCGGUUAAAAUUAAGCAACUACAGAACAAAAACAUCUUUACCUGUAUUUGAUCAUUUGUGGGAAAAUCAACACUUCGCCGUCGGAAAACUCAGUUCCUUCGCGUCCUUUAAUUACUGUCGGGUCUAUCAAAAACCAAGAAAAAAGUGAGUAAUGGAGUCAACUCAGCUCAACACCAGAACUCAGUAGCUCCAGUAAAUAAGAAACGGCAAGAAAAGCGAAACGCCGACGAGUUGAACUGCAAAACGGACCUUAACGGCGAUGUCGUUCUUGCGAGCUUUGAGAGCGGAGGCGAAGAACUUAGGGAGCAGAACGGACUCAGAGCCUUCGACGCACGACGGCCAGGCCUCGGGGGUCUUGUAGCAGAGUAAGACGUGGCGGUCGUACGCGUUGACAGUGCCAGCAAGUUUUUCCUUGCACAUCUCCAAUCUCUUGAAACCGAACCUCUCGUCUUCGGUGGCUGGAACGGCGACGUCGAGGUCAUCGGAGACCAUUGCUAGGGCUCGGAGAGGAGGGAGGGGUUUACCAGGGGUUGAAGUUGAAAACGAUGAGAGGGAAAAGAUGAGAGAGAAAGAGCGUUGUUGUUUGGUUGUUGUGUUGAUAUAACGAGGAGGCUGAGAAGGGAACCGCGGUGUCGGUGUGGGUGUAGGUGCGUGCGCAACACAUACGGCGCACGAUGGGGUUUCUGAAGAUCGGAGUCGGGACGCGUGGGAUUGGGCACGUGGGGUUUGAUUUGUAGUUCAUGUAUAUACCUCUUUUUUGAGAAUAAAGAUUUUUUUUGGAUCCUCUUUGUAGGGAUUUUAUAGUUUGUGUAUCGUAUUCAUUCAUUGUAAAUCAGACGGUUAGAAAUUACUUUAAAUCUAUAAAUUUAAAAUUAAACACAAAUAAUAUUUAAAGAAAAUUGACUGCAUAAUUAAUACGAUAAACGAACACAAUUAAAAAAUUCUCAGAAUCCUCGUAAAAAGAAUCCGAACUCUUUUGAUGUCUCCGAUCAUAUCGGACGGAAGCUAAAAGAUAAUUCGUGCACGCAAAAAUGGAAGGUCCUACAAACGGAGGAGGACCACUCUCUAUUCCCGGGAAGUGGGGUACAAGCGCGUAUGUAUAUAUCACCCAAUGGGGCACCAAUAUGUUGUACUAGCAGGGAACUGAAUGAGGUGAAAUUGGAAAAUCCCUUAAACUUGGUGAUGUGGCGACCUGUGAUUCGGCCUUCACAUUCUGUCAAGAAACAGGCCGGUCACUUUGUUGAUUAAGUCAAGCAGUCAGCCUUAGCCCGACGUGGACAAGUUCUGGAAGUCUUGUUUCGCUCAUUUAUUUAUUUCUUGUCAAUGACGUGUAAUAUUUGAUUUCAUUUGUUUUUUUGGUGGACUAAUAUUAAAUAUACUUUUGUCAAUGAAUUAAUGAUACAAUUUAGAACGGUGAUAUUCACACAUUUUGCACAUAUUCUUCAAUUUGAUAGUUGAAAAUUGAGAAGAAUGUGUGUGAAAUGUAAAAAGAACGUGUAAAUAGCAUAUCCCUACAAUUUAAUAUAAAGGAAUGUAGAUUUCAAACAACGAUUGUUUUUUAAGGUAACGCUUUUGUUCUUGAUUUUUCAUGUUUGAGCUUGAAAUGAACCGCUUUCAUAAUCUAUUGUAUUACUUUGUGUUCAGUUGAAUAAAGUAUCUUUUUCCAACGAAAAAUAAACGGAAUGGCAUUUAAAUAAGGAGUGUAGAGAGUGUAUGCGUAAGGAAAGAGGCAUGCAAAAUUCAUUUCAGCUCAUACAUCUUUGUGUUGCUUAUGUUGGUCUUUCAAUUAAUUAUGUUGAGAGUGAGGAAAUAAAUUGUACUUAGCAGUGUCAAAUUACAACCCUAAUCGAAAAACGUCUUGUUCGCCGGACCUACUCGACUGCUCCGAACAAUGUAAGGCCGAAAGGCGGACGAUACAUAAUCGGGUUUUUUCGAAGUAGGCAUUCAUAAACAUCAAGGAAGCAUACUUGGUAGAAAAUGAAAGAUCCUCAACUUCAUUCCUCAAAUUUUCAAUGCAAUUGAAUUUCCUCAAAUCUAAGGAACUACCAGAUUGUAAUGCUUGCAAUGGAAGGGAACCAUUGUGUACAUGUAGCAUCCACAUGAAUCAGUUGGAGGCUUGUUGGAGUUUUUAACGGAAUGACCAAAAUGAUGGAUGGUAGACAAUCUCAAGGACCACUUUUGAUUAUUUACCCUUCUAUUGAAUUUGCAAAGGGGAAGAAGUUUUAAAUCCAUUACAAAAGAGAUAAUUGCAGCAUGAUUGAUAACAUGCUCAUCACGUGAUUGGGUUCCUAAAAUUCCCAGGUUGUUGCAGGCUUCCUCGUCCUUGUAGAAUAUUUUGUUCAACAAUUCCAGAGAAAAACAAUUAUUCGAUUCGUUUCAGGUAACAGAUGAGUAGCUUAAUUCAAAACUUGUUUUCGUUCUAGAAGUUUAGAUUAUACAAGUGAAUGGUCAAUAUGAUAUACUCGAUAAAAUUACAUGUCUCCUUUUAAAUUUAAAGUUCAUUAUUUUGAAGUGAUUUUUGGAAUUUAAUUUUUCAAUUUAUUUGAUUGAGAGGUGAGGAAUUGGAGAUAAUUAAUUAUGUUUGGGGGUUAACUGGUAUCCUCUAGAAUAUGUUUUUUUUUUUAAUGAGGAAUCCUCUAGAAAAUGUUUAACUUUAUUUUAAAUUUUCAUGUGGUUUUGGCUUCAAUGAGGCAAUGGCAUAUGUGUAAAUAAACAAAAGUUUAAUUCUAACCUAAGGGGGCUGACGGAAGUCAGGGGCAUGGAUGGAAAAGGAGUUUCUUACUUUGCACGUGGGGCUUUAUUGUUUGGGUUAUUCCUCCUAGCUUUUGUCAUUUUCAUUAAAAUUUAAAUCUUUUUAUUAAGUAAAAUUAUUAAAUAGUUUUUUUAUUAAGAAAUUGUUAUUAGGAUUCUAAAAAUCUCAUUUAGCAUUCUAAAUUUUUUAUAAUUAGAAAAAAAAAUACACUUAUAAGAAGUGUAAAUGAGAUUUUUGAAAUGCUAAUAACAAUUCGAUUUUAUUAAUAAAAAGUUUGAAGAAGGCCUUUUCAUUAAAAUUCCCCCAAAAAAAAAGGAGUAUGCUUCUUCCUAAAACGCUUCUUUAGGCCAUAUAAACAAACAGUGAGACGUAAAAACAUGCCCCAACCUCAAAUAUUUCUCUCACAAACAAGGAGAGAAUUUUCAGUGUGACCGGUACACAAGGUGGUACACCACGUAUCACUAAACAAAUAAUAGGAUAUGUGUGCUAAAAAGUUAAUAACUUAAAAAAUAAAAUUUCCCACUAUUCUUAUUAAAACACGUGAUGUAUCACUUAUAUUCCCGUCACAACUAAAAAUUUCCCUACAAACAGAGAGACGUAAAAACAUGCUGCCAUGGGCUUCAGAGAGGAAAAAAGAUCAGGAAAAAAAAUGACCUGAUUGGGUAAGACUUGUACACAAGUUUGUAGUAAAUGUCUACGUACCUUCCUUACAAGUCUGUCUCUUUACUGUGCUUUCCUUCAAUUCACUGUUGUUUCUUCAUCGUCAAAGCUUUCAAUAUUAAGAUCAAACCUUAAUGUUUUGCAGACCUCAUCAGAUGAGUGAUCUCUUAACUCUGUACCAUUGUGGGUGUCGUCAUCAAACUCAUAUGGUAUAGUCUAAUAGUCUGCCUCAUCAGUAUCAUCAUCUCACUCUAAUGGUACACGCUCAUAGUUCACAUUUUUUAUUUCUGAAGGUAAACAAUGUUCCCAUCCUACAAAAUUCACUCCUGUUUUCUUCACCUUACGAACCUUGUCCCCCCUUUUCAGAUUGAGCUUCCUGUUUGAAAGACUUCCCAGCCAAAGAUAAUCUUCAUGGGAAUCAGUUAUGGUGGCAUCCAUUCACCAGAUGGAAAAAUAAGUUCUCUGGGUAACCACAUCGAGGCAUAGAGACCCACUACACUGGGAUGGUCCGAAGAAUAAACGAUGCACACAGCCAACCCUCCUAUAUAAUCAAAACUUGGCGGCACUUCAAAUUUGACAUUUUCUUCCUCUCUCACGACAUAGGUUAACGAUUAAGGAAUAACAUUUCAAGAGCGACAAAUUUCACCAAAUACAUCCCCCACCUUCCAUUUCUACAACACGGCGUGCAAAGUUUGUAUAAGCAAACAAUACGAGAAGGGCAGAGCGAGAGAGAGAGAGAGAGAGAGAGAGAGAGAGAGAGAGAGAGAGAGAGAGAGUAUCAUGCAACAAAACAUAAAAACUCAUCUGGGAGAAUUAUGACUCUUGUGAAUUGGUAGUAUUAUCGAUGCAUAUGUUAUAUGAUCUUCAAACUCGCUAUAGCGUGACUUUUUUUUUUUGUAUCUUUUUCAUCAACUUCAUUUGUUUUUUUUUUUUUUCAAGUAGAGCUGAUAAACUUAAAAUUUAUCCACAACCUAAAAAAUGGAAGAAAAAAAAAGAGGUGGAUGUACAAAAUCCUUGCUAUGCCCUCUAUAUUCAACAGAACAAUAAAUUGAGUUAACGGAUAUAAUUGAAGUACCAUAUUUGAUUGUGUUUGAGAACCAUAAUAAGGAAAAAAAAAAACUACUCUAGAAUGAAGGUAAAACUCGUGACAACAAUGGUGUACAUCUAAAAAAUAGUUCAAGCAGAUUAAGAUGUUAGCGCAUAGACAAAUAUCUCGUUUAUUGAACAAACGAUGAGGAUAACAAUGCCGUUUUCUCUCUUUCGAAAUUCAUAAACAACAAAAUUGAGAUUUGUUACACAAAAAUUACCAUAAAUUUUGACAGAAUUGGCGGUUGAAAUAUAAGUCCAGCAUCCAAAUCGAAAACAAUCAUAGGAGCUUAGAAAAUACCACAUCAACCUUUAGCAAGUAGUCUCAUAAGAAAUCCCAAUCAAGAUAAAACCAUUCAACAGUUUAUUAGACUUCUCCUUUCAUAUAAGAGCAUGGUUCGGAGGAUAAUUUAAUUGACCUCAUAACAUCUUUCUACAAAGAAAAAAUGAAAAAGAAAAUAGGGCCUCGACACCUGUGGCAAAACCCGACAUGGAUUAGAGUACUUUUCUGCCUAACCUUCUAUAAAAGCAAUAGGCCACAACUACUAUUGCCACUGCUCCAAUCAAGCUUGACAGCUUCCGUAAGGCAUCCUUCCUGGCACACGACUCCCUGGUUUCUUUCGGCUUUUUUUCCUCACUUCCACCGUUCUCCUCCAAACUUACUUCUUCGCAACAUGUAAAUCCAUCACUAUUAGCACCCUGGCAACAACCUGAAAAGUUCUCAUUAUUCUCAAUUUGAUUGCCCUUUUCUUGGUGAAUCUGAUUGCCAUUUUCUUGUGGCUUCUCCUCAAUUUUCUUAUUUUCUUCUCCAUUUGGAAGCUCCCGGUCAUUGAUUUCUUCAGCUUCAUCAGAAGAUGCUCCCAUUUGGCCCCUGUAACAAAUGAAAUUGAAUUUCGUGUUCAACUAUUUAAAGAUUCAACUCUAAGUUUCGUCAAUAUCAAUUGAGUAAGAACAUGUAUGAUCAAGCUUAAUAAACAAAUCACAACCACAUUACAAAUAAAAACAUAUACAGGGUAAUGCAGUUAUAUCCAAUUCUUUUGUGCUUUCUCCACAAAAGUUCCUCCAUGUUAAUGUAACUCUAUAUCAAUUAAUCUAUCAUACAAGACUAGACAUAAUCAGCAAUUGAAAACUACGACAACACAAGCUUCCGUCCAGUGAAAAUUUCAUCCAAAGAUAGGCAAAACCAAAAACGUACAAACCUCCACAGUCGUUUUAUAAUCUUUCCCUUCCCAAUAUGCUCAUCAAGCAAUUCCGGCACAUCAUCAGGAGUGACGUCGCCAUACCUGCAAUUAAUAAUACAUUUUAUUCAAAUUCCAUUGAUCCCAAUACAACAAAAUUUUAAAUUGUUAUGAUCCGAAUAUUACCAAUGGCCUGUUAUGCUUCCAUCUGAACCUGAGCUAUAGAUAAUCAUGUUUCCAUUGUGGCCUCCAGUGUGAAAGCAAGCAGCAACAAAUACCUGAUUCGUCAAUCCUCGCAGCUCAACCUCCUCUUUGAACUUAUAAAUGAGAACACGUGCACUAUCAUGAUUCCAUUCCUCUCGACUACCUUGUGCACAUACAAAUACAUGGGAGCCAGUCAACGGCUCUUGCACUCUGGAAGCCCAUGGCUUGUCAUUCACAAGGACAUCAUCAACAAAGUUGUCCACAUCCGACUCUUUCAAACCCCUUUGAUCAAGAAACAAAAACAAUCCCAAAAUCACAAAAAGGAAUUUACAGGAAACAAUAACCUAACACUCUUUAAUUCCUUAUAAGGCAAGGAAUUAGUCUUAAAUUGAGUCAUUAAAUUAAAUUUCUAGUACUAAUUUCAGAAGAUAACACAUAUCUAAUUAUCUACUUAGUUCAUGACAUUUAGCACAAUUUCGUAAUCAAAAGAGAAGUCGAAACAGAAAUUACUUCAGUCAAAACUAGGAAAAUAAAUUGCACUGCUCAUCUUGGUUAUGGAAUGGGCCCUUGAUUAUGAAUUAAUUACGGUUUGCCAUUGUGUGCGCUAGUGUGGGCCGUGCUUAACAACUGGGUUGGGCUGCUGCAUUUGGGCACAGGGUGCAGCUCUCAAGCGUUUUGGGCUGGGUUUCACCGAAAGAUCCAAUAACUAUUUUGCCCCCUUCAGUCCUAAUCCAACGGCCACCAUUUUGGGCGUUUGUGUUCUGCAAUUCAGUGGUUGGGGGUUGGGGGUUGUGGUGGGGGGGGGGCGUCAGGAUCUCUUCAAGGAGAUCGUGCAGAGAGGCAGCGAGAUGUUUCGGUUCUGUCUUCUUCGACUCUUAUAUCGUCCCUUUUUUCUGAAUUUUCUUUAUUUCUUAUCCUUUAAACUUUGUAUUUUUUUUUUUGGUGAUGCAGAUAGAUGAACAUGUUCAAAGGGAAAUCAUGAACCACAGAUCACUGCAUCCGAAUGGACCGAAUAUCGUUUGAUUCGAAGAGGUCAGUGAUCAUAAACUAUUUUAUAAACUAUUUUCAUUUUGUUUUUUAAGAAUGAAUUCGGCAAGUUCUGUUUGAAUUUUGUAUAAGUAUCUGCUGAUGGUGGGUGGAUGAAGACAGAACAUGCUAAAUUUGGCCUUUGGUGUGCUCAAACUGGUACGGGGGAUGGUUAAAACUUUGAGCCUGGGAUGCAGUAGGACUAACAGAAAUCCACCACUUGCAGAAUUGUUGUCAAAAUAACUCUGCUAAAAAUAUGAGCUAUACUUCUUGCACUUUGUUUUUACUGUGAAGUGGAAAUAGUCUUUAGAGUGGCUUAUUUGUGAUAAUUGAUAAAGAGGUUUGUGUUUAAGACUUGAGAGUAGUGCGGUGUCUUUCUCGCUGGUUCUGCUCACACCACCUCAUCUAGCCAUUGUGAUGGAGUACACGGCUGGGUGAGAACUCUUCGAGAGAGUAUGCAGUGCUGGCAGAUUUAGUGAGGAUGAGAUAAAGUAGUUUCAAAUGCACAGAAAAUUUCAUUGGAAUUGAUUUUAGUGUAGAGUCUCAAAUAUGGGAUCUCUAAAUGUCCCCUGAAAUGGAAUCCAUCUCGAUUUUUGCUUAGUUUCAGAUAGGGAAGGUUAUGUCUGAAGCAUUUUUACAUAAACAAUCAGUCAUAAUAUAACAAAAACGAACUUACUUUUUCGAUAUAAUUGUUGUUUUGCAUCAGGCAAGGUUUUUUCCUCCAGCAAUUGAUAUCAGGAAUUAGUUGCUGGCUUUUGAUGGUAUGUAAUGUGGCACUUUUCUGCUAAUCGUAUACUGUUAUUUCUCUUUUGAUAUUGGAAGUGUUGGUUGUAGUAAGGAAAUAAUUCGUUUCAAUAGUUUACGACUUAGUUUUAAUAGUAUAUGACUCAGUUUUUGAAUAGCACUCGGGUGGUUUUUGAAUAACAGUAUUACGACUUAGUUUUCUAAAUGCCAAUAACAGCUCUAGAUUUUGUCUCAAGUGGAGUAUUCUUACUAAUGUAGCAUUUUGUUGGCGCAUCAGUAUGUUUUGAUUGUUUCUCUGCUUGAACAGAGAAUUGUUAACGUCCAGGUGGGAACGUGGGUUGGCUCAUGUUUUAAUCUCUCCGUUGUAAGCAAUUUUACAUGGUAUUCUUCAAUGUAGCUAUAGGUAAGACAACAGUCUCAGUAUUCCAUAAUCUAACCACCAUUUGAACUUUUUUCAUCCACCAAGCUAAGCUUUUAUGUGCCAUCUUGAAUGGUUAUUAUAAGUUAUUGCUUCAGAUUACUCCAGUGCGACAUUAUUGUUCUCUUCCUUACCUCUCAAGCUUGCUUAAUGUCCUUAUUCUUAUUACUGUUGUAUUGUUAAGAAAUACUCAAAUGCGGUUUCAGUUCAUCAUUAUGAAUCAGAUUAAAAUUAACCACUCACUGGUUAAUUAUCUAAAUCCUAUAAAUUCAGAUUAAAAUUAAAGCAACUACAGAACAAAAACCUCAAGAAAUCAACACGAAUUUACCUGUAUUUGAUCAUUUGUGGGAAAAUCAACACAUCGCCAUUGGAAAACUCAGUUCCUUCGCGUCCUUCAAUUACUGUCAGCAACGUCUAUCAAAAACCAAGAAAAAAGUGAGUAACGGAGUCAAUUCAGCUCAACACCAUAACUUAGUAGCUCCAGGAACUAAGACACGGUAAGAAAAAAUAAUCGGAAAUGCUGACGAAUUGAGCUGGAAAAGGGACCUUAACGGUGAUGUCGUUCUUGCGAGCUUUGAGAGCGGAUGCAAAGAACUUAGGGAGUGGAUCGGACUCAGAGCCUUUGAUGCGCCAUGGCCAAGCCUCGGGGGUCUUGUAGCAGAGGAAAACUUGGCGAUUGCUCAACUGCGUAUCGUCCUUAGUGUCUUCAUCAGACUCAUAUGACAUAGUCUCAUAGUCGUACCAAUUAGUACGACCAUCAGACAAAUCCCAUUUUACAAUAUCCACUCCUGUUUUGUUCACCUUAAUAAUUGUAUUAUCUAGUCCAGAAAAUUCUGCUUUUACAAGAACCAUGUCACCGCUUUUCAGAUUGAGCUUCUUGUUUGAAAGAUUUCCCAACCAAAGAUAAUAUUCAUGGGAAGCAGUUACGGUGGCCUUCAUUGCCCAGACGCGAAAGUUAGUUCGCUGGGUACGAUUAACAACACCAAUGGUUAGAAUCCCAGUACAGUCAGAGUUGUCCGAAGAAUAAACGAUGCCCAAAGCCAACCCUCCUAUAUAAUCAAUACUUGGCGGCACUUCGAAUUUGACAGUUUCAUCCUCUCUUGCGACAUAGGCUAACCAGUUAGGAAUAUCAUUUCCAAAGAGAAAAAUUCCACCAAAUGCAUUUUUCUACACCAUGGGGUGCAAAGUUAGUAUAAGCAACAAUACGAGAGAGAGAGAGAGAGAGAGAGAGAGAAAGAGAGAGAGAGUACCGUUUUGGAGGUUCUCCUUAAAAGUAUCAGUGAGACUGGUACACCCUUCCAUGUGAAUUGAUUCCAUGUAGUCCAAUGAGUUCUCCAAGUUUGGAAUAUCUUUGAGUUUGCGGCAGUCUUUCAGUUCCAAUUUCCUCAUUUUCGACAUCUCUGAAAAGUCGGACGUUAUUUCCAGUGCAGUGCAGUAAUUCGCUUCCAGUAGAAGCAAACUGUUCGGCAAAUCUGGGAUUGCCUCAAGGUUUGUGCAAUGAUUUAGAUGUAAUUCCUGAAGCUGAGAAAGGCCAUUGAGAUUGGGCAGCCUAUUAAAACCAUUCCCAUAUAGAACUAAAUAUUUUAAAGAAGAUAGACUCCCAAUUAUUUCGAGAAGGGCACCAUCUGUUAUAUUGCAGUCGCUGAGACCUAAUGCCUCAAUCAUCUUCAGUUGUAGUAAAAAAUGGUAACCCCUACACAAACCCUUACAGCCACUGAGGUUCAAUUCCUCGAGAUGUGGGAGUUUUGAAAAGUCUAGUAAUUCAGUCAGGUUAUGGCAGUCUUUAAGAAUGAGACACUUCAACAUCUUAGGCAACUUCUUAGGCAACUGUUACUCAAAAAGUGAAAACAAUAAUAAAAAUAUAAAUAAAUAAAAGAGAGAAUGCAUGCCGAUGACCGAUGUUGAUAUUUACAAGGACAUUGAUAAUUAUAUCGUACCAGGUCUGAAUCAUCCCAAACUCGUACAAGCUUGCUAUUUCUCAGGUCAAUAAAAACUAGGUUUCGUUGAUCAAAAUCUGCUGGUAUGGCUUCAAGGGGAAAUCCAUCCCAAACCAACAAUCUUAACUCCUUGGAAAGAUGUUUGUAGCUUCCAGUCAGCUUUACAAUUUCCAGCCGGAUAAAUUUCAGACGCCGCAUCUUCUUAAACGCUUCUGUACUGAAGCUUUCCUCGUCAUCAGAAUCUUCUGGCAACCUUAAGUUUAGUCCUUCAACUGCUUCUGUUCCCUGUUAGAGAUAUAAAAAAAAAAAAUGAUAAUAUUCACACGAAGCAGAGCCGUGAAUUGGAUGAAUGAGCUACUAGAAUGGUAGGGCAUACAACAUAAUUAAUUAUGUAUUUUCUCUUUCAAUUUACAGUGGAUGAAAGCCUUUUCUUCUUUUUCUUCAAAUAUAGGCAUACAUUAUAUAUAUGCGGAUAUGUGUAUACACUUCUCUUUCUUUACAUGUACUUAACAUAACAUCUUUUUAUUGCAAAAGUACUUACUGAUUCGUUCAUGAGCACGUUUUUUGCAUCUUCACUAUGCCACAAUCGGCUACGUUUUCCCAAUUCCACAAGAGAUUCUGCCCGCACAAUUUCUCUUCCCAUAUCUCGAAUCAAAUCAUGCAUCCUCAAGUAUCCCUCUUCAUCAAUAUAUAAGAGACAUCGUUCGUAAAGUGUGAUAAUUUCUGCUUCUACAGAAAAACUACUACAACCAUCCAAUAUUGCCGUGACAAAAAUUUUACUCCAUCCAAUAAAGAAACAAGAUAUGUCAAGGAAUACACCCUUCACAUGAUCAUCACGUAGCCCAUCGUAACUUAAUUUAAGCGUUUCAUGAAUUUUUCCAUCUGGAAUAUUUCUCAAUUUAUCCAAUGUACUUUUCCAUAUGCUUUUACUCUUUUUUGUAGCCAACAACUUCAAGAGCUAGGGGCAAUCCUCCACAAUAAUCAAUAACAUCUCUUGCGAGCUCAAUAUAUUCUUUAUCUGGACAAUCAUUUCCAAAGGCAUGCCAACUAAGAAGCUUAAGAGCUUCGUCAUCAGUCAUUCCUUGUGCUUUAUAUCUUUUAUCCACCUUUUGUAUAUUCAGCACUUGUUCAUCUCUUGUCGUUAUAAUAACUCUGCUCCCUGGACCAAACGAGUCAUGUGCUAUUGCCAAUUUAUCUAAUUGGUCCGCAUCAUCUAUGUCAUCAACCACGACAAGUACCUUCAUGCUUCCAAGUCUUUUCUCUAUCUCCUUGGUUCCUUCGGCAACACUGCUUACCUUAAUGUCAAGCCGUUUCAAAAUAUCUCGAAGAAGUUGUUCUUGGAGACUAACCAUAUUUUUCUUGUUACUCCUCACCUCUUCAAGGUAACAUUGACUGCUGAAACUGUGACUAUAUUUGCUACAAAUCUCUUUGGCAAACGUUGUUUUACCUAUACCGCCUGUACCCCAAAUUCCAAUUAUUUGAACAUCAGGUGAACCUCCAACGUCUAAGUAUUUAGUGUUGAAUUCUUUCACGCGAAGAGCUAUUCCAACUGAGUGCUUGGCAUUUUUGAAGUCUCUGGGGGUCAAUCGUCCCUUGAUGUCCCCAAUAAUUUUCUCAAUAAACACUCCUUCGCGCCUACAAGUAGAAAUUCCAAAUUACAAGAGCCAUACUAAUGCCUUAUUCAUCAUGACUAUAUAUUUACAUAUUGAAACAGGUUUGAAUAAAUUGUGAUUUACUGAGCUCAAUUCAACAACGUAUUUAAUCUUCAAUUAUAAUGUGAAUAGAUUAGAUCAUUGGUCAUUGGACUAUUACACCAUUGUAGCUUUCAGUUAUAUAAUUAAGAAUCCAUUACAAUUGGUAUUUUAAUUUGAUAAAGUGUGGAGCAUUUGUUCUUCACACACCCAUAAAAAACGAAGCAUUGUACCCUGCAUUUCACUUCCUUAGUUUUGACGGCAAUUCAUAUGCAAAUGCUCUACCAUUUAUAAAAUUCAUAUACCAAUUCUAAUAAAUUUUUAUGCAGUGACCAAAAUUACAAUUCUAUCAUAGUUCAGGGACCAAUGAUCCAAUUUUUCUUCUAACAUAUAAAAUCAUAUUCAAUGCCUUAAUUAUAAUUUCUUAAUUUUGGUUAAUUAGUGAAAUAACUCCGCCUGUGUAAGUUUAUCUUACAUUGCCGGUCCCAAGCCCGGGUAAAGGAGGAGGGGGGAGGGCGUCAGGUAGUCGACAGUCGGCACUACACAGUUACGUCGAAUCCUUAUGAAAAUGAAUCCAUAACGAAAUCGCGCUAAAGCUAGGGCGUCACCCGUAAGUGGCGCGCUGUGUGGCCCGAGCACAGUGAUAAGUGAGCAAGGGUCGCUGUAUCUCCAUAGGCACCCGGAUGCAGUGUUAAAUGAGCAAGGGGGCCAUAGAAACUUCUUUUUGAACGACUCCACUCAAAGUUGUUUAGGAGCAUAUGCUCCUAUCAACUUUACACGGGACACACAAAAGAAGUACUUUGAUUCCAUUGGACGGGGGAGGGUGAAGAAGCUAGGACAGAAGGGUAGAGUUCAAGAGAGUAGAAUGCGUUUAGGAACGUGGAAUAUAGGAACCUUAACGGGAAAAUCUAUGGAAGUAGUGGAAGUUAUGGUAAGGAGAAGGAUAAAUAUUAUGUGCCUAUAAGAAACUAAGUGGGUUGGUCUUAAGGCAAAGGAUCUAGAAAACUCAGGGUUUAAACUUUGGUACUCGGGCACAAAUAGAACGAGAAACGGUGUUGGCAUCAUCGUGGACAAGACCUUGACACAAGAUGUUGUAGAUGUCAAGAGGGUAGGAGAUAGAAUUAUGGCAAUCAAGAUUGUAAUAGGACAAGAACUCAUCAAUGUGAUUAGUGCGUACGCACCUCAAGUAGGGUUGGAUGCGAGUUCGAAGGAGAAAUUUUGGGAAGACCUUGGAGACUUGGUGCAAGGAAUUGCCCAGACAGAGAAGUUAUUUAUAGGAGGAGAUUUAAAUGGACACGUGGGCAGGGAGACAGGCAACUAUGGAGGUUUUCAUGGUGGCCAUGGUUUUGGGGAGAGAAACGAGGAUGGGAAAGCUAUCUUGGAUUUUGCAAUGGCAUAUGAUCUCUUCUUAGCCAACACCUUCUUUAAGAAAAGAGAAGAACAUGUGAUCACCUACAAGAGUGGGUUGUCAAAAACACAAAUAGAUUUUCUUCUAAUUUGGAAAGGGGAUCGUAUAACUUGUAAGGAUUGCAAAGUUAUACCGGGAGAGAGCUUGGCUAAUCAACAUCGCUUGUUGGUGAUAGAUGUACAUAUCAAAAGAGUGAGAAAAAAGAACAAGACUUGGAAGUGCCCAAGGACUAGAUGGUGAAAUCUAAAAGGAGAAAAACAAGUCAUUUUCAAAGAGAAAGUAAUCACCCAGUGUGGGUGGGAUAGAGAGGGGGAAGUUAGCCAAAGGUGGGAUUCCAUGGCUAGUUGUAUACGAAAAGUAGCAAAAGAGGUAUUAGGAGAGUCCAAGGGCUUUGCUCCACACCAAAAGGAAUCUUGGUGGUGGACUGAGGAGGUACAAACAAAGGUGAAGGCUAAGAAAGAAUGUUGUAAAGCCCUAUACAAGGACAUGACCGAUGAAAAUGGUGAAAGGUAUAGAAGAGCGAAGCAAGAGGCGAAGAAAGCUGUGAGAGAAGCUAAGUUAGCGGCUUAUGACGAUAUGUAUAAGCGACUAGCAAAAGAAUGAGAGUUGGAUAUUUAUAAACUAGCUAGAGCAAGGGAAAAGAAGACAAGGGACCUAAACCAAGUGAGGUGCAUCAAGGAUGAGGAUGGAAAGGUUCUUGCUACAGAGAACGCGGUCAAAGACAGAUGGAGAGGUUAUUUUCAUAAUCUUUUCAAUGAAGGACAUGAAAUGAGUACUUCUUUAGGGGAGUUGAGUAACUCAGAAGAGUGUAGAAACUACUCAUUUUAUCGUCGAAUCAGGAAGGAAGAAGUGGUUGUAGCUUUGAAGAAGAUGAAGCAUCGAAAAGCAGUGGGCCCAGACGAUAUACCGAUCGAAGUGUGGAAAGUCUUGGGAGAGACAGGUAUAGCAUGGCUCACUGACCUUUUCAAUAGGAUUUUGAAAAUGAAGAAGAUGCCAAAUGAGUGGCGAAAUAGCACUUUGGUGCCUAUCUACAAGAAUAAGGGCGACGUACAAAACUGCAUGAACUAUAGGGGUAUUAAGCUAAUGAGUCAUACAAUGAAGCUCUGGGAGAGAGUCAUUGAGCAUAGAUUGAGGCAAGAGACACGGGUUUCGGACAACCAAUUCGGGUUCAUGCCAGGGCGCUCAACCAUGGAGGCAAUCUAUCUCUUACGAAUAUUGAUGGAAAGAUAUAGAGAUGGGAAAAAUGAUUUACAUAUGGUCUUUAUAGAUUUGGAAAAAGCGUAUGAUAGGGUCCCAAGAGACAUUCUUUGGAGGAUUUUAGAGAAGAAAGGAGUACGAGUAGCAUAUAUCCAAGCUAUAAAGGAUAUGUAUGAAGGAGCAAAGACUGCCGUAAGAACUUAUGAAGGACAAACCGAAAGCUUCCCCAUAACUGUAGGAUUACAUCAAGGCUCAUCCUUAAGUCCUUACCUUUUUGCGUUGGUAAUGGAUGAGUUAAUAGGACAUAUUCAAGAUGAUCUUCCUUGGUGUAUGCUUUUCGCAGAUGAUAUAGUGUUGAUAGAUGAAACUCAGGAAGGGGUAAAUACGAAGCUUAACCUUUGGAGAGAAGUGUUGGAAUCUAAAGGUCUUCGCCUAAGCCGAUCAAAGACAGAAUAUAUGGAAUGCAAGUUCAGUGCAAAUGGAGGCCAAAAUGAGUUAGGGGUGAGGAUCGGAGAUCAGGAAAUGCCAAAGAGCGAUCGUUUUUUCUACUUAGGAUCUAUCUUGCAAAAGAACGGAGAAUUAGAUGGAGAUCUCAACCAUAGAAUACAAGCUGGAUGGAUGAAGUGGAAGAGUGCAUCCGGCGUGUUGUGUGACCGCCGUAUGCCACUGAAGCUCAAGGGAAAAUUUUAUAGGACGACAAUAAGGCCGGCGAUGCUGUAUAGCACAGAAUGUUGGGCGGUGAAGCAUCAACACGUACAUAAAAUGGGUGUAGCGGAGAUGAGGAUGCUUCGUUGGAUGUGUGGGCACACGAGAAAGGAUAAGAUUAUGAAUAAGGAUAUCCGAGGUAAAGUAGGAGUAGCCGAAAUUGUAGAAAAGUUGAGAGAAAAUCGGUUACGGUGGUUUGGACAUGUGCAAAGAAGGCCUACUGACGCUCCGGUUAGAAGAUGGGACUACGGGACAGAGGUUCAAGGCCGAAGGGGUAGAGGAAGACCUAGGAAAACUUUGGAAGAGACUCUAAGAAAAGACUUAGAGUAUUUGGAUUUAACAGAUGACAUGACACAGGACCGAGCACAAUGGCGUUCUAAGAUUCAUAUAGCCGACCCCACUCAGUGAAGAAGGCUUUGGUGUCUUUAACACAAUACGUUGGAAAUGAAGCAAAGCUUAUGUAUUGAUAUCUCCGAUAAGUUACAAAUAUGUACAUAUACAUGAGUCAAAAUAAACAAACAAGAGGGAGCCUUCACAAAGGUUGCUUAGGAGAAGUCUCAGCAGUCGGUAGAGCCCCAGAAAGAGAAGGCACCGGAGGGGGAUCAUUCGGAGCCUCAGUACUGGACAGAACCCUAGAAGGAAGAGGCAUCGGAGGUUGAUCAUUUGGAGCUUCAUUAUGCAGUACAGCCCCAGAAGACGAAGGCAAUAAAUGCCUUUGGAACAAACCCACAAACCGCUGAUGAUCAAGUAAAACUUGACCAUCAGAUUCCUUCAUCUGGUCAAGCUUCCUCUUCAUGUUUAUAACAUAGUUAUGUGCGAGCCGGUGCAACUGUUUAUUCUCAUGCUUGAGCCCGCUAAUCUCCUGUUUGAGACUCAUCACUUCAGCCGCCAAUGAUUCAACUUGGCGGGUUCGAGCAAAUAGGCGUUGGGCCAUAUUAGACACAGAACCUGCACACUGAACACUCAGAGCCAGAGAAUCCUUAACAACCAAUUCAACAGACCGUUUGGAAAGUAGUCUGUUAUCUUUGGGAGUGAGAAGGUUCCUGGCCACCACCGCAGCGGUCAUAUCAUUCUUCAUCACAGAAUCCCCAACGGUAAGAGGACCAGUAGGGGAUAAGAAGGAUGGGCGCCAUAUGUUGUCUGGAGAAGGUGUGGCUGCCUCUUCAACAAGGUUCAAGUCAAAACGACGGUCGGAGGGGCCAGACAUUUUCAAAGGUGUUGAAGAGAGAAAAGGUCAGACAAAUCAAGAUCUUAGAAGUGCAAGAAGGGAGCUUCUACUGGUGAAGAUUCAGGUGUGCUUUGAAACUUAAUGCCAGCCUCUAUAAAAAUCUGCACUUGACGGAGCUUCAGAAAUCAAAGAGGCAUCUGCCCAGAAAUCGAAGAGGCGUUUGCUUUCUCAAAAGUUGGGCUGCUCAGAGACCACGAGGGCCGAUUUCAGAAAUCGAAGAGGCGUUUGCUUUCUCAAAAGCUGGGCUGCUCAAAGACCACGAAGGCUGAUCUCAGAAAUCGAAGAGGCGCUUGCUUUCUCAAAAGAUGGGCUGCUCAGAGACCACAAGGGCCGAUCUCAGAAAUCGAAGAGGCACCUGUUUUUUUUUUUUUCAGCCUUGUCAGCAUCUGUCACAUGCACACUCAGCUUUGCUGAAAUUACGGGCAUUCUGGUGAAGUAGAAAGCACGUGAAUCUUAUUGUUCAAUCAUCCACUUUUCACACGCACCAUCAGCUCAUGGGUACCACAGAUAACUUUGCCAAAGAUCUCUGACAAAGUUUAGACACGUGAAGCUUGCAGCUCCCACUACAUCGCUAUGACCAAGAAGGGUAAAAUAAUAGCAAAGAAACAACACUAACAAAGUUUAGACACAGAAAUUUUGAAGGUCUAGCUAUCAUAUUAUUACCCACAAGGGUAAAGGAACAACAUCACGGCUGGAUAAUUGGAAAGUCCCUGUGUGUCAACCUCUGUGCUCCAUGGCAAGGUAGACUAGCAAACAUGCCCUACCUUUACUCACAUUCGAGAAAACACUCCAAACAAGAUUGCUUGCUCCAAAAUCGAAGAGGCACCGUCCUCCGAAUCUUGAGAGCCAGACUCCCAACAUGAUUACUUUCUCAAAAAUCGAAGAGACACCGCUCUCCGAAUCUCGAGAGCCAGACUCCCAGCAGGAUUGCUCUCUCAAAAAUCGAAGAGGCACCGUUCUCCGAAUCUCGAGAGACAGAUCCCCGACAGGAUUGCUUGUUCGAAAACUGAAGAGGCAUCACUUUCUCAACUUCGAGAGCCAGAUCUCCUUGGAUAAAGCUUGUCUGUAAUCUUCACACGCAACAUCAGCUUUCCAGAUACCACAGACCACUUUUUCAAAGUGCUCUGACACACGUGAAGCUGGCAGCUCCCACUACCGUGCUAUGACCAAGCAGGGUAAAGGAAUAGCAUUACUACUUGUUGUUAGGGAGACUCCUAUAUAUGUCGACCUCCAUCUUCAACGGACAGGCAGACCUGCAAAAAUGCUCAACCAUUCCUCAUAUCUGAGAGGGCACUCCCAACGAAGCCUCUCGAAAUACUCAGCUUUCUUUCCCCCCCCCCCCCCGAUAAUACCUUUGCAAACAAGCUACACCAGAGCAAGAAUAUCUCAUAUCAUCAGGGUUAAAAGCAAGAGUAUCCUAUAUCAUGCUAUUUCCCUGUCUUUUCCUUUGGCCUUGUUCUUACCUGCAAGACAAGGAGAACAUCUACCUAUGAGACAGAUAAGGCAAGUGAAGACGAUACCACACUUCGGUACUUAGAAGUUUCGUGAUUACGAUAUCAUUCUCCCACAAUAUUUCCUUAUGUCAUUUGUACUAAAUCAUUCAUUUGUACCCACUAAAGGAGAGCUUGAACCUAUGUACUUGUGUAAACCCUUCACAAUUAAUGCGAACUCAUCUACUCCAUAGACGUAGCCAAUCUGGGUAAACCACGUACAUCUUAUGUUUGCUUUCCUGUCUCUAUCCAUUUACAUACUUAUCCACCAUAAUGACCAGAGCAAUAAGUUAAUACUUUCUGUUGUACCAAAGUCCUCACUGAUUUUUUGCAUCAACAAGCCUUAAGUCCUUACCCUUUUGCGUCGCAAAUGAUAUAAGGUUGAUAGAUGAAACUCAUGAGGGGUAAAUGCGAAGCUUAACCUUUGGAGAGAAGUGGUGGAAUCUAAAGGUCUUCGCCUAAGCCGAUCAAAGACAGCAUAUAUGGAGUGCAAGUUCAGUGCAAAUGGAGACCAAAAUGAGUUAGGGGCGAGGAUCGGAGAUCAGGUAAUACCAAAGAGCGACCGUUUUCGCUACCUAGGAUCUAUCUUGCAAAAGAACGGAGAAUUAGAUGGAGAUCUCAAUCAUAGAAUACAAGCUGGAUGGAGAGGUGGUCUGUGAAGGUAGUGCGUGUCGUCACCUCUAAAGCUCAAAAACACCUCGUUCUUCCAGCGGUUUGAGCGGCACGGGCAAGACGAAGAGGCUGCGAUGGCGGUUCCAUGGACAGAGCUGAUGGUAUCUAUCGAUAAUUGGUACUAGCGUUGGGAGACUAGAGGGAGUGCAGCAGGCUGUGCGGCUUGGCUUUCAGAUAGCCAAAGCUCAGUCAAAUGUCAUCGCCUAAGUAUUAUAGAGAAACAAAAUGCGUGGAGCGAUAUGAAUAUACAUGUACAUGGCAUUGCAUAAGUUUACUACAAAAUAUGGUAACACCCUAAUUUUUAUGGACAUAGUACUAUCAGUAUUUGUGACUAUCUGCAUUGCAACUAUCCAAUAUUGCCAUGACAAUAGUUAUAUCCCAUCCAAUAAAGAAAUUAGAUAUGUCAAGGAACACACCCUUCACAUGAUCGGUACUUAACCCAUCGUAGCUUAAUUUAAGCGAUUCAUGAAUUUUUUUCAUGUGAAAUAUUUUAUUCAAUGUACUUUCCCAUAUGCUUCUACUUUUUUUCGUAGCCAACAAAUGGCCAACAACUUUCUGAGCUAGGGGCAAUCCUCCACAAUAAAGAACAACAUCUUCUGUGAUGUUGAGGUCGUUGCUGUCAACGAUCCCUUCAUCACCACCCGACUACAUGGUAAGUAAUUUACAUGGGUUUCCGCCUGUGACUGAAAACAGGUUCUCAGCUGAGUAGAUAGAAGUAUGCAGGGUUGCCAGGGCAUACAAUUCAUUAGUUGUGGGAUAUGUAUAUAUCUCGUCACGUCCCAUGCAGACACAUACCAACAUUUCAGGAUCGGGUGGAUUGAGUCUUAAAAUUGAAAAUUAGUUUAUAUGACAAAUUGAAAAAAAAAAGAAAAAAAAAAGUAAGCAAGCUCAUAUGACAUUUAAAAAAAAAAAUUCUUGUUCUCAAUUGUAGAACAUAGCUCUAACCACUUAUUGCACAAACACAUAAACCAUGACGAUGAUACGUUUGUUAGUUCUCAGUUUUUAUUUUGGACUUGGAAGUUGUGGGCACGGUGUUGCUGUUAGGAACGGAUUCAACUCUGAUGUACCUCUAACUAAUGCAUUGGUGACCGGUUCUGUCAAAACCGCUGCCAGCUUGUUCCGGUUGCAGAGAAAAAUGUGAUUUCUUGUUGCUCCAUGAUUGCUCUUUCACACUUAACAGGCAAGAACACUUACAUCUAUGAUAGGUGAAGAGAGAAAUUUCCUUGAAAUGAGGUGGUUUAUAGAACACUCAAGGCUCAAGCCAACCCCUAAGAUAUGUCUCUAAUUAAUGAUGUGUAAGACAUACUUACAUGUAAAUUUCUCUAAUGUCACUGAUCAAAUUGGAAAUUAUUAAUUUAUAUUUGUUAAGAUGAUAAGUUACUUAAAAAAAAUAAAAAAAGGACUCGUGACAUUGCUUCUCUAGAAAGUGCUUAAGCUAGAAGUGCUUCUAUUAUAACCACAUUGAAAUUUUUAUUAGAAACUCAAGUACAUUCUAAAAAACCACUUAAGGAUGCUUUUCGAAAAUAAAAAAAAGGCGUAUGCUUCUCCAUGAACCGCUUCUUUGAGCCAUAUGAACAAUUUAAACAAACCCCUAACUAGCGAGCAUGGCCUAGCCCAACCCCCAAUAUUACUCUUAGAAGCAACGAAAUUGAGAUGUAAAAACAUGUUUUCAUGGUCUUUAUAGAGGAAAAAGAUAGGGUAAAAUGACCUAAAUGGGUAAGAUUUAUAAACAAGUUGAUUCAUGCUUCAUAAUUGCAUCAGUUCCUUUGCAGUUUGUAGUAAAUGUCUACGUACCUUCCUUACAAGUCUCUUUACUGCGCUUUCCUUCAAUUCACUGUUGUUUUGUCAUCGUCAAAGCUUUCAAUAUUAAGAUCAAACCUUAAUAUUUUGCAGACCUCAUCAGAUGAGUGGCCUCUUUAACUCUGUACCAUCGUCAGUGUCGUCAUCAAACUCAUAUGGUAUAAUCUGAUAGUCUUCCUCAUCAGUAUCAUCAUCUCACGCUGUCACGCCCCGAUCCCCACAUACGUCCAGGAUCGACACUUGACGUCAUCAAAUAACCACAUAUCUAACAUACCCCGCCUCCAAGAUAUGUACAAAGCACAACUCGAGAAUCGAAUCGCAUAGAAGUAUUUCGUAUACUUUAUGGCUGCAUCUAACCUCUUCGUUAGACUGCCUACAUACCCUCAUUAGGGAUCAAGCCAUUCGUAGUUCGUCAUUCAUUACACCUCGACAUUUAUCACAAUACGUUCAAAUCGAAAAGCAUAGCAUUCCUCAAUCAAUUAUUAGAACUUAACAAGCAUGAAUUACUAGAUUCAUGGUUACAUAACAAAUCCACAUGACAUUCAAGGUUUCCAUUCCAUCCAUCAUAUAAAUCACUAUGUUUUCAACGUGAUAUCUCCAUCCACAACAUGUAACUUAUCCAAUAACCAACGAAGCACAAUAUUAUUCUUAAGCCACAUUGAUCACUAAAUAAUCAUAAUAAUAACAAUCAUAUUCAACAUCAUUCCACAAUUCCCGUCAAUUAAUCCCUUCAUGAAUCAAGGAUGCAUGAUCUUAGCAUUUAACUACGUUAAUCAAUCAAUGAGAUAACAUACCAUUUCACCAAUUCAAUUAGAGAACUCUAUAUAAUUCCCUACUUGGGUUAUGAGUAAUAACAUGGUAAUUCUAAUUUAUAUUCACAAGGUCUAUGGAUAAUUCCCAUUUGCUCGAAUCUAGGGUUCUAGACUAACCUUUUGGAACGUGCAAGAGUAAGGAUUUCGGACCACUCAACGGAAUUCAACCACAUCGGGUUCCAGACCACUCAACGGAACCAAAAUAUCAAUCGGUUUCUCGUAAUCUAUCCAGACCUGUUGCAUGUAAAAUCAGUGCCUACAUCAUGGAAAUGGUGCAUUGGGUAAUUCAGAACUUGGAUAAGUUGUGAAACUCAGGUGAACGACAAUAAUACAAAGUGUGAUAAUAGUGAUAAAACCAACCAUCAAUCACAGUUUAUAAACUUUGAAUAUGAAUCAUUCAUAAGAAAUUAAUACCAAACCUUCGCAAACUCUGAAGGAGUCACCCAAACAUCCAACGGUUCGUCUGAAACAAUCACAACAUCUCAUAACCAUAUUCUCAUACAACACCAUGAAAAGUAGGGUUAGAGCGACAUAGUUCGGCCGAAGCCUAUACCUUUGAAGCUAUCUCAAUCCAAACUCAAUGAAACCCAAGGUGAAUACAAUUCCGGAACUUCACUCAACGGAAUCGCGGAGUAGAAGGGAUUCUGGACCAUCUCUCAUGGAAUCCAAGUGGAUACGAUUCCGGAACAUCACUCAACGGAAUCGCGGAAGGCCAACAACCAUAAUGUACAACGGCUCAAAGAAAUGAGACAAGCACAAGCUACUAAAUUUACAAAAGCUUAACCAAGGGAAAUAAGGCACAUAUGCUAAAUUUAAAACGAAUCAACGAAGAGGGAAAAGAAACAAUAUCGAAGCAACAUAUCCCCAAUCACAACGGGUUCACAGUCCACCACUAGUCUUCACAUUUCAUCACAUCAAGCCAACCAUACAAAGCAAACCAUGUUUCUAAUAUGCACGUCAAAUCCCACAUCAUAAACUAUAACGAUGGCACUUUAUAGAAAACAUAAUCAUAAAACCGUCUCAUACCCUCUCAGGAUAAUAAUUAUGAAAAUAGAGUAAUCACCUGUAACAUAUAUUAAAGUCACUCACCCUUUUUUUUUUAUGUACAUAUACAUGAGUCAAAAUAAACACACAAGAGGGAGCCUUCACAAAGGUUGCUUAGGAGAAGUCUCAGCAGUCGGUAGAGCCCCAGAAAGAGAAGGCACCGGAGGGGGAUCAUUUGGAGCCUCAGUACUGGACAGAACCCUAGAAGGAGGAGGCAUCAGAGGUUGAUCAUUUGGAGCUUCAUUACGCGGUACAGCCCCAGAUGACGAAGGCAAUAAAUGCCUUUGGAACAAACCCACAAAUCUCUGAUGAUCAAGUAAAACCUGACCAUCAGUUUCCUUCAUCUGGUCAAGCUUCCUCUUCAUGUUUGUAGCAUAGUCAUGUGCGAGCCGGUGCAACUGUUUAUUCUCCUGUUUGAGACCUCUAAUCUCCUGUUUGAGACUCAUCACUUCAGCCGCCAAUGAUUCAACUUGGCGGGUUCGAGCAAAUAGGCGUUGGGCCAUAUUAGACACAGAACCUGCACACUGAACACUGAGAGCCAGCGAAUCCUUAACAGCUAACUCAUCAGACCGUUUGGAAAGUAGUCUGUUAUCUUUGGGAGUGAGAAGGUUCCUGGCCACCACCGCAGCGGUCAUAUCAUUCUUCAUCACGGAAUCCCCAACGGUAAGAGGACCAGUAAGGGAGACGAAGGAUGGGCGCCAUAUGUUGUCUGGAGAAGGCGGGGCUGCCUCUUCAACAAGGUUCAAGUCAAAACGACGGUCGGAGGGGCCAGACAUUUUCAAAGGUGUUGAAGAGAGAAGAGGUCGGACAAAUCAAGAUCUUAGAAGUGCAAGAAUGAAGCUUCUACUGGUGGAGAUUCAAGUGUGCUUUGGAACGUAAUGCCAGCCCCUAUAAAAAUCUGCACUCGACGGAGCUUCAGAAAUCGAAGAGGCGCCUGCUCAGAAAUCGAAGAGGCGUUUGCUUUCUCAAAAGCUGGGCUGCUUAGAGAUCACGAGGGUUGAUCUCAGAAAUCGAAGAGGCGUUUGCUUUCUCAAAAGUUGGGCUGCUCAAAGACCACGAAGGCUAAUCUCAGAAAUCGAAGAGGCGCUCGCUUUCUCAAAAGCUGGGCUCCCCAGAGACCACGAGGGCCGAUCUCAGAAAUCGAAGAGGCACCUACUUUUCCAGCCUUGUCAGCACCUGUCACACGCACACUCAGCUUUGCGGAAAUUAUGGGCAUUCUGUCGAAGACUUCUGGGGAAGUAGAAAACACAUGAAUCUUACUGUUCAAUCACCCACUUCCCACACGCAACAAUAGCUCAUGGGUACCACAGAAAACUUUGCCAAAGUUCUCUGCCAAAGUUGAGCACGUGAAGCUUGCAGGUCCCCACUACAUCGCUCUGACCAAGAAGGGUAAAAGAAUAGCAAAGAAAUAGCACUAACAAAGUUUAGACCUAUAAAUUUUGAAGGUCUAGCUACCAUAUUAUUACCCACAAGGGUAAAGGAACAGUACCACUGCUGGAUAAUUGGAAAGUCCCUGUGUGUCAACCUCUGUGCUUCGUGGCAAGGUAGACUAGCAAAACAUGCCCAACCUUUACUCACAUUCGAGAAAACACUCCCAAUAAGAUUGCUUGCUCCAAAAGCCAGACUCCCAACAUGACUACUUUCUUAAAAAUCGAAGAGAGGGUAAAGGAACAGUACCAUUGCUGGAUAAUUGGAAAGUCCCUGUGUGUCAACCUCUGUGCUUCGUGGCAAGGUAGACUAGCAAACAUGCCCAACCUUUACUCACAUUCGAGAAAACACUCCCAACAAGAUUGCUUGCUCCAAAAUCGAAGAGGCACCGCCCUCCGAAUCUCGAGAGCCAGACUCCCAACAUGAUUACUUUCUCAAAAAUCGAAGAGACACUGCUCCCCGAAUCUUCGAGAGCCAGACCCCCAGCAUGAUUGCUUUCUCAAAAAUCGACGAGGCAUCGUUCUUCGAAUCAAUCGAAAAGGCGCUCGCUUUCUCAAAAGCUGGGCUGCUCAGAGACCACGAGGCUCGAUCUCAGAAAUCGAAGAGGCACCUACUUUUCUAGCCUUGUCAGCACCUGUCACACGCACACUCAGCUUUGCAGAAAUUAUGGGCAUUCUGUCGAAGACUUCUGGUGAAGUAGAAAGCACAUGAAUCUUACUGUUCAAUCACCCACUUCCCACACGCAACAAUAGCUCAUGGGUACCACAGAUAACUUUGCCAAAGUUCUCUGCCAAAGUUGAGCACGUGAAGCUUGCAGCUCCCACUAAAUCGCUCUGACCAAGAAAGGUAAAAGAAUAGCAAAGAAACAGCACUAACAAAGUUUAGACACAUAAAUUUUGAAGGUCUAGCUACCAUAUUAUUACCCACAAGGGUAAAGGAACAGUACCACUGCUGGAUAAUUGGAAAGUCCCUGUGUGUCAACCUCUGUGCUUCGUGGCAAGGUAGACUAGCAAACAUGCCCAACCUUUACUCACAUUCGAGAAAAACACUCCCAACAAGAUUGCUUGCUCCAAAAUCGAAGAGGCACCGUCCUCCGAAUCUCGAGAGCCAGACUCCCAACAUGACUACUUUCUCAAAAUCGAAGAGAGGGUAAAGGAACAGUACCAUUGCUGGAUAAUUGGAAAGUCCCUGUGUGUCAACCUUUGUGCUUCGUGGCAAGGUAGACUAGCAAACAUGCCCAACCUUUACUCACAUUCGAGACAACACUCCCAAUAAGAUUGCUUGCUCCAAAAUCGAAGAGGCACCGCCCUUCGAAUCUCGAGAGCCAGACUCCCAACAUGAUUACUUCCUCAAAAAUCGAAGAGACACUGCUCUCCGAAUCUCGAGAGCCAGACCCCCAGCAUGAUUGCUUUCUCAAAAAUCGAAGAGGCAUCGUUCUCCGAAUCUCGAGAGCCAGAUACCACAGACCACUUUUUCAAAGUGCUCUGACAGAGUUAAAACAUGUGAAACUGGCAGCUCCCACUACCGUGAUAUGACCAAGCAGGGUAAAGGAAUAGCAUUACUACUUGUUAGGGAGACUCCUAUAUAUGUCGACCUCCAUCCCCAACGAACAGGCAGACCUGCAAAAAUGCUCAACCCUUCAUCAUAUAUGAGAGGGCACUCCCAACGAAACCUUUCGAAAUAUUCAGCUUUCUUUCCCCCCGAUAAUACCUCUGCAAACAAGCUAUACUAGAGCAAGAAUAUCUCAUAUCAUCAGGGUUAAAAGCAAGAGUAUCCCAUAUCAUGCUUUUUCCCUGUCUUUUCCUUUGGCCUUGUUUUUACCUGCAAGACAAGGAGAAAGAGAGCAAUCAGUCAGCACUUGGAAUCAAGCUUCCAGCCAGGAACUGACUGCCUGGAACCGCUUACCUGAUUACUUACCUGGCAUUGCUCUCGAGUACUCAUCUUCAACAUCUUAUGUUUCCAGGGAAGAUUCCGCAUCUGCUUGAGGAACAGAUAGGGCAAGUGCGAAGGAUACAAGGAAGCAUGUGGAGACAAGCGUAACAGCACACGUGCCGAUACAUCCAUUACUCUGUCAAAAGCAAAAGUAUCCCAUAUCAGCAGGGUGGAACGUACUCUAGAUUUGAUGGACUUGUUUUGACCCUCAAAUUCUUCAGUCGGCCUUAUACUCUGGAGGAAACCAGAAAACCCUCCAGCUCAGUUCAAGAAUAAGCCUGUGGAAAGUUACUUCUUCAAAAGCAAAAGUAUCUCAUAUCAUCUCUUCUCAUUUUUCUUCUCUUUAUCCUUCAUGCUGCUGAAAGAUGGGGAGAAGGUGAACAAUCAGUUGGAGCUUUGAUUGCUUACCUUGUCUGUCACCUCUUUCAGCAGACCCCCUAGCUCGGCGACUUGGGGGACUCCUACUACAUGGUUUGUAUCGCGCUUGACCAAGCCUGAAACUACAAGUAAGCUUCAAGUGAAAUUGAUACAUUACCUUGUGCAUCUCCACCAGUUAAAGAUACCACCCCUGGAUGGAGGAAGAGUACUUCCAGAGAAGAUGCCACAUCUACCUAUGAGACAGAUAAGGCAAGUCAAGACGACACCACACUCCGAUACUUAGAAGUUUCGUGAUUACGAGAUCAUUCUCCCACAAUAUUUCCUAAUGUCAUUUGUACUAAAUCAUUCACUUGUACUCACUAAAGGAGAGCUUGAACCUAUGUACUUGUGUAAACCCUUCACAAUUAAUGAGAACUUUUCUAUUCCGUGGACGUAGCCAAUCUGGGUGAACCACGUACAUCUUGUGUUUGCUUUCCUAUCUCUAUCCAUUUAUAUACUUAUCCACACUAAUGACCGGAGCAAUCUAGCGAAGAUCACAAAAAGCGACCGUUUUCGCUACCUAGGAUCUAUCUUGCAAGAGAACGGAGAAUUAGAUGGAGAUCUCAACCAUAGAAUACGAGCUGGAUGGAUGAAGUGUAAGAAUGCAUCCGGCGUGUUGUGUGUGACCGUCGUAGGCCACUGAAGCUCAAGGGAAAAUUUUAUAGGACGGCAAUAAGGCCAGCGAUGUUGUAUGGCACAGAAUGUUGGGCGGUGAAGCAUCAACACGUACACAAAAUGGGGUGUAGCGGAGAUGAGGAUGCUUCGUGGGAUGUGUGGGCACACGAGAAAGGAUAAGAUUGGGAAUGAGGAUAUCCGAGGUAAAGUAGGAGUAGCCGAAAUUGUAGGAAAGAUGAGAGAAAAUCGGCUCCGGUGAUUUGGACAUGUGCAAAGAAGGCCGAAUGACGCUCCGGUUCGAAGAUGUGACUACGGGACAGAGGUUCAGGGCCGAAGGGGUAGAGAAAGACCUAGGAAAUCUUUGGAAGAGACUCUAAGAAAAGACUUAGAGUACUUGGAUCUAACGGAGGAUAUGACACAAAACCGAGCGCAAUGGCGUUCUAGGAUUCAUAUAGCCGACCCCACUUAGUGGGAAAAGGCUUUGUUGUUGUUGUUGUUGAACCAUACAUAUUAUUUCUCAUCCAUGAAAUCAACAUUUUAACGUUCUAUUCCUAUGCUUGUAACCUUCAUUCUCCAUCCUUUAAUAAACCAACCCAAAGUUAAUGGUUUUUCAACUUAAAACACCACCUCUUCACUCAUGCCACUACCCCUUUUGACAUGUAUAUGCGGCAAUAUAUAUAUAUAUAUAUUAAUUAAGAGAAACUAGAUCGUUUACUAAUAACUUGAAUAUAACUACUAGUAAACAAUCUAAACUCUUAAACCCCAACUAAACACACUCAAAUAAGCACAAGAUUAACAAGGAUGUCAUUUCAACUAUAAUUCCCUUCUAGGUCUAGAUGCUUGGUAACGAAAGAAGUAUCUCAUAAAUCUAAUGUCACAUAUCGGAAAAUUCGACUUUUUCCAAAAAUUCUCAAAUUUUACAAGAAUGAAGGUCUCAACAAGUAGAGUAAAUUUUAUAUUUGUGGCCAAGUCCAAUUUGACCGGGAAGGCUCUCAAAUUGGCUCGUAUCCAUCGAAAACCCUAAGGUGGGUGUUCUUCAAUUCGGCUUCCUUGGUGUUCCAAUGCCCCUACAACUAAUUGGGUCUUGUUCUUGGGUCCAAGAGAAGUUGAUCAAGGGUGAUGUGAAUGGUGAUACUCUCCAGAAUGACAAUUCGUCGUCGAGAACCCCCGGGUUCUCCUAUGGAGUUCUACAUGAAAUAGACCUUAAAAACCCUUGAUAUUUGGUGGAGGUGGAAGGAGGAAUGUAGUUGAGCAGGUUGCAGGUGAAGGAGAUAAGAAAAUCAGUUGAGAAAUGGUAGAAAUUUGCAUGAAGUUGGCCGGAUCAAAACCAUUUUUUUUUUUGUGGUGCACGGGUUCACCAAAUGGGGGGGACUCCUUUCCCUCCUUUUCUUUCUUCACUCGCCACUCCCGUGGCUUUAUCUUUUUUUUUUUUUUUUAAGCAACACAACUUCAAACUUCCGUAAUUAUACCGUUAUAAUCCGGACUCGCAAAUGGUUUUCGCCUAUGCUUUCGUGACUUCAAGACCUAUUCGAAAACGUUACUUGUGACCUCGAAAGGUCAACGAGUAAAUAAUAAUUCCAAACUUCACUCUUCGUAACUAGAUUAAUUGAAAUCUAAUUUCAAAUAAAUUAAUAUAAAUUCUCAAAAAGUAAUAUAAAUCUCAAUAAUACAAUUACGUAGAUUAUAACAGUGAAAUCCAGAAACGGGAUUUCACACACCCUUAUGGUACGCGCUCAUAGUUCACUUUUUUUAUUUCUGAAGGUAAACAAUGUUCCCAUCCUACAGAAUUUACUCCUGUUUUCUUCACCUUAAAUUGAUGAUCAUCCUCUGUUCCAAAAAAUUCUGCAUGCACACGAACCUUGUCGCCACUUUUCAGAUUGAGCUUCCUGUUUGAAAGACUUCCCAGCCAAAGAUAAUCUUCAUGGGAGCCAGUUAUGGUGGCAUCCAUUCACCAGAUGGAAAAAUAAGUUCGCUGGGAAGGAUUAACCACAUCAAUCCAUAAAGACCCACUACACUGCGAUGGUCCAAAGAAUAAACGAUGCACACAGCCAACCCUCCUAUAUAAUCAAUACUUGGCGGCACAUCAAAUUUGACAUUUUCAUCCUCUGUCACGACAUAGGUUAACCAUUAAGGAAUAACAUUUCAAGAGCGACCGAUUCCUCCAAAUACAUCCCCCACGUUCCAUUUCUACAACGCGGCGUGCAAAGUUUGUAUAAGCAACAAUACGAGAAGGGCACAGAGAGAGAGAGAGAGAUCGAGGCUAUCAUGCAACAAAAUAUAAAACUCAUCUAGGACAAUUAUGACUAUUGUGAAUUGGUAAUAUUAUCGAUGGAUAUGUUAUAUGAUCUUCAAACUCGCUAUAGCAUGAUUUUUUUUUUUUGUAUCCUUUUCGUCAACUUCAUCUGUUUUUCUAUUAAGUAGAGAUGAUAAACUUAAAAUUCAUCCCACAACCUAAAAAAUGGAAAAAAGAAAAAAGAAAAAAAGGAGGUGGAUGUACAAAAUCCUUGCUAUGCCCUCUAUAUUUAACAAAAAAAUAAAUUGAGUUAACGGAUAUAAUUGAAGUACCACAUGAGAUUGAGUUUGAGAACCACAAUAAGAAAAUAAGAAAAACUAUUCUAGAAUGAAGGUAAAAUUCGUGACAACAAUGCCGUAUAUCUAAAAAAUAGUUCAUGCAUAUUUAGAUGUUAACACAUAGUCAUUUAUCUCGUUUAUUGAACAAACAACGAGGACAACAAUGUUGUUUUCUCUCUUUUGAAAUUCAUAAACAAAAUUGAGAUUUCUUGGUGACUCCUCUGUCCCUCAGGACCAACAAGGGGUAAUACAGGAAUAUUCACCUGUUGUCCAUUGACUAUGCCUUUUGGCCUGAUCUUAGGCCCCGACUCACUCUCCGUGGACAAACCUUGCGAAGGAACCUUUAGGUUUUCGGGGCAUCGGAUUUUCACCAAUGUUUGCGUUACUCAUGCCGACAUUCUCGCUUCCGCUCCGUCCACGUCUAAUUGCCAUUUUGUUUGGGCUUCUCCUUUCUGUUCUUACCGUCUCUUCCAUUUGGAAGCUUCUGGUCAUUAAUUUUUUUAGCUUCAUUAGAAGAUGCUCCCAUUUGGCCCCUGUAAGGAAUGAAAUUGAAUUUCGUGUUCAGCUAUUUAAAGAUUCAACUCUAAGUUUUGUCAAUAGCAAUUAAGUAAGAACAGGUAUGAUCAAGCUUAUAAACAAAUCACAACAACAUUACAAAUCAGAAACAUGUACAAGGUAAUGCAGUUAUAUCCAAUUCUUUUGUGCUUUCUCCACAAAAGUUCCUCCACAUUAACGUAACUCUAUAUCAAUUAAUCUAUCAUACAAGACUAGAAAUAAUCGGCAAUUGAAAAAUAAGACAACACGAGCUUCCGUCCAGUAAAAUUUUCAUCCAAAGACAGUAGGCAAAACCAAAAACGUACAAACCUUCAAUGCCGUUGUAUAAUCUCUCCCUUCCCAAUAUGCUCAUCAAGCAAUUCCGGCACAUUACCAGGAGUGGCGAAGGGAUACCUGCAAUUAAUAAUACAUAAUAUUCAUACUCCUUCAUCGAUCCCAAUACGAUAAAUUUUAAAUUGUUAUGAUCCAGAUAUUACCAAUGAUCUGUUAUGCUUCCAUCUGAACCUAGGUUGUAGAUAUCCAAGUUUCCAGCAUACUUGUGGCCUCCAAUGUGAAAGCAAGCAGUAACGAAUACCUGAUCCGUCAAUCCUCGCAGCUCAGCCUCCUGUUUGAACUUAUCAAUGAGAGUACGUGCAUGAUAACGAUCCCAUUUAUCUUGACUCAUACGUGCGCAUAUAAAUACAUAGGGGCCAGUCAGCGGCUCUUGCACUCCAGAAGCCCAUGGUUUGUGAUUCAUAAGGACAUCAUCAACAAAGCUGUCCACAUCCGACUCUUUCAAGCCCCUUUGAUCAACAAACAAAAACAACCUCAAAAUCACAAGAAAGGAUUUACAGGCAAGCAAUUAGUCGUAAACGGAGCCAUUAAAUUCAAUUUCUACAACUAAUUUCAGAAGCUAACACAUAUCUAAUUAUCCAUUUAGGUCAGUAAAUUCAUGUUGGUUAUGGAAUGGGCCCUCGAUUAUGAAUUAAUUACGGUUUGCCAUUGUGUGUGCUAGUGUGGCCCAUGCUUAACAGCUGGGUUGGGCUGCUGCAUUUAGGUGUGUGUUUGCUAGCUGGCUGGCUGGUGGGUGAGUCUUAGAUACAAACCCAAUCUUAUUAAUUAAAUUUGGCCUUUGGUGUGCUCAAACUGCUAUGGGGGAUGGUUAGAAUUUUGAGCCCGGGAUGCAGUAGGACCAAGAGCAAUCCACCACUUGCAGAAUUGUUGUCAAAGUAACUCUGCUAAAAAUAUGAGCUAUACUUCCUGCACUAUGCUUUUACUGUGAAGUGGAAAUAGUCUUUAGAGAGGCUUAUUUGGGAUAAUUGAUAAAGAGGUUUGUGUUUAAGACUUGAGAGUAGUGCGGUGUCUUUCUUGCUGGUUCUGCUCACACCACCUCAUCUAGCCAUUGUGAUGGAGUACACGGCUGGGUGAGAACACUUGGAGAGAAUAUGCAGUGCUGGCAGAUUUAGUGAGGAUGAGAUAAAGUAGUUUCCAACGCAGAGAAAAUUUCAUUGGAAAUGAUUUUAGUGUAGAGUCUCAAAUAUGGGAUCUCUGAAUGUCCCCUGAAAUGGAAUCCAUCUCAAUUUUCGUUUAGUUUCAGAUAGGGAAAGUUAGGUCUGAAGCAUUUUUACAUAAAUAGUCAGUCAUAAUAUAACUAAAACUUACUUUUUCGAUUUAAUUGUUGUUUUGCAUCAAGCAAGGUUUUUCUUCCAGCAAUUAUAUCAGGAGUUAGCUACUGUCAUUUAAUGGUAUGUAAUGUGGCACUUUUUUGCUAAUGCGUUGUAUACUGUUAUUUCUUUCUCUUUUGAUAUUGGAAGUGUUGGUUGUAUUAAUGAAAUAAUUCGUUUCAAUAGUAUAUGACUUAGUUUUAAUAGUAUUAUUCAGUUUUCUAAUAGCACUCGGGUGGGAACGUGGGUCGGCUCAUGUUUUAGUCUCUCCAUCGUAAGCAAUUUUACAUGGCAUUCUUCAAUGUGGCUAUAGGUAAGACAACACUCUCAGUAUUCCAUAAUCAAACCACCAUUUGAACUUUUUUCGUCCACCAAGUUAAGCUUUUAUGUGCCAUCUUGAAUAGUUAUAAGUUAUUGAUUCAGAUUGCUCCAGUGAGACAUUGUUGUUCUAUUGCUUACCUCUCAAGCUUGCUUAAUAUACUUAUUCUUAUUACUGUUGUAUUGUUAAGAAAUACUCAACUGCGAUUUCAGUUCAUUGUUAUGAAUCAGAUUCAAAUUAACCACUCACUAGUUAAUUAUCUAAAUCCUAUAAAUUUGGAUUAAAAUUAAAGCAACUCCAGAACAAAAACCUCAAGAAAUCGAUGCGAAUUUACCUGUAUUUGAUCAUUUGUGGGAAAAUCAACACAUCGCCGUCGGAAAACUCAGUUCCUUCAUGUCCUUCAAUUACAGUCAUCGACGUCUAUCAAAAAACCAAGAAAAAAAGUAAGUAACGGAGUCAGCUCAGCUCAACACCAGAACUCAGUAGCUCCAGGAAAUAAGAAACGUCAGAAACACCAACGAAUUGGGUUGGAAAACGGACCUUAAAGGUGAUGUCGUUCUUGCGAGCUUUGAGAGCGGAAGUGAAGAACUUAGGGAGUGGAUCGGACUUAGAGCCGUUGAUGCACCACGGCCAGGCCUCGGGGGUCUUGUAGCAGAAGAAAACGUGGCGAAUGUCCAACUGUGUAUCGUCAUCAGUGUCUUCAUCAGACAAAUCCCAUUUUACCAUAUCCACUCCUGUUUUGUUCUCCUUAAUUCUAUUAUCUCCUCCAUAAAAUUCCGCUUUUAGAAGAACCAUGUCACCGCCUUUCAGAUUGAGCUUCUUGUUUGAAAGAUUUCCCAACCAAAGAUAAUAUUCAUGGGAAGCAGUUACGGUGGCCUUCAUUGGCCAGAUGCGAAACUUAGUUCGCUGGGUACAAUUAACAACAUCAAUGCAUAGAGACCCGGUAGAGUCGGAGUUGUCUAAAGAAUAAACGAUGCCCAAAGCCAACCCUCCUAUAUAAUCAAUACUUGGCGGCACUUGAAAUUUGACAGUUUUAUCCUCUCCCGUGACAUAGGCUAACCAGUUAGGAAUAUCAUUUCCGGAGAGAAAAAUUCCACCAAAUGCAUUUCUCUACAACAUGGGGUGCAAAGUCAGUAUAAGCAACAAUACAGAGAGAGAGAGAGAGAGAGAGAGAGAGAGAGAGAGAGAUACCCUUCGGAGGUUCUCCUUAAAAGUAUCAGUGAGACUGGUACACCCUUCCAUAAGAAUUGAAUACAUGUGGUCCAAUGAGUUCUCCAAGUUUGGAAUAUCUUUGAGUUUGCGGCAGUUCGGCAAAUCUGACAUUGUUUUACCUAUAUUGCCCAUACCCCUAAUUCCAAUUAUUUGAACAUCAGGUGAACGUCCAACAUCUAAGUAUUCAGUACUGACGUCUAAGUAUUCAGUACUGAAGUUCUGCACACGAGAAGUCAUUCCAUCUGAGUGCUUGGCUUCUUUUAAGUCUGCAGUUUUCAAUAGUUCCUUGAUGUUCCCAACAAUUUUCUCGAUAAACACUCCUUCACGCCUACGAGUAGGAAUUCCAAAUUACGUGAGCCAUACUAAAUGCCUUAUUCAUAAUGACUAGAUAUUUACAUAUUGAAACAGAUUUGAAUAAACUGGAUUAAUUGAGCUCAAUUCAACCACGUAUCUAAUCUUCGAUUAUAAUGUAAAUACAUCAGAUCAUUGGUCAUCGGACUAUUACACAAUUGUAGCCUUCAGAUUUAUAAUUAAGAAUCCAUAACAAUUGGUAUUUUAAUUUGAUAAAGUGGAGCAUUUGUCCUUCACACACCCAUAAAAAACAAAGCACGACCCUACAUUUCACUUCCUUAAUUUCAAUGAAAAUUCUUAUGAAAAUGCUCUACCUUUUAUAAAAUUCAUAUACCAAUUAUAAUAAAUUUUUAUGUAGGGACCAAAAUUACAGUUCUAUCAUUGUUCAGGAUCAACGAUCCAAUUUUUCUUCUAACAUAUAAACUCAGAUCCAAUGCCUUAAUUAUAAAAUCUUAAUUUUGGUUGAUUAGUGAAAUAUGGUGAUACGAAAUUUGAAGUAAACAAAAAAGUAUACCCGUCGGCCGUGGUUUUGAGGUUCCAGCCAACCAAAUCUGCAGAAGCCUUAAGAUCCUCUCUCCACUGCUUGACCUCGUUUGGAUCUUCAUCCCAUUCAUGCUUCUGAAAUGCUUUCCCAAAACUAUCAUUCUGUUUCCUGACUUGAGAAGGGUCAACGUCGUAGAAUAUUGGACAUACUAUUUUCCCCUCUUGAUCUUUUAGGCACCUCAUGAUCUUCGACAGCUCCCUCAGGCACCAUCGGGACUCCGCGUACCUCUUCGAGAAGAUGAUGACGGCGAUUCUCGACCCUUCGAUUUCUUGGUCAAGUUCACUCUGUAUGUUUCCCCCCCUUGUGAGCUGGUAGUCUAUGGAAGUGUUGAUUCCGGCAUUGCGUAACGCAAUGAAGAGGUGGUCUGUGAAGGUAGUGCGCGUGUCGUCGCCUCUAAAGCUCAGGAACACCUCGUACUUCCACCGGUUUGAGCUCUGCGAGGAAGACGAAGAGGCUGCAACGCCGGCUCCAUGGGCGGAGCUGCUGGUAUCCAUUGUAGCCUGUAGAAGUGCAGCUUGGCUUUCAAAUAACCAAAGUCAAGUCUUUCCCAAGAUUCCCCGGUGUAGGCAGCCCUUUUAAAUUUUUUUGCAUGGGUCAAUGAUGUCACUGCCGUGUCGAUAACGUGUGAGUGCUAUUCCUCCGACAAUUUAAUUUGUAUAAAUGUCACCAUCAAAUUUUAAUAAAAAUUGUAUAACUGCUACGAUGCAAUUUCCUUUCUUCUGUAGUUUUUUUGAGAAAUCUGCUGCCCAAUUUUGACCAGUUGACGUGCGCAGGUCAAUCCAACUGUCCCUGCUGGUGGACGGAAGAAUCUUUGUUAGAGUAGGAAUUCCAAAUUACGCUUUAUUCAUAAUGACUAGAUAUUUACAUAUUGAAACAGAUUUGAAUAAAUUGGAUUAAUUGAGCUCAAUUCAACCAUGUAUCUAAUCUUCGAUUAUAAUGUGAAUACAUCAGAUCAUUGGUCAUCGGACUAUUACACAAUUGUAGCCUUCAGAUUUAUAAUUAAGAAUCCAUAACAAUUGGUAUUUUAAUUUGAUAAAGUGGAGCAUUUGUCCUUCACACACCCAUAAAAAACAAAACACGUACCCUACGUUUCACUUCCUUAAUUUCGAUGAAAAUUCUUAUGAUGUGACUGCCGUGUUGAUGAAAAUUCUUAUGAUGUGACUGUCGUGUCGAUAACGCGCGAGUGCUAUUCCUCCCACAAUUUAAUUUGUAUAAAUGUCACCAUCAAAUUUUAAUAAAAAAUUGUAUAUAACUGCUACGAUGCAAUUUCCUUUCUUUUGUGAGAAAUCUGCUGCCCAAUUUUGGCCAGUUGACGUGCGCAGGUCAAUCCAACUGUCCCUGCUGGUGUACGGAAGAAUCUUUGUCGGAGUAGGAAUUCCAAAUUACGUGAGCCAUACUAAAUGCUUUAUUCAUAAUGACUAGAUAUUUACAUAUUGAAACAGAUUUGAAUAAAUUGGAUUAAUUGAGCUCAAUUCAACCAUGUAUCUAAUCUUCGAUUAUAAUGUGAAUACAUCAGAUCAUUGGUCAUCGGACUAUUACACAAUUGUAGCCUUCAGAUUUAUAAUUAAGAAUCCAUAACAAUUGGUAUUUUAAUUUGAUAAAGUGGAGCAUUUGUCCUUCACACACCCAUAAAAAACAAAGCACGUACCCUACGUUUCACUUCCUUAAUUUCGAUGAAAAUUCUUAUGAUGUGACUGCCGUGUCGAUGAAAAUUCUUAUGAUGUGACUACCGUGUCGAUAAAGCGCGAGUGCUAUUCCUCCCACAAUUUAAUUUGUAUAAAUGUCACCAUCAAAUUUUAAUAAAAAUUGUAUAACUGCUACGAUGCAAUUUCCUUUCUUUUGUGAGAAAUCUGCUGCCCAAUUUUGGCCAGUUGACGUGCGCAGGUCAAUCCAACUGUCCCUGCUGGUGGACGGAAGAAUCUUUGUCGGAGUAGGAAUUCCAAAUUACGUGAGCCAUACUAAAUGCUUUAUUCAUAAUGACUAGAUAUUUACAUAUUGAAACAGAUUUGAAUAAAUUGGAUUAAUUGAGCUCAAUUCAACCACGUAUCUAAUAUUCGAUUAUAAUGUGAAUACAUCAGAUCAUUGGUCAUCGGACUAUUACACAAUUGUAGCCUUCAGAUUUAUAAUUAAGAAUCCAUAACAAUUGGUAUUUUAAUUUGAUAAAGUGGAGCAUUUGUCCUUCACACACCCAUAAAAAACAAAGCACGUAUCCUACGUUUCACUUCCUUAAUUUCGAUGAAAAUUCUUAUGAUGUGACUGCCGUGUCGAUAACGCGCGAGUGCUAUUCCUCCCACAAUUUAAUUUGUAUAAAUGUCACCAUCAAAUUUUAAUAAAAAUUGUAUAACUGCUACGAUGCAAUUUCCUUUCUUUUGUGAGAAAUCUGCUGCCCAAUUUUGGCCAGUUGACGUGCGCAGGUCAAUCCAACUGUCCCUGCUGGUGGACGGAAGAAUCUUCGUUGGAGUAUCAAUGGGAAGAGACCUCAUCUCCAACAACCUAUCUUAACAAAAGAUGCAGAAAAUUAAACGCCAAGAGGCUACUUUCUUUAUUUUGUGAACAGUAACGAACUAGAAGGAUCAGUGUCGUAAAAUAAGUAAUUUACUUGCCCAAAAUAAGAAUCAAUUUAGCUACGAAACCAAGGAGAUGAUUGAGCUCAAGAUAGCAGCUUUUAUCCUAUCGUCUUGCAAGGAAAACAAGCUACGAAUUGCUUGCAUCAUCCGAAGCUAUCCAACCAAUGGUUGAAUUUCUCAGUCAAGACUAUGCUGAAGGCAUCAGUGUGCAGGCCAGACUCGAUAGCAUAGCCACACUAAACCUCUCGCGCUGCCAUCAGAUUAUUUUGUCUCAGGUCUCUUCGGGCGUAGUGUUCUCAGUAAUAAUCCAAGGCUUGGAAAAAUCAAGCCAACCGGUUGAGAAGGCAAUUGUGCUACUUGACGACAUUGUUUCUUCAUCGAAGACUGCGCUCAAGGAAACUGCAGGUACGUGCAGCACAAUCUGGGUGCUGGUUGAGACAAUCGAAGGGGGAUCGAUGAAAUGCAAGGAGCACGCAGCGAGUAUACUCCUGCUUAUAUGCAAGAGGUGCAGAGAGAACUACAGAGGACUGAUACUGAGAGGAGGAGCAAUGCCCGGACUGCUUCAGCUGAGUGGAUGGGACGCGCACGGCUAACACUGCGGCAUGGAAGUUGCUGUUUCUUUUGACUGUUCCAAUUAUGGUUCGAGAAACAAGCAAUCAAGGAAUAAGUUGACGGUGUGAGUACAACGGCAUUGAGACCGUUCCAAUUAUGCAGGAAAUUGAUGCAGAAGGAGAAAAAGUUGACAGGGUGAGUACAACGGCAUUGAGGCUGGUGGAGGACAUGCUUGCAGAGAUCAGCAGUGGACGAUGAUCUCGACCAAAUUCUGAGCUUUACCAAGAAGAUUAAAAUGUUGGAACAGCCGUUUAUCUCGUUUAUUGAACAAACGAUGAGGACAACAAUGCCGUCUAGCCUCUUUCAAAAUUUAGACUUCUUUCUCAUAAAAAUUGACAGAAUCUACGGUUGAAUUAAAGUCCAACAGGCAAAUUGAAAACAAUCACAAGAGCUUAGAAAAUACCACACCAACAUUUGGCCAGCAGUCUCACAACAAAUCCCACUGUCAAGAUAAAACCAUUCAACAGUGUAUUGGAACAACAAAUUUCAGUUGUGUAAGCAAUCAACAUAAAGGAACACUGAAUACUUUUGUAACUAUAUAUGGAUUAGCUUCGGGAAUUCAUCAAACCCUCCAAAAAAGAACGUAUAGUGUAGCUACCAUAUUCUCCUUUCAUAUAAGAGCUUAUUUAAUUAAUGUUAUAACACCUUUCUACCAAGAAAAAAAAGAAGAAAAUACGGCCUCUACACCCGUGGCAAAACCCGACAUGGAUUAGAGUACGUUUCAGCCUAACCUUCUGUAAAAGCUAUAGGCCACAGCCACUGUUACCACUGCUCCAACCACGGCAGCAGCUGCGAGAACAUCGCUUUGCUCCCAGUUCCCGAUCAAGCUUGACAGCUUCCCUAGGGAAUCCUUCCUGGCACAAGACUCUCUGGUUUCUUUCACCUUCUUUUCCUCACUUCCAUCGUUCUGCUCUAAACUUACUUCUUUGCAGCAUGUAAAUCCUUUACUAUUUGCACCCUGGCAACAGCCUGAAAGGUUCUCAUUAUUCUGAAUCUGAUUGCCGUUUUCUUGGGGCUUCUCCUCGAUUUUCUUUCUCCUCCAUUUGGAAGCUUCUGGUCAUUAAUUUUUUCAGCUUCAUCCGAAGAUGCUCCCAUUUUGCCCCUGUAAGGAAUGAAAUUGAAUUUCAAGUUCAGCCAUAUAAAGAUUCAACUCUAUGUUUCAUCAAUAGCAAUCGAGUAAGGACAUGUAUGAUCAAGCUUAAUAAACAAUUUGACAACAGUGCCUACUUGACCCCGGCCCCCCUUCCCCAAAACCACCUUUGGUUUGGUUUAUCUAUAAAAACAAAAAAAGUAGUUUGAUUUGGUUCACACGAGUUGUUUGAUUUGGUCCCUCAAUGUUAAUGUAACUCCAUAUCAAUAAUCUAUCAUACAACACUAUAAGUAAUCAGCAAUAGGAAAAUAUGACAACAGAAGCUUCAGUUCCAGUGAACUUUUCAUCAGCAGACAGUAGGCAAACCUGAAAACACACAAACCUCCAAAGUCGUUCUAUGAUCUAUCCCUUCCCAAUAUGCUGAUCAAGCAAUUCCGGCACAUCCUCAGUAGUGACGUAGCCAUACCUGCAAUUAUUAAUACCAUAAUAUUCAAAUUCCUUCAUCUAUCCCAAUACAAUAAAUUUUAAAUUGUUAUGAUCCGGAUAUUACCAAUGGCCUGUUAUGCUUCCAUCUGAACGUGGGCUGUAGACAAUCAAGUUUCCAGCAUACUUGUGGUCUCCAAUGUGAGAGCAAGCAGUAACAAAUACCUGAUUUGUUAAUCGUCGCAGCUCAGCCUCCUCUUUGAACUUAUCAAUGAGGACAGGUCGACAAACUCCACAUCUUUUAUCUCGACUACCAUGUGCACAUACAAAUACAUGGGAGCCAGUCAACGCCUCUUGCACUCCGGAAGCCCAUGGUUUGUCAUUCACAAGGACAUCAUCAACAAAGCUUUCCACAUCCGACUCUUUCAGGCCCCUUUGAUCAAGAAACAACAAACACCUCAGAAUCACAAAAGGAAUUUACAGGAAACAAUAACCUAACACUCUUUAAUUCCUUGUAAGGCAAGGGAUUAGUCGUAAACUGAGCCAUUAAAUUCAAUUUCUAGAACUAAUUUCAGAAGCUAACACAUAUCUAAUUAUCUAUUUAGUUCAGUAAACUCAGCACAAUCUCGUAAUCAAAAUAGAAGUUGAAACAGAAAUAAAACACUAAAUGCGGUCACAACUUGCAUUCAAUCAAUUUCCAUGAAAAUCACGAGAAAUUUUUCUUUGUGCCGGGAACAUGGCCCGAUACACAAAGUGUAAUAAUACAAUUGGUUGGAAACCACGCCGUGUUACCGGCACCCAACCUCUGAGUAAACAAGGAAAAUUUCAAGGUAUCAACACCAAAACUAGUCCAAAACACACUAAAUUAGCUCAAUUCGAGACUUCGUAAAUUGAAAUCGGAAAAUCAUAAACUCUAUCUCUAGUUAGCAAUCAUUGAAAUCUCCAAGUCAAAUAAAGCAAAUCUGAAGAAUCAAACACCACUCACUGGUUAAUUAUCUAAAUCCUAUAAAUUUCGGUUAAAAUUAAGCAACUACAGAGCAAAAAUCUCAAGAAAUGAACGUGAAUUCACCUGUAUUUGAUCAUUUGUGGGAAAAUCAACACAUCACCGUCGGAAAACUCAGUUCCUUCGCGUCCUUCAAUUACUGUCAGCAAAGUCUAUCAAAAACCAAGAAACAAAGUGAGUAACGGAGUCAACUCAGCUCAACACCAGAACUCAGUAGCUCCAGGAAAUAAGAAACGGUAAGAAAAAGCGAUCAGCAACGCCGACGAAUUGAGCUGAAAAACGGACCUUAACGGCGAAGUCGUUCUUGCGAGCUUUGAGAGCGGAGGCGAAGAACUUAGGUAGCAGAGGAAGACGUGGCGGUCGUAGGCGUUGACGGUACCGGCAAGUUUUUCCUUGAACAUCUCCUAUCUCUUGAAACCGAAUUUCUCGUCUUCGGCGGCGGUGACGGCGGCAGAGAGGUCGUCGGAGGCCAUUGCCAGGGCUCGGAGAGGAGGAAUGAGGGGUUUAGCGGGGGUUGAAGUUGAAAACGAUGAGAGCGAAAAGAUGAGAGAGAAAGAACAUUGUUGUUUGGAGUUGGUGUGGGUGUAGGUGCGCAAUGCGCAUACGGCGCACGAUAGGGUUUCUGAGGCGAUCUGCAGCCAUAGGACUCGUUGUAGUUCUCUAGCCCUCCAAAAUUCUUCAAGAUAUUAAUAUUUUAAUAAACAAUACAGGAUCAUAUUUGUCUCCGUCUCCAACCGAGGGUCAGAGGGCUAGAGGGCUCGUUUUAGCCUUUUCACAAAAAAUCAUCUCCAACCGAGGGCCAAAGAGCAAUAGGGCCAAACAUAAUUUAUUAUUUAAAAACUACAACUUAAAUAGACAUAAAAAGGUUUUAUGUUUUUAAAUAUUUUUAAAAAUGUUGUUUAAGUUUCAUGUUGUAUAAUUUUUAUGUUGGUUAAUGUUAUUUAAUGUUGUUUCAUAUUGUUUAAUGUUGUUUCAUGUUACUUAAUUUAAUUUAAUGUUGUAUAAUGGCUUAGGAAGUUAUAGGAAAAAAAAUAGAAUUUAAAAAAAAUAUGAAACAAAUUUUGUGAAAUAGAAGUUAUAGGAAAAAUGGAAUUUAAAAAAAUAUGAAACAAAUUUUGUGAAAUAGAAGUUAUAGGAAAAAAAUGGAAUUUUAAAAAAAAAUAUGAAACAAAUUUUGUGAAAUAGAAGUUAUAAGAAAAAAAUGGAAUUUAAAAAAAAUAUGAAACAAAUUUUGUGAAAUAGAAGUUAUAAGAAAAAAAUGGAAUUUAAAAAAAAUAUGAAACAAAUUUUGUGAAAUAGAAGUUAUAGGAAAAAAAUAUGAAAUAUAUUUUGUGAAAUAGAAGUUAUAGGAAAAAAUAGAAGUUAUAUGAAUGUAAAAAAAUAAUAAUAAUAAAAUUGUAAAAAAAAAAAAUCAAAUGCAACGGCUACUAGCCGUUGCAUUUGAAUUUUUUCUUAAGAAAUCAUGUCGGUUAUAACCGACAGAAAUACAUGCUAUUAUUUAAUAUAAUGUAUUACUAUCGGUUAUACAUGCUAUUAUUUAGUAUAAAUGUAUUAAUGUCGGGCUGGCUAGCUGCAUGCAGCCCUCCAGCCCUCUCCGAUUUCAUGGGACCCUUCCAGAUUCCAGAGCUCUCUGGCCUAGCCCUCUGUUGGAGACGAUUUUCGGGCUAUUUUCGACUCUCUGACCCUCUGGAUCCUUCGGUUGGAGAUGGCCUGAAGGUCAGAGUGGGGACGUGUGGGGUUUGAUUUGUAGUUCAUGUAUUUACCCCUUUUGAUAUCUCUGAUCAUAUUGGACGGAAGCUAAAAGAUAAUUCAUGCACGCAAAAAUGGAAGGCCCUACAAACGGAGGAGGACAAUGUCUGCACGGAAAAUCAUCCUCUCUGAAUUUCUUUCUCCUAAUCUAACAAGUUCGGGAUCUGAAUCGUUAAAAUUUGAUCCAACAAUUAAGGUUAUUAUAACUUUUAAAGUGGACUUCUGUUUGUAGUCGUUGAAUCAAAUUUUAACGGUCUGGAUCCCCGAACUUGAUGGAUUAGAAAGAAGAGAUCCUUUCCUAUCUGCACCCAGGAAGUGGGUACAAGCGCGUGGGAUUUAAUUUUGUGAUUCAUUGCUGCCUGAGGAUUUUUUGGCGGUAGGUUGGAGGGAACCGACUGAGAGCAAAAUUGUAAAAUCCCCUAAACUCGGUGACGUGGCAACCUGUAAUUCUGAAAGGGUUCCGGAUCCUUUCGUUCUAAUAUAUCAAGUUCGGUGAUCAAGACCAUUGAAAUUUAAUCAAACAACUACAAAGAGGGACUCGCUUUAAAAGUUAUAAUGACUUUAACCGUUAGAUUAAAUUUCAAUGAUUAGAUUAAGAAAAAAAAAGAUCCGAAGAUAGAUCUAUUUUCAUGUAAUUCGGCCUUUACAUUCUGUCAAGAAACAGGCCGGUCACUUCGUUGAUUAAGUCAAGCCGUAAGCCUUGGUCCAACGUGGACAACUUCUAGAUGUCUUGUUUCUUUCAUUAAUUUAUUUCUUGAGAAUGACUUUUAAUAUUUGAUUUAAUUUUUUUGGUUAAUUAUUGAAUUUAAUUUGUCAAUGGCUCAAUUUUGGGGUGGGAUCAAAAAACCGAAAACCAAACUGAACCGAAACCGAAAAAAUCGAACCGAACGAAAAAACCGAACCGAAUUGAAAAAACCAAACCGAACCGAACUCUUUUGGUUCGGUUCGGUUUUGGUGGUCUAGAAAUCGAACCAAACCGAACAGAACCGAAAUAAUUAAAUUAAUAUUUUUUUAAUUUUAUUUCUUUAAUUAUUUGAUUUUAUUAUAUUAGAAUAUGAUACUUCAUACUGCUGCUUUGGUAGGAUUUGUUUGCUUUCCAAUUCAAAUUGUCUUCUCAGCUUCUCCAUCUACAACAAAAAUUAGAACUUAUACCAUUACAUGCAAUAUUUCUAGUUUAUAUCAUUAAGUGCAACACAUAUAUAAGAACACAUAUCUCAACUGCACUGCAGUUGAUUAGGAAAAGCAAACAGCGUAUAAAAGUCUCAUGAGUUUAUUAAACACUACGAGAUCAAAAACAAAAUUCAAACUUUCUCACCUAUGGCCAAGUAUAGUAGCUUCCGCGGCCUAACAAUUUUGAAAAGUAUAUCAAUAUAUUCAAAAAUAUUGAUGAACACCUCUUCAAAAUUUGCUGGUGGUAGAAGCUGAACACAGAAUGUAGAAAUUAUAUUAUGUCACCACAUUUAUGGAUAAAAAAAAUUUGGAUCAUAAAGAUAAAGAAAAUAUCAAAAAUUGUUACCUAGACAAUAAUCAAAAUAAAUAGUAUAUUAUAGAAUGUUUAUCUUAUUGCUAGUGAAGAAUACAUGUGUGUGUGUGUGUGUGUGUGUGUGUGUAUAUAUAUAUAUAUAUAUAUAUAUAUAUAGAGAGAGAGAGAGAGAGAGAGAGAGAGAGAGAGAGAUUGAGAGAAAGAGAGAAAUGAAUAAGGUCGUACUCCAUCAUCAUCGUCUAAAAAGAAAUCUAUUUACAGUUAAACUUUAAACCCAAAAUAUUAAAAAAAACCUUUAUGUUAUAAUUCUAUUUGAACUUUAAAUGUUUAUUUUCAUUAUCUUUUAAGUCUAGCCGGAAUGUUUAUGUUAUGAUUGUGUUGGAUAUGUUAAAAUUUAAGAUUUCAAAUUUUUUCAUUUUUUGAAAAAAAAUCGAAACCGAACCGGAAAAAACCAAACCGAUUUGAACCGAACCCACCCCUAGCUCAAUUUGCCAAUUUGUCAAUGAUACAAUUUAGGAUGGUGCUAUUCACUCAACUAUUUUUACUUCUCGAGUAUCUUCUUUAAUUUAUUUGAUUUAACAGCUAAACAUUGAGAGGGGUGUGUGAAACGUAAAAUAGUUUUUUAAUAGCACACCCCUACAAUUUAAAUACAAAGGAGUGUAGAUUUCAAACAACGAUUGAAUUUUAAGAUGACGCAUUUUGUUGAUUUUUCACAUUUAAGUUUGAAAUGAGCCGUUUUCGUAAUCUAUUAUAUUUAUUCUUGUGAUGCGUGUUUCAGUUGAAAAAACUAUCGUUUUCCAAAAAAAAAUAAUAAUAAAGAAAUGUAGGGUAAGGAUAGCAUUUAAAUAUUUAUGUUGAGAGUAAGGAAAAGAUAGAGAUGUGUAAAAUUCAUUUCCAUUCAUACAUUUUCGUGUUGUUUAUGUUGGUCUUUCAAUUAUUUAUGUUGAGAGUAAGGGAAUAAUUUGUACUAGGCAGUGUCAAAUUACAACCCUAAUUGAAAAACAUCUUGUUCGCCUGACCUAUGAAGGCCUACAGUGGAUACCUAGGCAUCCAGAGACGAGGAAGGGCAUAGUAAGCGAUGAAAUGCUUCAGAGAGUUGAAAAAUAAGCGUGGAUCCAAAUAUUCCGAAAUAUUUGACUGUUUCGAGCAAUAUGUAGGCCAAAAGACGGACGAUACAUAAACAGAUUAUUCGAAGUAGGGAUUCAUAAACAUCAAGUAUACAUUCUGUUGGAUAGUGGCCAAAUUAGUGGCCAAGUGGCCAAAAGCAUAUAAUAAAAAAUGAAGGAAUAAUGAUGUGGGAACAUCAUUAUGACGAGACAAAUGAUUAUGUUUGUUGAAAAGAAAAAUGAAGGUCAUGAUGAUGUUUGUAAAGGAAUGAUUAUUCAUUUACUUUGGAUUUUUUAUUGGGUGCUUUUGUAUGGAUGAAGGUUGCAGCCGAAUGAGGCCUUUUGGUUAUAUUAAGGCAUUCGAUUAUGCCUUUGGUUGUGUGGUGGAGCAGCAUCAGAUGAGAGCCAUACCAAGGAGAGCGUUCGGCUCUCCUAUUUGAAACAGUGUUGCUCAUUUCCAUUUGUUAGUAAUCCCUCAAUCAAAGAUGUUGCUGCUACAUGUUGUGUAGCUUUUGGGAGAGAUGGUAUUUGAUGUGUGUCCAUCUUCUCCAAUUGUUCUUUGUGAGAGUGAGAGUUAUUAGGUGUAUGUGGGAUUUGGGUUUGAGAGUUAAAACUCUAUUUGUAAUCUCCUUUUGAUAUUAGUGGAAUUUCCUCGCCAUCUCGGAACUGGACGUAGGCUUACUCCGAAUCAGUAUAAAUCCUUGUGUCAUUUGUCGAAAUUGUCUUAUCAUAUUUUGCUGUUGUAGCUUAUUGGUUUCAUAUUUGAUACUUCCGCACAACAAGUGGUAUCAGAGCUCCGGAUUUCGACUUGGGGGCUUUGUACAUGUAUGUCUAUGAAACCUUCGAAUAUGUUGGUGAAAUAUGAUUGAAAAAUUCGACGGGAGGAAUGACUUUGGCAUUUGGUCAAUUGGAGAUACAAGUUUUGCUUGCAUUGUUGCGAAAUGCGUGGCAUUGAAGAAGGAUGGUAAGGGAUCAUGCUGCAAUCCCUGAGCUCGCAGAUUGGAGAAUAGUUCCGAAAACAUCAUAUUUGCUGCAAUGUUGUUGAAGUGUUGGUGUUCGAAGGUUGCAGGUGUAGUGUACUGUUUUGGUAGAUUAUCCGUUGGUCAUCGCUGCAUCGACAGUGUUUGUGGGCUGUUGUCGACAAGUUGAGUGGGAAGGAGAAAAAGUAGAAGCUGUUGAGAAUUGAAAAGAAAAUGUUGGUUCCUUUUCUUUCGGCAUUUGUUUUGGCAGAAGGACAUCAUGAUGACAAAUGAUGUUGUUGGCUGAAAAAAAAAAAAGGUUAAGUUUUCUUCUCUUUGGCAUUUUUUCAACGGUAGAGAAUUUUUUCUUCACUCCCAUUGGUUGCCUUUGGAGCAAGUUGAUGGAAACAUUGGAGGAGUUUGUGAGGGCCAAUUUGUUGAGUUCUGCAAUUUUGGAUAGUGAGGCACCACACUAUUUUGGAUACACCACAUGCAUUGCAGAACAUUUGUGUGGAACCCUCUUGUAGAAGGCAAGUUAUAUGCUUUCUAACUUUGUUUGGUCUAUGGACAUUGGUUGGAUUUGUUUGCCACUGAUAUUUGGUUUGUUGGUCUCUAGCAUCUGGAAUAUGCUUUGUUGAAGACUCAUGUUGAGGUAUGGUUUUGGAUCUCCUACUGAUUAUUUGAAUUUGAAAUAUUUGGUUAUCCUAUUGGUGCUCAUGUGAUGAUGGUAAACUUGAGUGAAGGGCAUAAUAUUGAUAUUCAUAGGAUCUGAAUUUGGGUGAAAGGUUUUGUAUGUGGUAUGUUAAACAUUGUUGCCAAAUUUUGUAAUCAGUUUUGACUUGGAGAAUGUGCCCUGCUAUGUGAAUGAAUCUAUUGGUGCAGUUUAAGACCAUGGUGUUUGUAAGCAGGUGGAGUUCGUUAUGUGUCCAACUUUGGUAUGGUGUGCUUGAUCUUUUGUCGGUGAUAUUAAAGAAUUUCAGUUCUUCGUUUGAAUCACCUUUGUUUUGAUCAAGGCACUUAUGGUUUGCAAAUCUGGAGAAGACGGUAGAGAAAUGGUCUACUUUUGUUGGCUCUGGUACAAUUUGAAUUGAGGUGGAGAUCAUUAUAGUACCGAAAAGUUAGGGGAAUUUGAUUUAGUUCCCGUUGUCUUUAGUUUGUACUUUGGGUGCUUAUGGUGAUUGUUGAUUCGAUUCUCUGUGAUGUUUUCGAAAUUUGGCAAAGGUGGAGAUUGUUGGAUAGUUGCCAAAUUAGUGAAAAAGUUGUCAAAAGCAUAUAAUAAAAAAUGAAGGACAUAAUGAUGUCGGAACAUCAUUAUGAGGAGACAAAUGAUUAUGUUUGUUGAAAAGAAAAAGAAAGGUCAUGAUGAUGUUUGUAAAGGAAUGAUUUACUUUGGAUUUUUUAUUGGGUGCUUUUGUAUGGAUGAAGGUUGCAGCCGAAUGAGCGAGAGAAGGUAGAGCCUUUUGGUUAUAUUAAGGCAUUCGAUUAUGCCUUUGGUUGUGUGGGGAAGCGGCAUCAGAUGAGAGCCAUACCAGGGAGAGCGUUCGGCUCUCUCAUUUGAAACAGUGCUGCUCUUUCCCAUUUGUUAGUAAUCCCUCAAUCAAAGAUGUUGCUGCUACAUGUUGUGUAGCUUUUGGGAGAGAUGAUAUUUGAUGUGUGUCCAUCUUCUCCAAUUGUUCUUUUUGAGAGUGAGAGCUAUUGGGUGUACGUGGGAUUUGAGUUUGAGAGUUAAAACUCUAUUUGUAAUCUCCUUUUAAUAUUAGUGGAAUUUCCUUGCCAUCUCAAAACUGGACGUAAGCUUACGCCAAACCAGAUCCUUGUGUCAUUUGUCGAAUUUGUCUUAUCAUAUUUUGCCGUUGUAGCUUAUUGGUUUCAUAUUCGACGCUUCUGCACAACACAUUCCUCAAAAUUUUCAAUGCAAUUGGAUUUCCUCAAAUCUCAGGAACUACCAGAUUGUAAUGCUUGCAAUGGAAAGGAACCAUUGUGUACAUGUAGUAACCACACGAAUCAGUUGGAGACUUGUUUUUCAUCAGAGGAAAACAAAAGGCUAAGAAUCAAAAGAAAUCAAUCUCUAAAUAAUUACCCGAAGGCUUCAAAUCAACGCCCGGCAUCUUCCCGUUCAUGGGUUCUUUCGGUGUAUCAGGAGUCUCCAAUAUGUAGUGCUUUGGCACCUGGGGUGGAGUUGUACAGCGAAUCAGUGCCCAAUUCACGCUUUGGAAAAACGGAUGUUGUUUAACUUCUGUUGCUCCCCGCCUAUACGCAAGACGAUGCUGUGGCUCCUUGACAAGUAAACCUCUGAUCAAGUCCCUGGCUGCAAAGCUGACAGAAGGCAACUCUGGAAAUCUUAAAGGCUGGCCAACCACAUUAAACAAAGUAGCCCGGUUUCCUUGCCCCUUGAAUGGAGUUCUUCCGAACAAAAGCUCGUAGAGAAAGAUCCCAAAGGUCCACCAAUCUACAGCGCUGCCAUGGCCUUCACCUUUAAUGAUUUCAGGCACCAAGUACUCGUGUGUUCCCACAAAGGACAUUGAUCUAGCACUUGUCGGUUCUGCAACGAGUUCAGGGAGAGGGCUCACUUGAUUGUAUACAUCAUUAUCAUUGUUCUUCACCUUGAUCUUUUUAUCUUUCUUGGGUUUGCCCUUGAAAAUGCGUGGACCAAAACAUGUGGGCGUAAUGCAAUCCGGCUGCAUUACACAAGUUGGCUGGAUGCACGCAGGCUGAACACAAUAUGCUGAUUUCUUUGUCUCCAAACUUAAGUUUGAAGAUCUUACCAGGGUGGGGGAAACGGCACAUCUUAAAGAAAGGUCGAAAUCUGAAAGCAUUAUAUGUCCAUCUUCCCUCACCAAAACAUUCUCUGGUUUGAGGUCUCUGUAAAUGAUCCCGAGCAUAUGCAAAUAUUCCAAGGCAAGAAGAACUUCAACCACAUAAAACCUGCAAAAACAAACGGGAGAUAAACACACGAGAAUUAUUAUCUUCAGCAUGUCCCCAGCACUGGCAAAUAAACGUGUGCAAAACACUUGAUGUCCUUCUAGUUUAUAGGUUUACUCCUGCCUUUUCUCUGCAGGCUAUUGAAAUAUGAUUCCUAUUGUAACCUAAACUGAAAUGUGUAUGUGCACUAAUCAAAAAGUAAACUGAAAGGAGAAGUAUGAAGGAAUAUCUAACCUAGCAGCAUGCUCCGAAAAAUGCUUCCCAGGUUGUUUUUGUCUGAGUGCAUGCAGAUCACCCCAGGGACAAAACUCCAUCACCAAACAAGAUACCUUCUCCGUCUCAAAGUGUGUAUACAAUGUUGGCAGGAAAGGAUGAUCCAGAGAUUGCAGUAUUUCCCUCUCUGUCUGAGCCCUAAGAAGUUUUUUCCUACUUGCCAGUAAUGCUUUAUCCAUAACCUUCAUGGCGAAAUAAGUUUUAGUGCCAAUCAGUUCAGCCAAAUAAACGCUGCCUAUAUCUCCACAUCCCAGUGUCCUCAACAACUUGAAAUGCUCCUUACCCAGUGUUCCAUCAUGAUGAGAUCGCGCAGCUUGCACCGCUUCCCAACUAAUAUCAUUUGCCUUGUGGGGCUUGUACAUGGCAUUGCUCAAACUACUGGAGCUGCUCUCAUCGCUAACAUCGCUGCCAGUGCUGCCUCUAUAGAUGCUGGUCGUCCUGCUCUCAAUAAGAUCACAGGAAUUAGUAACUUCACUGCUUUCAACAGACUUCUCCACACUGUUGAUACAUUCACUGACUUCUGUAUUGGUGAAACUCUGCUUGGCUUCACAAUAUAGAGAGGCAGAAUAUAAACUGUUCUGAGGGCUUGCACAGUGAGAAAUGAGGUGGCUAUUUGUCUGCCCGGCUACUCCUUUAUAAGGAACCAAACCGUGAUUUCUAGAUUCCAUAUAUCUACUCGAAUCACAAUCAUUAACCGGAUGCUUGACGCUUGAUUUUGCUUCCAGCACGGAAACCUUGUUCAGAUAAGAAGUUUUGGCUGAUUUGUUAAGAACAUCAUUUGGGCCUCCAUGCUCAAGUGUUCCUGUUAAGUUUGAUAUUUCUAUAUAUUCAUACUGCUGCAAUGGCAGCAUUGCUUUAUACAUUGGAUACGUACACGCAUGCAUUAAACUAAAUAUAAAUGAAGGUGGAGUCCUCGCUGCCCAUAGUGCAGAAACUGCCCAUAAAGCACAAACACAGAUGCACAGCCCACGUGGGCAGUUUAGCUGUCAAGGCAUGUGUUGAAACCAUGUGCAAUAUUCUUCUGACAGGUUUGCUCUUUAACAUUCCCCCUCAAGUUGGAAUGGAUGUUGAUUAUUCCUAACUUGUGGAGCAAAGUCGUAAAUUGAUGUAAGCUCAGUGGCUUUGUGAAGAUGUCAGCUGGUUGCUUCAUGGUUGAAAUAUGAGACGUCCUGAUCAUACCACUUUGAAUCCUUUCUCGUACAAGGUGGCAGUCAAUUUCUAUGUGUUUGGUUCUUUCGUGAAAGACCGGAUUCGAAGCGAUGUGAAGUGCUGCUUGAUUAUCGCAAUACAACUUGACUGGAUGUUUAUGUUUGAUGCCCAAGUCUUGUAAAACAUAUUUCAGCCAAGUGACUUCACAACAAGAUGCUGCCAUUGAGCGAUACUCCGCCUCCGCACUAGAACGUGACACAGUGUUUUGUUUCUUGCUUUUCCAGGAGAUUAAGGAUUCUCCAAGGAAUACACAAUAUCCGGUGGUAGAACGUCGUGUGUCACGACAUCUGGCCCAAUCUGCAUCACAAAAGGCAUUCAGUUGGAUUGGACUUCUUGCAGAGAGAGAAAAAUACCUUGCCCUGGUGUAUGCUUAAUGUAUCGUAAGACUCGGUGGGCUGCCUCCAAGUGUGGAGUUCGAGGCUUCUCCAUAAAUUGACUAAGAAUGUGGACAGCAUAGACCAAAUCAGGGCGCGUGAUUGUCAGGUAGAUUAGUCUCCCAAUAAGCCGUCGAUAAGAAGAAGGAUCAGUGAUGCAUUGUCCUUCGUCCUUUCUGAGUGAUAAGUUUUUGCUCCAUAGGAGAGGUGGCUACUUUUGCACCAAGGUAACCUGCAUCCUCAAGUAUUUCAAGGGCAUAUUUUCGCUGUGAGAGAGCGAUCCCCUUACUAGAGCGAGCAAUUUCGAUGCCCAAAAAAAUAUUUUAGUUGGCCAAGGUCUUUCAACUUGAAUUGCUUCGUAAGGAAAGACUUGAUAUCCUCAAUUGCUUGUAUGUUAUUUCCUGCCAGGAUAAUAUCGUCAACAUAUACAAGGAGAGCAGUGAAUUUACCAUCAUGGUUUCGGACGAACAAUGAAUAGUCUGCCUUGGAUUGUUGAUGAUAACCAGCUUUGCUAAGAGCACAAGAGAGUUUGAUAAACCAUUGACGAGAGGCUUGCUUAAGCCCAUACAAAGAUUUAUGAAGUUUACAAACUCGUGUUUCCCCCUUUCGUCCGAAACCAGGGGGCAAGGACAUGUAGACAUCUUCUUCAAGGUCACCAUGAAGGAAGGCAUUGUGAACAUCAAGUUGGUGAAGGUGCCAUUGUUGGACUGAGGCAACGGCAAGAAGUAGGCGGACUGUAGUCAGUUUUGCAACCGGAGCAAAAGUCUCACGAUAGUCUAAGCCUUCAAUUUGGCUAUAACCUUUGGCAACCAAGCGUGCUUUAUACCGCUCAACUGAUCCAUCGGAACGAAAUUUGAUUUUGUAGACCCACUUACAUCCAACCGGCUGCUUUCCAGGGGGGCAAUGGUUGAAGAGACCAUGUCCUAUUUGCAGCAAGGGCUGCCAGUUCUUCUUCCAUGGCUAAACGCCAUUGGGGGUCGCGUACGGCCUGUGAGAAUGAACUGGGUUCUAUGGCAGCUGAAAUGGAAGUGGUGAAAGCACGAUGGCGAGCAGAUAAGCGAUCAUAUGUGAGUACAUCAGACAAAGGAUAAGAAGUACCUACCACUGUGGUCAAUGCUGAGUGAGAUGAAGGGACGGACCGAGAAGGAAGGUUAAUGCCAACGUGAUAUUGUUGAAGAUAACCAGGUGCAUGAGUGAGGCGUUUAAGACGAGGUGGUGAAGGGGAUUGGUCGACUGAAGAGGAUGGAUCGACUGAAGUGGAUUGGUCUACUGAAUCUUGUUCUAGUGGAAGGGACGGAUGAAUGAUGGUGUCAUCACAGUCAAUAUCUUGAGUAUAUGGAAACACAACAGGUGAGACGGCAACGGAAGAAGAAAAAGGGAACACAUUUUCAUGAAAAAUAACAUCACGGGAAAUAAAAAUUUUACCCGUUUGAAGGUCGUAAACUCGAUAUCCUUUGGUGCCGUAUGGAUAGCCAAGAAAAAUACAACGUGUGGCUCUUGCAUCAAAUUUGGUUGGUCUAUGGUGGUGUGUGGAAGAGAAACAUAAACAACCAAACACUCGCAAAUGUGCAUAUGUUGGCUGUUUGUGAUGAAGGAUUUCAUAGGGUGAUUUUCCGUGAAGAAGAGGAGUGGGAGUCCUAUUAAUGAGAUAAGUGGCAGUUAGGAUUGCAUUACCCCAAAAUUUCUUGGGAAGAUGAGAUUGAAAAAGCAAGGCUCUAGCAACGUUAAGUAAGUGGCGGUGUUUACGCUCUGCUACCCCGUUUUGUUGGGGAGUAGAGACACAACUUGUUUGAUGUAGAAUGCCUUUAGAUGAAAAAAAAUGGGUCAUAAAAAAUUCUAGACCAUUAUCACUACGAAGAACCUUAACUCGUGUGGAAAAUUGUGUUUCAACAAGGUGGAUGAAUGUGAUGAGAUAUGAUCGUGCAUCUGAUUUGUGAUUCAUUAAAUAAACCCAUGUGCAUCGUGUGAAAUCAUCUACAAUGGUCAAGAAAUAUUGUGCCCCUGUGAUAGUGGGAACAUGGUAACCUCCCCAAAUGUCAACAUGAAUUAAUUCAAAAGGAGCUUUUGUUUUAAUAGAACUCAAAGGAAAAGGAGCACGUGUUUGUUUGGCUAAGGGGCAGAUCAAACAAUCAUCAAUGCUACAAAAAUUCAAAUUUUUAAUGCAAGGGGAGAUAGCCCGUAAGGUUUUGUUGGAAAGAUGGCCAAGGCGUUGAUGCCAAAGCUGAGAAGCAGAGAAAGAGUAACAACUGACACUGAAUUGCACCUGGUUUUCGUCACAUUAUCAAGGUAGUAGAGGCCUCCUUGUUCAGUUCUCGUCCCAAUCAUCUUCCCCGAUCGUUGGCCCUGAAGUAGACACUUUUUAUCAGUGAAGAUGACAAAGCAAGAUGAGGUAUUAGUGAUUUUGCUGACAGAAAUUAAAUUCAGUUUAAAUGAUGGAACACAAAGCACGUUGUAAAGGACGAGAUCGUUCGAGAGACGAACUGUGCCAAUAUGUGUGAUAUCGGCAAGUGCAUGAUUGGGUAGGUGCACUUGUCGAUUGUAUACCGGAACGCUUGUGGUCAUCAAACUUGGUGAGCAAACCAUGUGGUCUGUGGCGCCAGUAUCGAAAAUCCAGUUCCUUCCCUUAUUGAGAGGAGAAGCACAAAGAACUCUACCUGAUAAAUCAUUCAUAGUAGAGGUGGUACCGACAUGGUUAGAUGUGGAUUUAGACUGGCUCUUAUCAAGUAGUGCAAGCAGGUUGUGGUAUUGCUCGGGAGUGAGGCUGUAGGAUGAAGGAGAUGUUGCUGGAGGCGUUGGUUUGAUGUCAACGUGAUUAGCCUUGGAGUUGAACCCCUGCGAGUUGGAACCCCUGCGAUCUUGAUAAUCUCCCUUAUCGCUGUUGUCCUUUGCCUUUUUCAAUUUGCGGCAUUGGUCUAUGGUGUGACCUCUCCAAUUACAGUAGUCGCACUUGAGGUGUGCACACGACAGGUUUCUGAAGUAUGUCCGGUUGCAUCACAACGGCCACAUUUUAAAUGGGAAUUUCUAGGAGAAAAAUUCCUACCAGAGUUUCGCAUGUUGUCCCGCACGGCGAAAGCUGCGGCAUCAGUGAUUGAAGACCUUCCAGGAGCAUGUAUUGAGACUGCUCUCUGUUUCUCAUCUUGAAUAAUGAGUGAGAAAGCUUUGUUGACAGCAGGGAGAGGAUCCAUAAGUAAGAGUUGCCCACGAACUGCAGCGUAGGAUUCAUUGAGACCCAUGAGAAACUUCAUGGUUUUCUGACUUUGCUGAAACUGCAUCAAUUCUUUCGCAGCUCCACAAUGCACAGGUUGGGAGAGCGCACAAGGCAUCACGUUCAUCCCAAAAACUUUUCAGUUUGGUAUAAUAUGCACCAAUGUUCAAAUUUCCUUGAACACUUCCAUGUAUCUCUUGUUCGAUAUGGAAGAGAUGGACACUGUUUGUGUGAGAGAGAAGCGUUCCUUCAACUCAUUCCAAAUAUCAGCUGCAACAUUGUUGUAGAUGACACUUGCACCAAUAUCUUUUGAGACAGAGUUGAGCAGCCAAGAUUUCACGAGGUUGUUGCAACGAGUCCACUGUUGGUAUUCAAUUGUGGACGUCAACUUAGGCCUUUGAAUGGUUCCAUUGAUGAAUCCUUCCUUGUUCUUGGCAUUGAGGGCCAUGGUCAUGGCUCGGCUCCAAGUGGAGUAAUUUUCGUCAUUCAAUGGUUGGUUGUGUGACGAGAAUCGCUCCAGGCUGAUCGGAGUGAUGAAGAUAAAGAGGAUCGCUGGGAUCUUCGUAUUUGGUGUGUUUGCUGGAAGAGUCAGUUGCCAUGUUCACAGACAGUGUGCAGUGGCUGUGCUUUGCGGCUGUGCUUAAUGGCUGUGACAGGUAGAGCAGCGACGAUGGCUGUGUAGCGGUUUUGCGACGGCAAGGCAGCGAGUGUGCAGCUUGCAGUGCACUGGUUGCUGCAGUAGCAGAUGUCGCUGUUCACAGUAUAGCAGCGAAAGAGUGAAGGCAGAGCAGAGCAAAGGAUUACCUGCGCUCUGAUACCAUGUUAAGUUUGAUAUUUCUAUAUAUUCAUACUGCUGCAAUGGCAGCAUUGCUUUAUACAUUGGAUACGUACACGCAUGCAUUAAACUAAAUAUAAAUGAAGGUGGAGUCCUCGCUGCCCAUAGUGCAGAAACUGCCCAUAAAGCACAAACACAGAUGCACAGCCCACGUGGGCAGUUUAGCUGUCAAGGCAUGUGUUGAAACCAUGUGCAAUAUUCUUCUGACAGGUUUGCUCUUUAACAGUUCCUUUAUUCGAAUUGUGGUAGUGUUUCCCCAUAUGAAGAAACUCUUCCUGCUGCAUGUUAUGAUUAGUUGCCUUGUUGGGGUUCUUUUGAUUAUUUACAGAACCAUUUGAGUAGCUGUCUGUCUUCACCGAAUAAGUAUGCGCAGUCACGCAGGAUGGCGACGAAACCCCUUCGCUUCUUGAUUGUUUUGGAGAUGAGGGCUGAGAAGGACGAGGAGUCCCAGUUGUGGAAGGAGGGUUCUUGCCUACCUCAGGCGGUGCAGAAUAGCGAAAUUUCGGCAAAGAAUUAACCCCAUCAACCAGUGACCCCAUGGCUUUCACACAGGCACUGUCACUGCAAAAUUCAACUGAGCACUAUGAUAAUAUGAUAUGUAACAAUCUUACCACUAAAGGCAUUAAGUACAGAAUCAUCAACUUGAAUUGUCUUCCAAAAUUCAAAUUAACAAGGCAGAGCCGUCAAUUCGAAACACAGAAUCAACAAAAAAUCUGCAACAAUAUACAGUCAAAGAAAAUCCCAGAUGAACCGAAAUUCAAGAUACAAGCUUUAAUUCACAAUCUAAUUAAUGGCAGCGCGAAAGGGGAAAAAUAUAUCAAAAAAGGAUCAUUUGACAAAAUUUUCAACAAAAAUUUAUCUUUUUAUAAAACCCAGAAACCCAAAUUCUCCAGUGAUUGAACCCAAGUUCUAAUUUUGAUUCUUUUCAAAACCAAACACGACUUUCAUUUUCUUUUCGUUUCCCACAGUUUCUCGGCAACCAAACAACAGAACAACGCAAAAGAACCUCAAAGCAAAGAACCCAAUUAGCCAAAGAGAGCUUAGAAAAAUUACCUGAUCAGAGAAGAGAGAAAGCAGACGACAGCAAGCAACCUCGCAUGGCUGGUGGGCACAAUGAGAGAGAGAGAGAGAGAGGAGAGAGAGAGAGAGAGACCCAAAGAGCGAGAGCUCACAGAGAAAGUGAAACAACUUAGAGGGGGUCUCUGUUUCUGUUUUUCAUCUUUUGGAUUUCACUGAAGAGCUUCAGAUCCGAUCGAACAAGAAAUCCAGAGGAGGAUCAAGCAACAAGACAACAAACAAAGAAAAAAAUAUGAAUAAAUUUAUGAACUUUUAACUUCUGGGGAGAACAGAAAGUUGGAGUUUCUCUGGUUUUUCUCGUCGCGGUGUGGACUUGAGAGAAAAACGAAGCCAAAAUUCGCAAGCAAAGCGUAAAGCUUAAAAAGCCGUCUUUGUCUUUGGAUGUUUUUUUUUCCAAUGUAUUUUGUUCUCUGAGAAGAAAAUAUGGUGGAAAGAACGUCUCUUCGCUUUGUUCUUGUUGUGAAAAAAAAAAACUUUUUAACAUUUUAGUUGUAUCAUGGCUCAUGGCGCACGAGAGAUAUUUCAUUAUGUCGAAAACACGGUCUGAUGCGAUUAUAGUGUAUCAAACCGUGUUAUCUUAAAGUAUGUAGGAAACAUGAUUUGAUGCGCUAAGUGUCUUAAUAUAAUUUGUUGAAAAAAAUUCAUAUGAUAUAUAAUGUAUCAAAUCGUGUGCCCCUAAAAAUGUAUUACGAUAGUUGUUUUCAAUUUGUUCAUUGAGGUAUUUUGGCAAUUACAAUAAAAACAACCAGCGCAAGAAAUCUUUAGGGACCCGUAGCGUCAGUAAUUGAAAAAAAAAAUGCCUCUCUCUUGAGAAAUUUUGAAUGUACCCCUAACCAAUAGCCCGCUUUAAGAAUUCAAUCUUUAAAUGAAUGAAUUGGUAUUGUGAAUGUUAAGAAUUAUUAGCUGGUGAUCAGACUAGUGAUACAUUUUUUUUUUCUCAAUGUUUGAAUUCCCAGUACAAUAUAUUUUGUAGCACUCAAUCGAACCUACAUGGCAAGGAUGUAGAUUUUUCAAAUGUAUAUUUUUAAGAUAUGAGGAAUUUAAAUGAAGAAACCAAACCCAAAUCUUGUAGCACACCCUUAUUCUACAACUACAUACUCAAAUGCAAUGUCAUACGUAAUUGUACAAAUAUCAAACUCACUUUUUUUUAUUAAUUUUCAAUAGUUAUCAUACUUCGUCUUUCAAGUGUAACUUAUUUUUCGAGCUCCCAAUAACAACUCCAUUUACAUUUUAUAUGAGCAAUGUAAUUAUCGAUAUCACAUGACUCCUACAUUAUUUUCAAGGCAAUUAUGUCCAAUGACGAAUGUACAUUGAGACCAAAGUGGUUUUAGGAUCACCAAAAGUUCAGAAAAUACACAUGUGAAUGUCUUUCGAGAAAUGAUUGGUAUUGAUCCUUCUUGUGCCCAUUUGAUGUAAUGCAUGCCAGCAUAUCUUGAGAUGAUGCGUCGAUAUCACUCAUCAGACUGUUUCAGUGUAUGUCAUUAUCUAUUGACAUGUUUCUAUCUAAAAAAUUAACAUUAAAACCCUCAAUGAUCCUAAUCUUGAAUUCGCAUCUGAUUAUGUUAUCUGUUUUAUCCCAUAAGUAAGAGCAGAGGUCCUCAACAUUGUCAAAUUUUCAAGCAUUCUUUCCCCUCAAAUAUUAUUUUAUUUUCUCCCUAAAUUCCAAUAAUACAAUGCUAAUAAUAAUUUUUUAAUGGAAUCUAAUCCAAAGAGUGGAAAAUAUCCAACAUCUAGAAUGUAACUAGACAAUGUUUUGAUUGACCACAACACCAAAAUUCAGGGAGCAGAUAUAGGACUUAAUUUUCAUUUUUUUAAACAUUAUUUAGGUCCAAGAUAAUUAAAUUAAAUUAUAAUUAGUCGUAAUCACAUGGGGAUUAAGCAACCGCACAAAUCUCGUUAAUUCCUUUCGCGGGAACCAGGAGGGAGGCCUCACAUGCGCGCACGUGAACACCAGGACAAAGCACGUGGGCGGCUGUCAUGCCCGUCGCAUGAAUCUACGGUAGGCCCGCGGUGAAACUAAAAGAUAUGUUUAAUCUGGAAGGACAGGGCGCCCGUAUCAAAUGUUACGGAGCUUUGGGUAUGUGGGUCUACAAUCACAUAAAUUUUUCAACGUUGUCGAAAACACAGUCUGUUAUAUAAGGUAUCAUUGUAAAAGCAGUUAAUUUUUUUUUUUUUUCAAACUAUUUAUGUUAUUGGUGUACUAGUCUGUUUUCCGACAGACUGAAAAAUAUCUCCACAAUCACACUGGUGGUAUUUUGUAUUGUGGAUUGUAAGUGCAAAAAGAGUCUAAUAGCAACUUAUAUAAAAUGAAUAUCUCAAUUGUAAAAAUCAAUUCUACUACUCAAUGUUUCGUGAAAACCAAACUUACAUUUAACAUUGUGUAUUAGUUUAUCGGAACGCCCUAAUUGCGAUAAACACAAAUUUUAUAUGUCAUUUUUGUGAGUUAAAGCUCAAUCCUUUGUGUUAGCAUAGAUAAUAUCGAUGUUAAAAAAUAAGAAAGUCAUUCUCGUGAUGGUGACCAGAUACACGUAACAUGCUUUCCUAACAAUGUGGGUCCCAGCAAAGACCCAUUUCCUUAAAUUUUAAUUCCCAUCAGACAUCGGACGGUUCUAUAUUGCUUCUGGACAUUGAUGGAUGCUCUGCACCGUAAACUCUAUGCGGUGCAAAACACUUGGUUCUUGACACGUGUAAUUAUUAGAAGGGAAUUUAGACAGUAUCAUGACUAGUGGGGACCACCAUUACCAAUCACAUAACAUGGACAUACCUUGGGCAAAUCAUUUUCCAUUUUCUCCAUUAGACAGUGAGCAAUCUUUCAAUGUACCUGAAACAAAGUGACAUAAUAGUAAGUAACACGGAGGAUGUCAGGACCAGUUCCAGACUCAAAAACCUUAAGGCCCAGUUUGGUGGGAAAUGGAAUAGGUUGUGAUCAAUUAAAAUAAAUUUUGAGUUCAACAUGUUAUUUAUUAUGUUAAAUGUGAGAUAGACAAGACUGAACUGGGUUAUAAGUUCAGAAUAGAGUAGAUUAUCUAACUUAUCCUUAUAAAUAGGUUACAAGUCUUGUCUUAUAAGCCCCUACGAAUCUAAUCAUACCUCUGUUGUCUAAUCUCAUCCAUCACCCCAAACGGGCCCCUUCGUGACAUCACAACAUAUUGACUCAUGUGCAAAAUUCAUUGACCACACAUGUUCCAUAUACGAACAAGUAACUUUUUUCAGCUAGGCACUAACACUGUCAUUAUUCAACCAAGCACUUACACUGUCAUGUGGUUUUACGAAUCCAUUCAUAUUAUAACAUAUGUAACCAUAAAAAAUUUCAACAUGACCGUUGCUUUAUACUGUAGUUCUGUACUACACAUGAAUUAGUAACAUCACCAUGUAGAUGUCCUACCAAAAAAAACGAAAAAUCUCCAUACAACUACAAACGAGAAGCAUUAAACUAGACAUUCAUUUCCUUCUCUGAGCAUGGGCAAACUAGCAAGGAAUGUGAUGAGGAAACUAACAUUAGACAAGAUGUCAAGAUUGUUCUAACCAAUUUUCCAGGUACAAAUUUAAGACGUAUCUCGCCGUUGACAAAACGUCAAGCCUCUUCUCGCUCGGUUCAUACUUCCCUUUCCGGAGCCGGUACCGACGAGUUACGGCCGAGAUUGUGUAAGUUUGGCCUUCUAUUGUCACACCGUCCCCACAAUGUAGGUUCUGCAGCAUGGAAGGUGCAAUAAGAACACACACAAGGAAAAUCAAAAGAGAAGAAAAUAGCAAGUUUAGUAGCAAAUUCGACGUAUCAUACAUCCGUAGGGCCUGCUGCUCCUCCAUGAAUGAACAAAUAGAGUAAUAUAGACGAUAGAGUAAUACUGAACGCAUGACAGACAGAAACAAUCAGUUCGGAUGCACGUAUAGUUUGAGGGAAGGUUUCGGUGCAGUUUCCUGGUUUUCUGAAGUCGUGUAUAGGGUUGUCCUCUCCCCGCAUAAAUGUGAUGGAGACUGAACUGUGAGAGACGUUCAAAUCUCAUAGAUGGUGAUCAUUUGCCUAGCCAAAUAAAAAGGAUCAACUUCGAUCCCGUACAUGAAUCAUCUUCCAUGCCUGUACAUCUGAGAAUAAUAUAAAACGGCGUUUAGACACUUAAGAAACGAAAAUGGCACAACGCAAAGACUUUGAUCACCUUGUGAUUUCAUUCACCAUCGCUCGGUCAUUGUGUUCUUUAGGUGUGUGCAGUGAACACUGAAACUUGUUUCUUCUAAACCAUCGAAAAACUUGUGCUCUUAACUUCACGCUUAAUUAAGUUAGCCGCGAAUGUGAAUUACAUUGCUUAUCUUCAUUUCGACACAGUUUUGUCCAAGUAAUCUGUUGGAGCAUGUUUGGUAUUCUACUUGAAUCCAACUUUUUAAACUAAAAAAUAAUUUUCAAGUUUUAGACCUUAAAAACUUGUUUGAUAUGACUAUUUUCAAAAACUGAACUCAAGACUAACUAAAAAAUAUAGUCUAUUAUCUAAAAACACAAAAUGUGAGUUUUUAGAAUUUUUAAAUUUAAAUUCACUCCUUUCUUUUCUCUCGCUCCUCCCCUCUCACUCCAAAGCUAUCUCUCUCUUUUCUUCUUUCUCUCUCCCCCUUCUCUUUUUUUUUUUUUUACCAUUUUCGUCUCUCAUCCAAUCCGCUCUCUUCAUUCUCUCGAUUCUUUAUCUCACUCACUUUUCUCUCUAUCUCCUCCGAUCCUCUCACUUCUUUCUUUUUCCUCCAAUAAUCUCUUACUUUCUUUCCUCUUCUCUCAUCUUUCUCUCUUGACCCACUCUUUUUGGAUCUCUUUGUCCAGUUUAAGUUGUAAGAUUUAAAAAUUUUAAAUUGCAUUUCAAACAAGUUUUUUAGUCUUAAAGAAAAUUGUUUUCAAGAAAAAUUCUUAAGAAAUGUUUUGAGAAAUUAUAAAAAAUUUCAAAUAGGAUACCAAACAAGCCAUUAGUUUCUUACAGUUUCUGAAAGAUCCAAGUCGACUGAGUACACGGUCUAUGCUACGUUUUUACCCAAGCGAAACACUACUUCAGAAAUGUUUUCACACCAGAAGAAGCUGCCUGAUGCAUACAUGACAAGCUAUCGAUACACAUUUAAGCAAGGACGUCUCACAUCCUCGGUAUGGUUUGCAUUUCUCAACGGCGUAGUGAUGCUUACUAGACAAAAGAUAAAAGAAAAGGAAAAGUGGGACGCAUUGGGGUUCAAUCUCCUCCAAAAACUAUGAAGGGCUUCCUCUUUGUGACACUUCCCAAAGUCAUCGCCAACACCAAUAUAUCAGAACAAGUGCAUAUGGCCCCCUAGAGCAAAAUGGAGUUCAGUGACCAACUCUUUCAAGUUUCAAUACAUCGAUCACGCAGCUUCUACCAAAUUCACACUCAAAAAACUUCCUUAUACGGUCAAUUUGUACAUCUGUGACAUCCAAAUCGACGUCAUUCGUGCUCAAUCAUUGCAGUAAUCGAGCUUAAACAGCUCAUAAUACAGUUAUAUAAGAAGCAAGAGCAAAUGCAGCAGCAGCAGCACCUGCAUAAUCCCCACUCAACAGACAUUCACGGAUUCAGAAUUGAUCCCCAAAAUUAUUGGUGGGAUUCGAAGCUCUUUUGCCACAAGUCCCCAAUCUGUCUAGCAAAGGGAAACAUUUGUGCCUCUCAUUUUAAUAACUUCUUUUUAUAGGGAGCUGAUCCGUUACUUUUUUACACAACUUUUGACAUACAUUUUUUUGCGGCGCAUUCUAUAAGUAUAUUUUAACGAUCCGAACCAUCACUCAUAUAUUAUACUUGCAAAAAUUUAGACUAACCCGAACCCAUUAAGACAUUUGUUUGUACCAAAAGAAACCUAAGCCCUUAUUUCAAGGGUCAUAUGGCUUCAUUUGGAAGACAGUGAAAUGCUUUCUGAACAAAAACUAGCAAAUCAUGGAAAAAAUUGUAAGAACAUCUCCAAUGGGUUGUGUUGAUGCACAAAAUCAGCGAAGACUUUGGUACAACAGAAAGUGUCAGGUUUUAUGACCUUCGCUUGGUUGCUUCGGUCACUAGUGAGGAUAAGUACGUAAAUGAAUAGAGACAGAGAAGCAAACACAGGAUGUACGUGGUUCACCCAGAUUGGCUACGUCCACGGAGUAGAGGAGUUCUUAUUAGUAGUGAAGGGCUUACACAAGUACAAAGGAUCAAGCUCUCAAUUUAGUGAGUUCUUGUGAAUGAUUUAACACAAAUGGCAUUAGGCAAUAUUGUGGGGGAAUGACCCCUAUUUAUAGAAAAACUUGUAGCUUUGUCACAUUGACAUGUGUCAUGUUAUGAUUGGUUCUUGAUGUCGACACGUGCUGCGCUCUGAUUGGCUUCUAAUCUUGACACGUGUCGAGUAGUGAUUGGCCUCCUGGUCGGAGGGGAACUCUUCUGGGUCCUUGACAGUAUAGCGUUGGCCGGUGCUCGGUAGUUUCGGGAUUGGUCAAGUAUGGUACAAACAGUGCUCCCCUAAGUUCCCGAGUGAGGGAAACUCCUCGGUUGGGGACUUGCAAGAUCCAAUCCCUUGAGUAAUCACGAAACUUCUAAGUACCGAAGUGUGGUCUGAUCUUCAUCUGCCCUUCUCUGGAAGUACCUUUCCUCCAUCCGGGAAUGGUGUAUUUAGCUGAUGUUGACGCACAAGGUAAUGUAUCAAUUUCAUUUGAAGCUUAGUUGUAGUUUCGGGCUUAGUCAAGUGUGAUACAAACCCUAUAGUAGGAGUCCCCCAAGUCGCGCCGAGCUAGGAGAUCUGCCGAAAGAGGUGACAGACAAGGUAAGCAGUCAAACUUCCAAGUAAGCAACCCAGGAUCAGAGGUUUGACUUCGGCUUCCGGUUGAUUGUUCUCCUUCUCCUUGUCUCUCAUUCAACUGCCAGGAUAAGGAGAAGCAAAUGGAUAAGAGAUGAUAUGAGAUACUUUUGCUUUUGAAGAAGUAACUUUCCACAGGCUUAUUCUUGAACUGUGCUGGAGGGUUUUCUGGUGCCCUUCAGAGUAUAAGGCCGACUCAAAAAUUUGAGGGUCAAAACAAGUCCAUCAAAUCUAGAGUACGUUCGACCUUGAUGAUAUGGGAUACUUUUGCUGUUGACGGAAUAAUGAAUGUGGUAUGGAAAGGUGUCGUGCUGUAGUGAUCUGUUUCAGCUCACCGUUGAACCUUCUGCUUCAAUCUUUUGCAUGGCAGAAGUGGUGUGCAACCUUUGCAUUUAAAUGGUCCUUCAGAACAUUCCUUCAUAGUGACUCAUCCACGCUUGGCAGCUUCAGUGUAAAGAGCCAAUAUCUGAUCAACUGUCAUGAGGUAUUUGCCGGUGGAAUUCGUGACCUUGACAACAGUUGAGGAUGAGUACUCGAGAGCAAUGCUAAGUAAGCAACCAGGGAAAGGCUCCAGGCAGUCAGUUCCAAAUUGGAGGUUUGAUUUCAGGUUCCGACUGACUGCUCUCUUUCUCCUUGUCCUGCAGGUGUGGACAAGGACAAAGACAAAGACAGGGAGAAAGCAUGAUAUGGGAUACUCUUGCUUUCGACCCUGAUGAUAUGAGAUACUCUUGUUCUUGGUGUGGCUUAUUUGCUGAGGUAUUAUCGGGGGGAAAUAAAGCUGAGUAUAUUUCGAGAGGUUAUGUUGAGGGUGCCUUUUUCGAAUGCGAGAAAGGGUUGAGCAUUUUUGCAGGUUUGCCUGUCCGUUGAGGAGGGAGGUCAAUGUAUAUAGGGAUUUCCCAAUAACAAGUAGUAAUGUUAUUCCUUUACCCUUCUUGGUCACAGCAAUGUAGUGGGAGCUGCCAGCUUCACGUGUUUUUAAUUUUGUCAGAGCACUUUGAAAAAGUGGUAUGUGGUAUCUGGAAAGCUGAUAUUACGUGUGAAGAUUACAGACAAGCUUUAUCUAAGGAAAUCUGGCUCUCGAAGUUCUGAGAGUUGUGCCUCUUCGGUUUUCGAACAAGCAAUCCCGUCGAGGAUCUGACUCUCGAGAUUCGGAAAGCGGUGCUACUCCGGUUUUUGAGAAAGUAAUUAUGUUGGGAGUCUUUUCUCGAAUGUGAGUAAAGGUUGGACGUUCUUGCCAACCUGUCUUGCCGCAAAACACGGAGGUCGACACACAUAGGGACUUUCCAGUUGUCAAGCAGUGGUGCUGUUCCUUUACCCUUAUGGGUAAUAGUAGGGUAGCUGGAACUUCGAAAUUCUCGUGCCUAAACUUUGUCAGAGAUCUUUGACAAAGUUAUAUGUGGUACCCGAGGAGUUGAUGGUGCAUAUGGAGAGCGGUGAUUGAACAGUAAGAUUCACGUGCUUUCUACUUCACCAGAAAUCUUCGACAGAUUGCCCGUAAUUUCCGCAAAGCUGAUUGUGCAUGUGACAGGUGCUGACGAGGCUGAAAAAGCAAGUGCUUCUUCGAUUUCUGAGAUCGGCCCUCGUGGUCUCUGAGCAGCCCAGCUUUUGAGAAAGCAAACGCCUCUUCGAUUUCUGAGAUCGGCCCUCGUGGUCUCUGAGCAGCCCAGCUUUUGAGAAAGCAAACGCCUCUUCGAUUUCUGAAGCUCCGUCGAGUGCAGAUUUUUAUAGAGGCUGGCAUUAAGUUCCACAGCACACUUGAAUCUCUACCAGUAGAAGCUCAUUUCUUGCACUUCUAAGAUCUUGAUUUGUCUGACCUCUUCCUUCUUCAACACAUUUGAAAAUGUCUGGACCCUCCGACCGUCGUUUUGACUUGAACCUUGGAGAAGAGACAGCCACGCCUUCUCCAGACAACAUAUGGCGCCCAUCCUUCAUAUCCCCUACUGGUCCUCUUACCGUUGGGGAUUCUGUGAUGAAGAAUGAUAUGACCGCUGCAGUGGUGGCCAGGAACCUUCUCACUCCCAAAGAUAACAGACUACUUUCCAAACGGUCUGAUGAGUUGGCUGUUAAGGACUCUCUGGCUCUUAGUGUUCAGUGUGCAGGUUCUGUGUCUAAUAUGGCCCAACGCCUAUUUGCUAGAACCCGCCAAGUUGAAUCAUUGGCUGCUGAAGUGAUGAGUCUCAAACAGGAGAUUAGAGGGCUCAAGCAUGAGAAUAAGCAGUUGCACCGGCUCGCCCAUGACUAUGCUACAAACAUGAAGAGGAAGCUUGACCAGAUGAAGGAAUCUGAUGGUAAGGUUUUACUUGAUCAUCAGCGGUUUGUGGGUUUGUUCCAAAGGCAUUUAUUGCCUUCGUCCUCUGGGGCUGUACCUGGUAAUGAAGCUUCAAAUGAUGAACCUCCAAUGCCUCCUCCUUCUGGGGUUUUGUCAAGUACUGAGGCUCCGGAUAACCACCCUCCGGUGCUUUCUCUUUCUGGGGCUCUACCGACUGCUGAGACUUCCCCUAAGCAACCUUUGUGAAGGCUCCCUUUUGUUUGUUUAUUUUGACUCAUGUAUAUGUACAUAUUUGUGGCUUAUCGAAAAUAUUAAUAAAUAAGCUUUGCUUCAUUUCAACAUAUUGUGUUAAAUACACCAAAGCCUUCUUCAUAAAGUUCUUUGAAUUUUUGCUUUUGUUGAAACCUGUAUUGUUGAAGCUUUGUGAGUGAAGCAUGUAGUUUGAGGUAGUGUUCCCUUAAUUUCCCGAGUGAGGAAAACUUCUCGGUUGGAGACUUGAAAAAUCCAAGUCACUGAGUGGUUGUGAGACUGCCGAGUAUCAAGGUGCAGUAGCAUAUGGUGGGAGUCCCCCAAGUCUUCAGGCGAAGAGAGUUGCCGAAUGAGGUGUCUCUCGCGUGUUACUAAUUUGUCAAAGUAACGAAUCCUUGUUUCGAUGUCACACAUUCGUAUAUGCUUUAUCUAAAAAUAUUUCCAACUUUUGUGUGUUUGAUGCUGCAUGCUAUUGACUAGACAAGAUCAAGUGCAAUUAGUAGCUUUUCUCUCUUUUUCAUCUUUUCUUUGGUGGAAUUGCUUUUCGUUUCCACUAAUCAGCCUGAGUGGAUGCAAGAUAACACCUUUCUCUAUAGCUCAGAUUGCAAAGUCGUCUUCAUGAAAGUUUUUCCUUAUCUUGUGAACUACAACAUAUCCAAAUUUGAGAUCCAUCGGAGUAGUACAACUUCAGAAAUUCAAGUAUGAUGAGUAACUGUUCAUCAAUGUUCUGUUAAUCCGUCAGACUUGUUGUGAGCUUCGAAACUCCAUUUUCUCUUGUUCAGAUCAACAUACUUUCUUCAUCGAAGUUGUUCCUUAACUUGUGAACUACAACAUAUCCAAAUUUGAGGUCCCUCGGAGCAGUAUAACUCCAGAAAUCCAGGUAUGAUGAGUGACUGUUUAUCAUUUUGUCUGUCAACCCGUCAGAUUUGUUGUGAGCUUUGAAACUCUAUUUUCUCUUGCUCAGAUCAGCAUGCUUUCUUCAUUGAAGUUGUUCCUCAGCUUGUGAACUACACAACAUAUCCAAAUUUGAGAUCCCUCGGAGCAGUAUAACUCCAGAAAUCCAGGUAUGAUGAAUGACUGGUUAUUAUUUUUCUGUCAACCCGUCAGAUUUGUUGUGAGCUUCGAAACUCCAUUUUCUCUUGUUCAGAUCGGUAUGCUUUCUUCAUUGAAGUUGUUCCUCAUCGACUCUUUCAUAACAUAUCAAAAAUUCAGGAUGAACUAACGGUUAAAUAUUUCCAGAUCUUCGAAACAUCACAACAGCUUCGAAAUCUGCAAGAAGCCGACUAUCAUGUUUGGAGCUUCAACACUUUAAUUUCCGUCGCUCAAACAGAAAUGGUUCCUUCUUGAAAGUUGUUCAUAUGCUCAAGAACUAUAGGGUGUCCAAAAUUCAGCUCCAUUGGAGAAGAGCAGAGGUUGCAGAAAUUUGAUAGAUGAAAGGAGGCGGAAGAGGGAGAGAGAGAAAAAGUCUCUUGGGUUGGAUUUCUAUUUUGGGGCAGAUUCCAAUUUUUGUAGCACCUUCAUUAUUGAUGAAUUGCUUGUACUUUUGUCCAUUAUGAAACUUGGGACUUUGGCUUGUUGUUGGAUCUAUUAUAAUAUGUUUGGGAACAUAUAUAAGUGAAUAAAUAAGAAGGAAAAUUUUGGGCCCUUGUGGGUGUAAAACAAAAAAUGUUUAUGUUUACCCAAGUGUUUUUGUACAAGUUCAAGGGCAUCUUGGGUUUUGUGAACAAAAUUUGUUUAUUUGGAGCAAGGUUUUGUGUUGAAGCUUUGUAGGUGAAGCUUUGGUGUUGAAGCUUUCUAGGUGAAGCUUUGAUGGUGAAGCUUUGUAGAUGAAGCUUUGUAGAUGAAGCUUUCUAGGUGAAGCUUUGAUGGUGAAGCUUUGAUGGUGAAAGUAUGUAGAGGGAGCUUUCUAGGUGAAGCUUUUUUAGGUGAAGCUUUGUAGGUGAAGCUUUUUUAAGUGAAGCUUUUCGGGUGAAGUUUUUUUUUUUGGGUGAAGCUUUGUGGGUGAAGCUUUUUAGGUGAAGCUUUUGUGGGUGAAGCUUUGGAGGUGAAGCUUUUCGGGUGAAGCUUUUUGGGUGAAGCUUUUUAGGUGAAGCUUUGUGGGUGAAGCUUUGGAGGUGAAGCUUUUCGGGUGAAGCUUUUUGGAUGAAGCUGUUUUUUUUUUUUUUUUUUUUUUUUUUUUUUUUUUUUUUUUUUUUUGGCGCUUGACACGGUCUUCAUUUGCUUGUUUUGUAGUGACUGUGGAAGACGGAUUGCUUUCUGAUUGAGAAGGGUUCCGGCAUCGCUUGCUAUGAAUGUAAAAGAGUGAGGGCUGAGUUGGCUAAAUUACCUCUUUAUUGAAUUCAUUGCCAAAUGGCCUUCAUUACAUAGGAUGCCGAACGGCUAUAGCUCAACACUUGUACAUCGUGAGUCUAUUUGUAGUAGUACUUCAAGUGAUCAGCGUUCCAUGGAUGGCCAAGGGUCUUGCCAUCGGAGCUUCUAAGUGUGUAAGAGCCAGGGCGACUGAUGCCAAUGACUUCAUACGGUCCAUCCCAGUUUGGACUAAGUGUGCCUUCACUCGGGACUCUGUCGCAGAGUAAUCUUUUCUUUAAGACCCAGUCUCCUAUUUUGAAAGAACGAGGCUUGACCCUAGAGUCAUAAUAGUUGGAGAUGCGCUGCUUGUAGGCGACAUUCCUCAAGUGAGCUUGGUUUCUGUGUUCCUCGACUAAAUCCAAGUUGAGGGUGAGUUGUUUGUCAUUUUCACUUUGAAUGUAGUUCUGGACUCGGAAUGUUGCUUGCUCGAGCUCAACAGGGACAACCGCCUCUGUGCCAAAGGCAAGUGAGAAUGGAGUUUCUCCUGUUGAAGUCCGAUAUGAAGUGCGAUAUGACCAAAGAACUUGGGGUACAAAUUCUGGCCAACAGCCUUUAGCUUUGUCCAAGCUGGUUUUCAAAGUGCGCUUGAUUAUUUUGUUGAUGGCCUCAACUUGUCCAUUAGACUGGGGAUGAGCUGGAGAGGCAAAGCAUAAGUUGAUGUUGAACUUAGAGCAGAACAACCUGAACUUCUUGUUGUCAAACUGUCGCCCAUUGUCAGUGACUAUCGCAUUGGGAAUGCCGAAUCUACAAAGGAUGUUCUUCCACACGAAGUCUUCUAUCUUUGCCUCAGUAAUGGUUGCCAAGGGUUCUACUUCGGCCCACUUUGUGAAGUAGUCCACUGCAACGACUGCGUAACAGACUUUGCCCUUCCCUGCCGGCAUUGGGCCGAUCAAAUCAAGUCCCCACUGGGCGAAGGGCCAAGGGCUGAUCAUAGGAGUAAGAGGCUCUGGAGGGGAAUGAGGAAUAGCCGCAUAUCGUUGACAUUUGUCACAUGAGCGGGAUACUUUGAUGGCAUCCUGGUGGAGUGUUGGCCAGUAAUAUCCUUGGCGAAAAGUCUUGUGUGCUAGGGACCGAGAUCCAGCAUGAUCUCCACAGACUCCCUCAUGUAUUUCCCGAAGGACGAUUUCCGCCUCGGCAGGCGUAAGACACCUUAAGUAUGGCAGGCUAAAACCUCGCUUAUAGAGUUGAUCAUUGAUGAUCAGGUAGCGGGUAGACUUGUAUCGAAUUUGCUUAGCCUGGACUUUAUCAUUUGGGAGGGUGCCAUGAGCAAGGAAAUUAUAGAUCGGGGUGAUCCAACUAUCCCCCUGUUGUAAGUUGCAUACUUCUGCGGCCAUGGUGCUUGGUGUUGCCAACAGUUCGACAUGAAUUUUUCUUCCAAUCUUGUCUUCCACAGCCGAGGCGAGGCGAGCCAGGGCGUCUGCAUGACUGUUUGCCGCUCGAGGAACUUGGGUGAUCUGGUAGUGGAAGUGCUUGAGCAAAAGUUGUGUUUGCGCAAGAUAUGCUGCCAUGGAGCUGUCCUUAGCAUCAAAGUUGUUGGUAACCUGGUUGACCACCUAAUUGGGAGUCACUGAAAAUAUCAAUUUGUUUAACCCCGAGGUGUUUGGCCAAACGUAAUCCUGCUAGAAGGGCUUCAUACUCGGCCUCAUUAUUUGAUGCCUUGAAUUUGAAACGAAGAGCAUACUCCAUUGCUACUUUGUCGGGUGUAGUCAAGACUAGUCCCGCUCCACAGCCCUGUUGGUUGGAUGAGCCAUCAACAUACAGACUCCAUGCUGGGGUUGUUGGUUCUAUCUUCUGAGCUUCCGGGGUAAUGAAGCCACUGCUUCAGGUGUAGAAGCAAUGUCAACCGGAUAUGUGAAGUCGGCAAUGAAGUCUGCCACUGCUUGGCCCUUCUCAGCUGGCUUUGGUUGGUAGGAGAUGUCAAACUCACCCAACGCUAUUGCCCAUUUGAUCAUUCGCCCUGAAGUGUCAGGACUUUGGAGUAUCUGUCGAAGAGGAUAAUUGGUAAGCACGAUGAUGGAGUGCGCUUGGAAGUAAGGGCGGAGUUUUCGAGCAGACAUGACCAAUGCCAGAGCCAAUUUCUCAAUGUUAGAGUACCGUGUCUCCGCAUCUUGUAAGGCUUUGCUAGCGUAGUAGACAGGUCGCUCAAUAUUCCCAUCCUUUCGAAUGAGAACGGAACUUACGGCUGAAGCUGAUACCGAUAGGUAGAUAAUGAGAAUGUCUCCUACCUCGGGCUUGGAGAGUAGAGGGGCUUUACUCAUGUACUCCUUGAGGUUUUUGAAUGCCUCGGCACAUUCAUCAGUCCAUGUAAUGUACUUCCUACUUCCCUUAAGUGCUUUAAAAAAGGGAGCACAUUUGUCUGUGGCCUUAGAAAUGAACCUGGUUAAGGCUGCCACCUUGCCAGUAAGGCUCUGGAUGUCCUUUGAAGUUACCGGUUCCUUCAUGUCGAGGAUUGCUUUGAUCUUCUCGGGAUUAGCUUCAAUGCCUCGUUGGCUAAUCAUGAAACCUAAGAAUUUGCCAGAGCCUACGCCGAAGGCACAUUUGUUGGGGUUUAACCUCAUUCGAUACCUCUUCAAAAUAGUGAAAGUUUCAGAUAGGUUGGUGAUGUGUUGGUCAGCAUGUUUGCUCUUGACUAACAUAUCAUCAACGUAAACUUCCAUGCUCUUCCCAAUCUGCUCGGCGAACAUUGAGUUGACUAGUCUCUGAUAAGUCGCUCCUGCAUUCUUUAGGCCGAAAGGCAUGACUUUAUAGCAGUAUAGUCCUCUGUCGGUAGUGAAGGCUGUGUGUUCUUGAUCCGAAGGGUUCAUGAGGAUUUGGUUGUAUCCUGAGUAAGCAUCCAUGAAGCUCAGGAGUUCACACCCGGCCGUAGAGUCUAUAAGUCUGUCAAUAAGAGGAAGAGGGAAGCUAUCUUUCGGACACCCUUUGUUUAGGUCGGUGUAGUCAACACACAUUCUCCACAAGACCUUUUGAAGCAAAAGACUUUCUUUGGUCGGAUUUUUCCUUAACAAGGACCACAUUUGCUACCCAUGUCGGGUAAUUGACUUCGCGGACAAAGCCUAUGCCUUUGAGUUUUUCAACUUCUGCUUUCAUUGCCUCGUAUCGUUCAGCGUCAUAAGAUCUUCGCUUCUGUCUCACCGGCUUGAUCUUGGGGUCAAUACUCAAACGAUGACAGAUGACAUCGGGAGAGAUGCCUGGCAUGUCCUCGUAUGACCAGGCGAAGACUUCAGUGUUCUCUUUCAAAAAAGAUAUCAAUGCUAACCGAAGGGGUGGUGACAAUGUGGUGCCAAUCUUCACCAUGCGAUCUGGAUAAUCUCUUGAGAUAGGUACCUUCUCCAACUCUUCAGCAGGUUGGGCUUGCUGGGUGAAAGAGUCAUCUCGAGGAUCAUCGGGUUGAUUGUUGCUAUCAGGAAGAUCCAAGUUCGCUUCAUCUAGGCUGGUCUUUGUGACUUGGUCAUGUACAGACAGGGUUUCCUUGGGUCCGGGCAAGUGUUGUUGCUUAACUGAAGUGUUGUAACAUGAUCGUGCACUAAGCUGAUCUCCUCUGAUGUAGCCGUUGCCAUGGGGGGUUGGAAAUUUCAUCAACAGCAUAUGCGUGGAUACCAUAGCCUUGAGAUCAUUGAUGCCUGUGCGCCCAAAGAUGACAUUGUAUGCCGUUGGGCAGUCAACCACUAGGAAGUUAGUGGUAAUGGUAGCCGUGUAAGGGCCUGUACCAAUAGUAAAGGGUAAAUGUAUGCUCCCUAAGGGUUGCACGAUAUCACCGGAGAAGCUUAUCAGAGGAGAAAAUCGAGCGAUCGAGCAAGUGUUCAGCUACACUGAGUGCCCUGAAAGCUUCGGCAAACAUGAUAUUGACCGAAGCCCCUGUGUCUACGAGGAUUCGUCGAACAUCAAAGUUGGCUAUGUGAGCCUCCACGAUCAAUGGGUCGUUAUGAGGGUAGAUGAUGCCUCUUUCUUCCUCAGGGUAGAAACAUAUCGGAUCCCAGUUAGGUUUUUGAUACUUCCCUCCCCUGAUGUCUUCCACGUGAAACACUUGGUGACCAGGCCUCAGACUUCGUUCACUGUUUUUCAUGGCCCUAUUGGAAGAUUCAGAUAUGGGUGUGCCGCCGCUUAUGGAAUAUAUGACAUUCACCUGGCGUUGGUUACGGUUAUCCCUUUGAGGGUGAAGAAGGAAUUGAUCAAUUUUUCCUUCUCGUGCCAAAGCUUCAAUACGAUCACGGAGGAUGAUACAUUUCUCGCUAUCAUGGCCGUUAUGCUCAUGGUAGCAACAAAACAUGCCCGCGUUAUUCGGGGGCGUGUAAUCUGGGUGCCUCGGCUUUGGCUUUGGUAUCAGGUGAGCUAUGCUGGGGUAAAUGGCCGCGCAUGUGGCAUUCAAGGGCGUGUAUGUCUCAUACCUUGGGGUAGGGGGUAUCUUGACGCGGGUUUGACCCACUGCAUUGACUGCCUGGGGGCGAGCGUUAUUGUGGCGAUACCCUUGGUUAUCGGGAUAGUGUCCCUUACUCUUUUUUACUGAAAGGAGAGUGGUGAGGAUGGAAAUCCUUCCUCUUGCCUUGAAAUUGAUAUGUCUGUUGAUUCGGUGAAGCAUUAUGCAAGGCAUGGGGAGGUGCCACUGCUGUUUGGAAAGUCGAGGUCUUCUCAUUUAGGUGAGUCUGGCUUCCACCUCCCACUUGUUGAUAAAGGAUGGUUGUAGGGGGUUUCUCCUGAUAUGUCUUUGCCUCGGCGGAGGCAUGGUUAUAAGCCUGCGCCAUCACCUCAGAGUAAGUCUUCCAAGUAUUGGCAUUGAUCAUGUAUUUAAAGAAACAAUCACGUAGGCCUGCCGUGAAGGCUUUGAGGGCAGUCUUGUCGUCUGCCUCGGCACACCGGGAGUAUUCAUGGCUGAAGCGGCCAGCAUACAUACGUAAUGACUCGUCUGGCUUCUGGCGGAUAGUGUACAGGUCAUCUGCAGAGUGCAAGCGAUCGGUUUGGAAAAUGUGUUGGGAAACAAAUAGUUUCCUCAAUUCCUCAAAUGAGUCUACCGUCUCAGGUGUAAGACGACAAUACCAAUUUAGAGCUCCACUAGAGAGGGUGGAGGGGAAGAGAAGACAUCGCUCUUCGUCGGUGUGCAUCCGGUAUGCCAUGGUGGACUCAAAGAGGUUAAGGUGCUCAAUCGGGUCCUCUUUUCCAGUAUAAAGUUGCAAGCCAAGCUUUUGCUUUGUCUUUGCUUGAAGGGGGGUGUUGAGGAUCCUCCUUGUAAGAGGGCCAGGCCUGGGUUGGUUCCAGUCAGGUAUUUCAGCCUGACGUUCAGCCUUCAACUUGUUUACUUCCUCAAGAAGUUGUAGGACAAGGGGGUCCUGAGCGGAGUUAUGUGUCACUGGAGCUUUCUUUCGUAAAUCUCCAUCUCCUAUUGGAAUUAGGAAGGUUUGAUCAAGGGCAUGUGAUUUUUCCCUGGACUCGCUGUACUGGCUUCCAAGGUAUGUCUGUCGGAACACCUCUGAGUCCCCUGUACCCUCAUGUCUCUCUAGGACUUGUUGCCCCUUCCCCAAAUUGGUGGCCGGCUUGGGCAGUGGCAGGGGACCGAGUCUCUCAGAAAUCCUUGGGUCAUUAAUCUUUGAGCUUAUAUGGAUGGAAUUCUCUCGACGUUGCUUCAGGAAAUCCCGACAAUCGCGAAAGACGGCUUUCGAUCCUUCUGCCCCUUCAGCAAAGAGGUGUCUCCUUCCACUUCUCAUGGUUCGGGUCGAAGCAACUGGGUUAAGAGAAGCCUCAUGUUGAUUAUCAAGUCGAGGGGUAAUCUGUUCCCUAUCAGGGAUAUCUAUGUCGAAUGCAUGUGACCCUCCAUGUUGGAGGGCACCCAGUUGAUGGUUGACUUCCACGGGGGCAACAAGCUCGCGUGUCUGAGCUUGCCUAGCUUCGUGGAGUGUCUCGAAGAGCUUCUCAUAUUGCUCCUGGAGGACCUCAUUCCUCAUUGCUAUCUUGUUGUUCUGAGCUUCCAACUCAUCGACUUUAGCUUGAAGAAGAACUCGUUUUCCUUCCUUCUUUCGUUGUUUUCGCACUAUGUGCAAGGGGGGUGUCAUUCUGUGUGCUGUGGCUUCAUUCGCUUCCCAUGCUGGAGAGGGAUGCCUGAUCAAAAGAAAGUGUACGAAUGAUAGAAACCAGCUUGACACAGCUGAAGAGAGUAGGAAUCAGUGUCGUUUCCCACAGACGGCGCCAAAUGUUGAUGCACAAAAUCAGCGAAGACUUUGGUACAACAGAAAGUGUCAGGUUUUAUGACCUUCGCUUGGUUGCUUCGGUCACUAGUGAGGAUAAGUACGUAAAUGAAUAGAGACAGAGAAGCAAACACAGGAUGUACGUGGUUCACCCAGAUUGGCUACGUCCACGGAGUAGAGGAGUUCUUAUUAGUAGUGAAGGGCUUACACAAGUACAAAGGAUCAAGCUCUCAAUUUAGUGAGUUCUUGUGAAUGAUUUAACACAAAUGGCAUUAGGCAAUAUUGUGGGGGAAUGACCCCUAUUUAUAGAAAAACUUGUAGCUUUGUCACAUUGACAUGUGUCAUGUUAUGAUUGGUUCUUGAUGUCGACAAGUGCUGCGCUCUGAUUGGCUUCUAAUCUUGACACGUGUCGAGUAGUGAUUGGCCUCCUGGUCGGAGGGGAACUCUUCUGGGUCCUUGACAGUAUAGCGUUGGCCGGUGCUCGGUAGUUUCGGGAUUGGUCAAGUAUGGUACAAACAGGUUGGAUCCUAAAAAUCCCGCGGACUCAGAAAGUAAUAACAAAAAUGGCUAAUCUAAUAACGGAUUCCGUAAAAAAAAAAACAAAAAACGUUAAAAAAGAACUAAAGGCAGUCUCUAUGCCAUCUUACGAAAUAAAAUUCAGUGCGAGAAUGCAAAGAUCUGCACAAAUGUGCAGCCUGUUAAUGUCAAUUGCCAGGUCCCUUUAAUCUCAUAGUCCUGGUACAAAUAAAGGGCUUCAAUGAAAUAAAAAGAAUUCAACAGAAGAUUAUACGGAACGUCCUUGACACAAGGUUACCGGCCUCCAUUGCCGCCGGGGCAAAGUAUAGAAAGAGAGAAAUGAGACCAAGUGAGAAACUGGAAGCAGACGCCUGUAGACUUGAAGCCAAUAGCUACAGAGGUAGGUUCAUUUAGCUGCAGACUUCUUUUUUCAUCCUAAAGUACAACAGACCUUCUACCUCCCAUAUGGAUGAUAUCGGCCACUACCUGCACCGCCAUAUCCCCCUCCUCUACUACCGUAAAAGGAAACUCCACUACCACCUCCAUAGCCACCUCCGUAGCCACCUCCAAAACCUGCAUCAUAGCCACUCCCAUAACCACCACCACCAGCUGCCCCACCAGCACCUCCAUAUCCCCCAUAACUCUCACCAGCUCCACCAUAACCACCUCCCAUAUCAUAACCCCUGCUAUAGGCUCCUCCAUAACGGCUUGAAUAUCCUAUGGAAGAUUCUCCCCUAUAAGCCCCUAUACCGCCGCCACCACCGCCACCAUAUACUCCAUAUCCGCCAAAUUCACUGCCACCAUAUCCUCCAUAAGCACUGCCUCUACCACCAUAGGCAGCAGCUGACCUAUAACCACCAGCACCACCAUAACUGCCACCUCCAAAUCCACCAUAGCUUUCUCCAUACCCACCACCAUAUGCAGGUCUAGAAUCAUUAUAACGUUUUGAUGGUGGUGCAGGUUGGUUUGGCUUCUUUGGUUCUGCCUUUUUUAUCUCCACCUACAAGAAAUAACAGAUGAAUCUAAACUAUCAAGCUUCUUGAAUGCUCAUAGAUGCAUUUAGUACAUUACAUGGCCAAACCGUCUGAGUACAUGUAAACUAAUUUCGUGUACAUAUGUGAAUUCUACCUCAGUUUUGUUUGGUCAAGCGUAUUGUAUCAUGGUCUCCUUAUUCGUCACUUCGAAAGUGAAUAAAGCAAUAUGAACUUUAAGUAAUCUACAGGGACUACUAAACCAAGCAACAAUUUAGUGCAACCCAUUACAAAACCAUUCUUCCACAUUGAUCAGCGAAAGCAGAAAAUUAAAAAGAGGAUGCAUACAGCCACAUCAAUGCAUAGAGACCCACUACACGAUGCAUACAGCCAACCCACCUAUAUAAUCAAAACUUGGCGGCACUUCAAAUUUGAAAUUUUCUUCCUCUCUCACGACAUAGGUUAGCUAUUAAGGAAUAACAUUUCAAGAGCGACAAAUUCCACCAAAAACAUCCCCCACGUUCCAUUUCUACUGUGAAUUGGUAAUAUUAUCGAUGCAUAUGUUAUAUGAUCCUCAAACUCGCUGUAGCAUGACUAUUUAUUUAUUUAUUUAUUUAAUAUCCUUUACCUCAACUUCAUCUGUUUUUCUGUUGAGUAAAGAUAAAGGUCGUACCCAGUGCACAAGGCUCCCGCUUUACGCAGGGUCUGGGAGAGGUGAAUGUCGGCUAGCCUUACCCCCAUUUAUGGAGAGGCUGCUCCAAAGUCUCGAACCCGAGACCUACCGCUCAUGGGCGAAGGCACUUGCCAUCGCACCAAGUGCGACCUCUUUCUGUUGAGUAAAGAUGAUAAAUUUAAAAUUCAUCCCACAACCUAAGAAAUGGAAAAAAGAGAGGAGGUGAAUGUACAAAAUCCUUGCUAUGCCCUCUAUAUUUAAUAGAAAAAUAAAUUGAGUUAACGGAUAUAAUUGAAGUACCACAUGAGAUUGUGUUUGAGAACCACAAUAAGGAAAAAAAGAAAAACUAUCCUAGAAUGAAGGUAAAAUUCGUGUUCGUGACAACAAUGUCGUAUAUCUGAAAAAUAAUUCAAGUAGAUUAAGAUGUUAGUACACAAUCGUUUAUCUUGUUUAUUGAACAAACAACAAGGACAACAAUGUCGUUUUCUCUCUUUCGAAAUUCAUAAGCAACAAAAUUGAGAUUUUUAUUAAACAAUCACAUGAGCUUAGAAAAUACCACAUCAACAUUUUGCAAGCAGUCUCAUAAGAAAUCCCAAUCAAGAUAAAACCAUUCAACAGUUUAUUAGAUUUCUCCUUUCAUAUAAGAGCAUGGUUCGGAGGAUUAUUUAAUUGACGUUAUAACAUCUUUAUUCAAAGAAAAAAUGAAAAAGAAAAUAGGGCAUCCCUAAGGUAUAGGCCACAGCCACUGUUGCCACUGUUGCCACUGCUCCAACCACGGCAGCAGCUUAACAGCUCCCCUAUCAAGCUUAACAGCUUCCCUAAGGCAUCCUUCCUGGCAUCGUUCUCACUAUUCUCAAUCUGAUUGCCCUUUUCUUGUGGCUUAUCCUCGAUUUCAUCAACUUCAUCAGAAGAUGCUCCGAUUUGGCCCCUGUAAGGAAUGAAAUUGAAUUCCGUGUUCAGCUAUUUAAAUAUUCAACUCUUAAGUUUUGUCAAUAGCAAUUGAGUAAGAAUAGGUAUGAUCAAGCUUAAUAAACAAAUCACAACCACAUUACAAAUCAAAAACAUAUACAGGGUAAUGCAGUUAUAUCCAAUUCUUUUGUGCUUUCUCCACAAAAGUUCUUCCAUGUUAAUGUAACUCUAUAUCAAUUAAUCUAUCAUACAAGACUAUACAUAAUCAGCAAUUGAAAACUAUGACAACACAAGCUUCCGUCCAGUGAAAAUUUUAUCCAAAGAUAGGCAAAACCAAAAACGUACAAACCUCCACAGACGUUCUAUAAUCUUUCCCUUCCCAAUAUGCUCAUCAAGCAAUUCCGGCACAUCAUCAGGAGUGACGUCGCCAUACCUGCAAUUAAUAAUACAUAGUAUUCAAAUUCCAUCGAUCCCAAUACAACAAAAUUUUAAAUUGUUAUGAUCUGAAUAUUACCAAUGGCCCGUUAUGCUUCCAUUUGAACCUGGGCUAUAGAUAAUCAAAUUUCCAUCGUGGCCUCCAGUGUGAAAGCAAGCAUCAGUAAAUACCUGAUUCGUCAAUCCUCGUAGCUCAGCCUCCUCUUUAAACUUAUAAAUGAGAACACGUGCACUAUCACCAAUCCAUUCCUCUCGACUACCUUGUGCACAUACAAAUACAUGGGAGCCAGUCAACGACUCUUGCACUCCGGAAGCCCAUGGCUUGUCAUUCACAAGGACAUCAUCAACAAAGCUGUCCACAUUCGACUCUUUCAAGCCCCUUUGAUCAACAAACAAAAAUAUCAGAAUCACAAAAAAGGAUUUACAUGCAAGAAAAUUAGUCGUAAACUGAGCCAUUAAAUUCAAUUUCUAUAACUAAUUUCAGAAACUAACACAUAUCUAAUUAUCUAUUUGGUUCAGUAAAUUCAGCAUAAUCCCGUAACCAAAUGAGAAGUCGAAACAAAAAUUACUUUAGUCUGAGGUAGGAAAAUAAAUUGCGCUCAUGUUGGUUAUGGAAUGGGCCCUCGAUUAUGAAUUAACUACGGUUUGCCAUUGUGUGUGUUUGUGUGGGCGGUGCUUAACAGCUGGGUUGGGCUGCUGCAUUUGGGCCCAUGGUGCAGCUCUCACGCGUUUUGGGCUGGGUUUCACCGAAAGAUCAAAUGACUCUUUUGCCCUUUUCAGUCCUAAUCCAACGGCCACCAUUUGGGGCGUUUGUGUUCUGCAAUUCGGUUGCUUUCGAUCUCGUCAAGGAGAUCGAGCAGAGAGGCGGAGGGUGACAUCAAGUUUUGGGUUUGCACAUUGAGAGACAAGAGGGUUUAUGGGAAGGGUAGGAGCUAGAGAAAGGGGGGGUUCUGUUCGCUGACGUUGGUUGCGGAGAGAGAGAGAGAUGGGCAAAAGUAUGGGGGUAGGGUUGAGGGGAACGGGUACAGAGAGAAAGAGUGAGGAAGGGACAUAUGAGCUAGAGGUAUGGGUUGAUUUGUCAGGGUCGACCUGUAAACGGUCGGGUUAUUGGAUUUGGGUCGGGUUCAAUUUGACCCGUUAAGUUAACGGAUCAUCCGUUUCAUCGGUUAACACCCGUUAACAAUUAUUAUUAUUAUUUUUUUCAUAAAGUUUAUUUUUUAUUGUUAAGACUUUACUGAAAUUACUUAAACAUUCUCAACUAACGGGUGCUAAUGAGUCUAACGGGUUGACCCAAAGUGACCCGUUAUUUAACGGGUUGUUAACCAAUUCACCAGUUAACCCCGACCCAUUAAUUUUCCACCAAAAUACUAAUAUUAACUGAUCGGGUUAACAUGCCAGGUGCAAAAUGCCAGGUCUAGUCAGGGGCUGCUGCAUCCUUCCUAUUCACAAGGUAACAAAUAAUUUUCCAUUCAUUCUUUACUGUUGGUUGUGAAUUUACUGUUCGGGAAAGGAGGCUACAAAUGAUUUAUGCAUACCUUUGUAGCCUUUAGGUGUGUGUUUGCUAGCUAGCUGGGUCGUGGGUGAGUCUUGAUUGUUUUGGUUCUGUCAUCUUCGACUCUUAUGUCUUCCCUUUUUCUGAAUUUUCUUUAUUUCUCAUCCUUUAAACUUUGUAUUUUUUUUUUAUGUGUGAUGCAGAUAGAUGAACAUGUUCAAAGGGGAAUCAUGAACCACAGAUCACUGCAUCCGAAUAUCGUUUUGUUCCAAGAGGUCAGUGAUCAUAAACUAUUUUCAUUUUGUAUUUUAAGAAUGAAUUUGGCAAGUUCUGUUUGAAUUUUGUAUAAGUAUCUGCUGAGGGUGGGUGGAUGAAGACAGAACAUGCUAAAUUUGGCCUUUGGUGUGCUUAAACUGGUACGGGGGAUGGUUAGAACUUUGAGACCGGGAUGCAGUAGGACUAAGAGAAAUGCCCUACCCACCGGGGCAAUUGUUGUCAAAAUAACUCUGCUAAAAAUAUGAGCUUUCCGGCACUUUGUUUUUAGAGUGGCUUAUUUGGGAUAAUUGAUAAAGAGAUUUGUGUUUAAGACUUGAGAGUAGUGCGGUGUCUUUCUUGCUGGUUCUGCUCACACCACCUCAUCUAGAGAGUAGUGAGGUUUGUGAUGGAGUACACGGCUGGGUGAGAACUCUUCGAGAGAAUAUGCAGUGCUGGCAGAUUUAGUGAGGAUGAGAUAAAGUGGUUUCAAAUGCAGAGAACAUUUCAUUGGAAAUGAUUUUAGUGUAGAGUCUCAAAUAUGGGAUCUGUGAAUGUCCCCUGAAAUGGAAUCCAUCUCGAUUUUCGUUUAGUUUCAGAUAAGGAAAGUUAGGUCUGAAGCAUUUUGGAAUAUGAAUGGAAAUUAUGGAAUCCAUGUAGUCCAACGAGUUCUUGAAGUUUGGAAUAUCUUUGAGUUUGUGGCAGUCGUCCAGUCUCAAGAGUGUCAUUUUCGACAUCUCUGAAAAGUCGGGCAUUAUUUCCAGUGCAGUGCAGUGCAGUGCUUUGCUAUCAGUUCAAGCAAACUGUUUGGCAAAUCUAGGAUUGCCUGAAGGUUUGUGCAAUGAUUUAGCUUUAAAACCUGAAGCUGAGAAAGGCCACUGAGAAUGGGCAGCCUACUAAAACCAUUCCCACCUAGAUCUAAAAAUGUUAAAGAAGAUAGACUCCCAAUUAUUUCGAGAACGGCACCAUCUGUUAUAUUGCAGUCGUUGAGAUUUAAUCUCUUAAUCAUCUUCAGUUGUGCUAAAAAAUGGUAACUCCCACACAAACCCUUAGAGCCACUGAGGUCCAAUUCCUCGAGAUGUGGGAGUUUUGAAAAGUCUGGUAAUUCAGUCAGGUUAUGGCAGUCUCUAAGAAUGAGAUACUUCAACUUCUUAGGCAACUGUUACUCAAAAAGAGAAAACAAUAAUAAAAAUCCAAAUAAAUAAAAGAGAGAAUGCAUGACGAUGACUGAUGUUGAUAUUUACAAGGCAUUGAUAAUUAUAUCGUACCAAGUCAGAAUCCUCCCAAACUCGUAUGAUCUUGCUGUUCCACAGUUCCAUAUAAACUAGGUUUCGUUGAUCAAAAUCUGCUGGUAUGGCUUCAAGAGGAAAUCCGUUCGAACACAAAAAUCUUAACUCCUUGGAAAGAUGUUUGUAGCUUCCCGUCAGCUUUACAUUUUCCAGCAUGAGAAAUUUCAGACGCCACAUCUUCUUAAACACUUCCGUACUGAAGCUUCGCUCGUCAUCAGGAUGUUCUAGCAAAGCUAAUUGUAGUCCUUCAACUGCUUCUGUUCCCUGUUAGAGAUAUAAAAAAAAAAAAAACAAGAAAAGGAUAAUAUUUACACGAAGCAGAGCUGUGAAUUGGAUGAAUGAACUACUAGAAGGGUAGGAUACACAACAUAAUUAUGUAUUUUCUCUUUCAAUUUACAGUGGAUGAAAGCCUUUUCUUUCUUCUUUUUCUUCAAAUAUACUAUGUAUGGCAUACAUUAUAUAUAUGCGGAUAUACGUAUAUACUUCUCUUUCUUCACAUGUACUUAACAUAACAUCUUUUUAUUGCAAAAGUACUUACAGAUUCGUUUCUUAACACGUUUUUUGCAUCUUCACUAUGCCACAAUUGACUACGUUUUCCCAAUUCCGUAGGAGAUUUUGCCCGCACAAUUUCUCUUCCCAUAUCUCGAACCAAAUCAUGCAUCCUCAAAAUUUUGUCUUCAUCAAUAUAUAAGAGACCUCGAUUGCAGAGUGUGGUAAUUUCUGCUUCUACAGAAAAAUGACUACAACUAUCCAAUACUGGCAUGACUAUAUUUAUAUACCAUCCAAUAAAGACACAAGAUAUGUCAAGGAACACACCCUUCACAUGAUCAUCAAUUAGCCCAUCGUAUCUUAAUUUAAGCGUUUCAUUAAUUUCUCCUCCAUUUGGAAGCUUCUGGUCAUUAAUUUGUUCAGCUUCAUCAGAAGAUGCUCCCAUUUGGCCCCUACAAGGAAUGAAAUUGAAUUUCGUGUUCACCUAUUUAAAGAUUCAACUCUAAGUUUCGUCAAUAGCAAUUGAGUAAGAACAUGUAUGAUCAAGCUUAUAAACAAAUCACAACAUUACAAAUCAGAAACAUGUAUGGGGUAAUGUAGUUAUAUCCAAUUAUUUUGUGCUUUCUCCACAAAAGCUCCUCCAUGUUAAUGUAACUCUAUAUCAAUUAAUCUAUCAUACAAGACCAGACAUAAUCAGCAAUUAAAAAAUAUGACAACACAAGCUUUCGUCCAGUGAAAUUUUCAUCCAAAGACAGUAGGCAAAACCAAAAACAAACAAACCUCCAAUGUCGUUUUAUAAUAUCUCCCUUCCCAAUAUGCUAAUCAAACAAUUUCGGCACGUCAUCAAGAUUGACCAAGGGAUAACUGCAAUUAAUAAUACAUAAUAUUCAAUCUCCUUCAUCGAUCCCAAUACGAUAAAUUUUAAAUUGUUAUCAUCCGGAUAUUACCAUUGGAAUGAAUCUUUGCGGUAGAUAGUGGGAUUUCGAGCACAAAUGUGGCCUCCAAUGUGAAGGCAAGCAGUAACAAAUACCUCAUUCGUCAAUCCUCGCAACUCAGCCUCCUCUUUAAACUUAUCAAUGAGAACACGUGCAGGAUCACGAUUCCAUUCAUUUCGUGUCAUAUGUGCGAAUAUAAAUAGAUGGCGGCCAAUCAACGGCUCUUGCACUCCGGAAGCCCAUGGUUUGUGAUUCACAAGGACAUCAUCAACAAAGCUG